This 89607-nucleotide long non-coding RNA is filed under the name Physcomitrium patens. Its description in RNAcentral is "long non-coding RNA (PPAT_LNC014829)". The record is from RNAcentral. Lineage: Eukaryota; Viridiplantae; Streptophyta; Bryopsida; Funariales; Funariaceae.
AAUUUAAUUCUAAUUAAAAUCCUAAUGGACUUCAAUCAAAUCCUGGGCCAAAUUCUAAAUCCUAAAUUCUAAGUAAAUCUUAAAUCCUAAAUUCAAAGCAAACCCUAAAUCCUAAAUUUUAAGCAAAUUUUAAACCAAAUCCUAAAAAAAAUCUUAAAUCCUAAAUCCUAAGUAAAUUUUAAAUCCUAAGAAAAUUCUAAAUAAAAUUCUAAAUCUUAAAUAAAUCCUAAAUCUUAAAUCUUGAGCAAAUCUUAAUACAAAUCUUAAAUCCUAAAUAAAUCCUAAAUCCUAAAUCUUCAGUAAAUUCUAAUUCAAAUCCUACAUCUUAGUCCAAUCCUAAAUCCUAAGUAAAUCCUAAUUCAAAAUCUAAACUCUAAUCUAAAUCUAAAUCCUAAUCAAAUCUUAAUCAAAUCCUAAAUCCUAAUUCAAUCCUAAUUCUAAAUCAAAACCUAACCAAAACCUAAGCAACUCAAUUUAAUCUUAGCAAAAUUUAGAACCUCAAUGUCUAUUGAUUAAACUAUUAAUCUUACUUAUAAAAAAAUUAUUCUUCUUAAAUACUAAAUUAGUAAUAAACAUAAAAAAUUUGAAGAUAAUUACACUUACUAAAUGGAAGAAAAUUUCUAAAAUCCACUUAGAUAUUGGCCAACCUCCUACUCCAAUCUAAAUGUUGAACUUCCAGAGCCAAUAUUUUCUUUUCAAACUAUUUAAUUGUUUUCAAAUUUCAUAUGUAUGUAGCAAAUCAAGUCUAUUAUCUUCAAACAUAAAUUUUAUUCCAAUCCAAAUAUUAAAAUGAUGAAGAUCUUAAAUAUCCUAACUACAAUUCAAAAUUUGUAGAUCUAUUAACAAACUUGUGAAAUUCUCAAAAACAUAAAAUCUUUUUUAUUUCACAAAUAUCAAAAUCAAUCAAAUAAUUGUGACUUUACAAAGCUCUUAUAAAGUCAUUAUACAUUUAAAUUACUAAAAAUAAAUGCUCAAAAAAUUUCUAUUAAAGCUGCUUUCAAAUCCCACUCUUUGAUCUACCAAAGAAUUAUAGAGUUGUUGUAGGUGCCUAGUUUUGUGCCUUGGUGUCUGAUUUCGACCUAAGUUGAUAAUUAGUCCUCUUUGUGUAUCAAAUUUUUUCUUUAUAAAUUAAUUUUUAUAAAAAUCAAUUUCUAACUUUCUCCUACAUAUGGUCAUUUUCUAUAUUUUUCUAAUCUACCUUAAUUUGUCUUAUUUAUGGUCUUAAAAAAUAAAUAAAAGCCCACUUUGUGAAAAAGUAGCAUUUACAUCUUUAUUUUUACUUUCUUUUAGACUGUUGUCUAUUUUCUAAGAUAAUUUUCUACAAUAUUUGAAGUAUGAUCUUCUAUAAUAUAAUAAUUUUUUCAUCCUUUUCACCUAUUAGUCAUAUUACAUCACAACAACAUAAUUAUACUUUGCCUUUUGGAAUGUAUAAUCGUCCCUUGAAAUAGAGUACAUUAUUUUUAAAUUCAAAUUUGAAAGUAUCAUGAGACUUAGAAGAAUUAUUCUUGAUAUCAUGAACAAGAAGAUCAAAAGACAUAGUUGAUUAAAUUUGCUAGACAAACAUUGAAUCAAUAAUUAAUAUUGAUUUUAUUUUUCGGAGAUGAAAAUGCUCCAACUUGAAGAGAAUUGUUCUUUAUUAAUCAAAAGCUGAAUUUCUUUCUUUUGGUACAAGAUAAGAAAUUUUAGAAAAUGCAUUUGAUAAAUCUUAUUAUUUUUCAUAAUUAUAGAUGAUCUUAAAAUCAAAUCUUGAUAAAGACAUACUCCAACAAGUUUGGCAAUAAUUCAAAAUACAUGUUGACAUGAAGUACUUGAGGUUCUUAUGAUUUAUGUAUAUAAUAAUUAAAUUAAAAGUGCCUUAUAGAUAAUGAUGCCAUUUUUUAAAUAAAUCCAUAAUUACAAGAAGCUCUUUGUUGUGAAUCUUCUAAUUAAUCUUAGUUACUAAAACUUUCUUGAAAUGAAAAGCAAUUGAAUGGAGCUUAUCAUUUGCUUCUAUUUGAGAUAAAAUAGCACCCAUACCAAAAUUCCAUGCAUCUAUUUCCAUAAAGAAUGCCUUAAAAAAAUUGAUGCAAUACAAAAUUUGUGCAAAAAUAAAUUUUGUCUUUAAAGCUUUAAAAGAUGUUUUUAUUUUUUUACUCCAUUCAAGUUUGUCUUUACAUGUUAGACAUGUAAGAGGAGCUAAAACUUAAAAAAAAUUCUUAUUGAAGAUUUCAUAAUAAUUAGCAAAUUUCAAAAAAUAUUACACAUCUUUGAUUGUUUUUGGAACCUUCUAAUCUAUGAUAUUUUGGACCUUCUUAGGCUCCAUCAUUAAUAUUUAGAGUUGUUUGUUGUCCUAUUGAAAAUUGCUCAAAAUAUAUAUAUGUGAUUAAUAACACUAUCACCUUUCUUCAUUUUUAAGAUGAAUAAUUUGUCUUUUAAAUACAUCUUAAUUACUACAUCAUGUCAUUCAAAUAUUUUCAUUAAUUCUUGUUAUACUAAAUAUAUUGAUGUGCAAGAUUAUAUGUCAAAAAAUAUUAUUUUUUAGGCAAUUGUUGAUUAUGAUUAAAGACAAGGUAUCUUUAUCUACCCAUGUGCUUAUACUCUCUACUCCUAUGAUAAAUAAAAUUAAGGUUUCAAUAGUAAUUUCAGCUACUAUUAGUUCCAUUGAUAAGUAUUCUUUACCACUUACUAUAGAUCAUAAUUUUUGAGCUUUGAAUGUUAAGGACAUGAAUUGAAAGAAAAUGCAUAAAUUUAAAAAAAUUGUGUCAAAAGAAAAGAGACAAAAUAAAAAUAAAGAAGUAUGUACAUUAAAAAGAAACUUGAAUGGCUAUUGCCAGAAGAUAAGAAAACUAAAGACUCUUAAAAUUAGACUAAAAGUAAGAAAGGAGUUGAUAAGAGUGAAGAAGGCUUCACUCUUGCUUCUAUAUAUAUUAUCUACCUAGGAUCUAUGAGGCGACAUUCUAUUAGACCUCCAAAAAUAUGUUGACUUUGUAUGACACGUAUCUUGACUUACAAAGAAAGUUUUCUAUAUAAGCGCCACAUAGUCAGUUUAUUCUGCAAGCUACCAACAUAUAUAAUAUAUGAAUAGCUUGUUAACCAAGUCUCUAGAAGGUAUUAUGAAAUUAAUCUAUUUUUACUUAAUUUUAAUUAUUCAUAUUAUCUAAGUAACAAUUACAAUAGACAUAUAUCCGUGAUAUUAUUCUCUCUUCUAAAGACGAGUUCUAUGAGGAGCAAUGAUCAUAUGUUAAGAAAGUCGAAGAUGCAACAAAUCAUAUUUGUCACGUACUCUUAUUUUUGUUUCCUUUGAAAGUAGUUGAUAGGUCUUCUCAACCAUUGGUAAUAUCCCAUUUUAGAGCAAGAAGACCACCCUAUGAUUUAAACAUUAUUAAAACCUUUGUAACUUUCUUCAAACAAAAUAUUUAUAAUACCAUCAAGAAUCAUGUCUACAUCCAAUGAAAUUACCAAAUAUUGAAAGUCUUUUCUCACGUCGUAAUAUCAAACACAUUCUAUCUUACCAUCUAUUUGAAGAAGAAUAUGUUAUUCUUGAAGGUCUUCAUCUCUAUUAUGUCAUCUUGAAGGCUAUGAUAAUUACAAUGUCUUGUCCAAUAAGUCAACAAAUGAUGGCUCUUGAGUUGAAUCCACUAACUGUUGGUUGUCGAUUUCUUUAAUACCACAAUUAUAUAAAAAUUAUAAAUAAGGAUAAAAGGUAGAAUACAAUCUUUCUUGAAUUCUUUUUCUUUUAUAGCAAUGGUUUGUUAUCUUUUAUCUUGGUUUUGAUGGAUGUUGUUGAUAAAAAGUAUCCAUCAUCUUUGUUCUAUUUGUAAGAUUUUUUAUUGGCUCCCAUAUAUAUUUACUAAUAUUAAAUCUAAGCUAAUAGACAAGAUAUUCCAAUUUACUUUGGCAUUGCCUUGAGUCUAGAACUUCUUCUACUUUAAACUCUUUAUUAUUAUUCACUUCUAUAAGAAGAGGUGGGACUUGUCUUCUUCUUGAUAUGAUCACAGUUUUAUAUGGUUGAAGAAGAGACACAUAAAAUACAUGAUGGCUUUUAUUAACUUUGUUAGAUGUAAUCAAUAAGCAACUAGAUUGAUUUGUCCACAAAUAAGAAAAAGUUCAAGCUUGCAAUAGUUCAAUUUGUCACAAGGAUGAGUAGUCUUGAUAUUAUGACAAAAUAAUUAUACCUUGUUAUCUACAUUAAAUUAUCAUUUUUCCUUUCAAUACGCAUCCGAGUUGAUAUUUUCUUAUUCUUGAGCUUCUUUUAAUUGCACCUUUAUUGUUGCAUGUAGCUUUGACAAAUAAUUUGUCAAAUCUUCUGCUCUAGGAUUAUCAACUUUUGAAAAGUCAAAAGUAUCAAGUCAUGGAUGAUAACCAUAAUUGGUAAGAAAAAGUAUUUUUUACAUAAAAAAAAUACACUGUAUUAUUAUAAGUAAAUUCUACCAAUGAUAAGAGGGUUGUCAAAUCGUCUUAUUGAUAAUUGAUGGUACAUCUUAAGUAUUGCUCUAAAAUUUGAUUCACGUACUUUUUUUGUUUAUUAGUUUGAGGAUGAAAGGUCAAAGAAUGCUUUAUGUCCAUUUCUAAAAUCUUAAAAAAGAUUUUCUAAAAUCUUAAAAAAGAUUUUCUAAAAUCUUGAUACAAAUUGAGUCCCCGUAUUUGAUAUAAUAUCUUUUAGAAAUCCAUGAUACUAAUAGAUAUUGUCAAAGAAAAAAGCUUGGUAGUUUCUUUACCUGUGAUAGAUUUUAUACAUGGUUCAAAAUAUAUUAUUUUGGUAAAACAAUCUACUAUCACAAAUAUAGAAUCUUAUAAACUUGAGAUUGGAAGAUUCAUAAUAAAAUCCAUAGAAACAAAAGACCAUGGUUGUUUUAGAAUAAGUAAUAGCUAAAGAAGUCCAUAAGAUUGAUGAUAAUGAGUUUUUGACCUUGAACAAAUGUCACAUGAUUGAAAAAAGUCUUUUAUAGCCUUCUAUAUUUAUGGCCACCAAAAAUCUCUAGAUAUUAGCUCCAAAGUCUUCUUGUAUCCAAAAUGUCCUACUGUUGGAAAGUUAUGAAGUGUUUGAAGAACACGUAAACAUGCUUCUCCUUCUAAAAUAUAUAGGUGCCUUUCAAAAUAAAGUAGGUUGUUUUUGAACUUGAUCUUGGAAGUAUUACAAGACUUAAAAGAAAUGUUCUUAAUAUCAUGAAUAAGAGGAUUAGAAGACAUACUUGAUUGAAUUUGCUUGAAAAAAGUUGAAUCAACAAUGAAUAUUGAUUUCACUAUUCAAAGAUGAAAUUAUUUUAGCUUCAAUAAAAAUUUGUCCUUUGUUAAUCAAAAGGUAUAUUUCUUUCUUUUGGUGUAAGAUAAGAACAUCUAGAAAAGGCAUUAGACAAAUCUUAUUGUUUUCCUAACUGAUGAAUAAUGUUGAACUCAAAUCUUAACAAGACAUGCUUCAACAAGCCUAGCAGCAAUUCAAAACAUGUAUUAAUAUGAAAUAUUUGAGGUUCUUAUGAUCUAUAUAUAUAGUGACUAAAUUAAAAGUACCUUCUAGAUAAUGACACCAUUUUUGAAAAGAAUCAACAAUUAUAAGAAGUUCUUUAUUAUGGAUCUCAUAGUUAAUCUCAGCUAUUGAAACAUUUUUGGAAUGAAAAGUUACUAGAUAGAGCUUGUCAUCUUUUCAUAUUUAUGACAAAAUAGCACCCAUAGUAAAAUUUGAUGCAUUUUUUUCUAUAAAAAAAAUACCUUAAAAAAACCAAUGCGAUAUAAGAUUGGUGCAAAAAUAAAUAUCAACUUCAAGGCUUCAAAAGAUGCUUCAGCUUCUUUGCUCCAAUCAAGUUUGUCUUUGCAUGCAAGAUUUGUAAGAAGAAUCACAACUUGAAAAAAAAUCUUAAUGAAGAUUCAAUAGUAAUUAGAAAAGCCUAAAAAGCAUUGCACAUCUCUUAUUGUUCUUAAAAUCUUUCAAUCUAUAAUAGUUUGAACCUUCUUUGGAUCCAUUAUAAAUCUUUUGUAGGAAAUGAUAUAUCCUAAGAAGUCAACUUGAGUAGUAUGGAAUAUACACUUUUUUAACUUGGCGUCCAAUCUCGCAUCUCUAAAUUUUUAUAAGACAUGAAAAAUAUAAACUUCAUACUCUUCUAUAUUUUUAGAAUAGAUUAAAAUAUUUUUUGAGUAACAUACAACAAAAUCGUCUAAAAAAUCACAAAAAAUAUCAUUCAUGAGAUGCUAAAAAGUAGCCAAUUCAUUCAUGAGUCUAAAAGGCAUGACAUUAUAUUCAAAGUGUCCAUAUCUUGUUCAAAAUGUAGUCUUCUUUUCAUCUCUUUCUUUAAUGUAGACCAAAUUAUAUGUUCCUCAUAGAUCUAUUUUUGUAUAGAUCUUAGCUUGAUUUAAUUGAUCAAGAAGUCUAGAUAUCAAGGAUAAAGGGCAUCUAUUUUUGUUAGUAAUCUUGUUGAGUCCACAUUAAUCUAUGCACAUUUAUAAUGAUCCAUCUUUUUCUUUACAAAUAAGAUAGGAGCUCUUGCUCGAGAUUUUGAAUGGCAUAUGAAAUUCUUAGCGAAGUUCUUGUGAAUGAUACUUUGAAAAAAUAUCUGCAUUUUUUUUCUCAAAUACAUCUUGAAAAUCUUCAUAUUGACUUAGAAAGCCACUUGAAGUCUUUCUACUAUUAAAAAUGGAUGUGGCAUAAAUAACAAAAGGCGAUCCUUCUUUUGCAGUAUACAAGAAAGUUUUUGAAUCGACAAGUAUGGGUUUGGCUAUACUAGAUUCAUGACUUUCCAUAAAACUUUUAAUAGUACUUUGAAAGAAAUUAAAUUUACAAGAAAUCCAAUCUAUCAAAAGAUUAUAUCUUUUAGCCAUGAUAAACCUAAAAUUAUUGGAUUAGAGAGAGACCUAAUUAUAUUAAAAAUUAUACAACUAUUAUGACCAUUUAUUGUUACAUCUAUAGAAAGUAUUCUAUGAAUAAUAUCUGUAGAAGAUAACAGAUAGCUAUCUACGACUUCUACAUUUACAUGUUUAAUUUUUUGUAUUAAUGAUAUUUUAUGGCUUUUAACAAACUCUUCAUCUAAAACACAAGUUAAAGCUCCUGAAUCUAUCAAGGUAGAAACUUCGUGAUUAUUAGAUCCUAAAUACACAUCUAUCAUAAAAUAAGCAAAAGGUUUUGAGGAAAGAAUAAGACCUUCAUUUGUACAAGAUUCCAACUGCAUCGUCCCUAUUAUAGCUAAGCAAAUUCAUUUUUUGAUAUGUUUUCUUCUUUGACAAUCGUACUCAUCAUUUUAUAAUUGCAUCAUUUCUUUGGACAAUAUUGAGCAGUAUACUUAAUUUCUCCAUAAUAGAAAUAGAGCCCUUCUUAACAACAAUAAGUCUGUUUUUUGUUUAGUAAGAGAUUUAAAACUUAUUCUAUGAAUUUAUAUGUCUUCUACUUCCAAAUUUUUAGAUUAAAAGGUUAUUGAUGUUGUAAUUGAAUUGUAAUAUAGUGAAGAUUUUCUUGCACAAUUUUUAGAUUGAAACUCAAAAAGCUAAUUAUCACACUUCGUAGCAAAAUCAAUUGCUUGACUUAAUGUCUAAAGAUCAAAUAACUUGAGAAUCAAUUUUUUUACUUCAUAUUGUAAUUCGUAGAAAAAUUGGAUGAUAAAGGCAGCAUCAUUUUACUUGAUAUCAAUUGCUAGUUGUCAAAAUUAUCAAGCAUAUAAUAUCACUAAUUGAUUGCCUUGUUGCAAGAUACAAAUCUUAUUAAUUGUAAUACAAAUUGCAUCAUGUUCACUAUACAUGGAUCGAAACUCUACCAAAAAAGCCUCCAAAAUAUCCAAUAUUGGAUUUUGUCAUUCAAAAAAAGAUGAAAACAAUGAUAAUGUCAAAUUUGAAAGAAGUGUAUCAAUGAAUCUAAUUUGUGAUUUCAAUGUUGGAUAGCUUUGAGAUUGAAGUUCAAUCACAAGUUGUACUUGAUUGAUAAAUUUUUGAAAUUUGAAUCUUGUACUAUCAAACUUCUUAGAUAAUGCAACUUUAGAUUCUCUAAUACUAGAAGAGUGUUCUACUAUAGAAGAGGAGAUGUAAUUUAGUGUAGAUAUUGAAGCAGCUAUAAUCAUUUUUGUAUCUUCUUUUCCAGAUAUUUUUGUUGCUCUAAGUAGCAAUAAACUGAAUAGAUGCAUCGCAAGUAUCAACUCCUUUAAUUUCUCUUGUAUUUGUGCCAUUGCAUUCUUCAUUUCAAGAAGCUCUGCCAUAAUAACACUAUGAAAAAAAAAUAUCAAAUAUUGUUGAAGACAAAUAGAAGAGAAGACUUGAGAACAAAGAAAAUAUCAAAAAUAAUAUUAGUUUAGAAGAGGGUAAUCUGCAACUUCUAAUACUUUUAUGUCUUAUCAAAAAAAAAAGGAGUAAUCUACUCUUAAUCAAAAAAAGACAAAGCUCUAAAACUGUAAAUAUACACUUGUCAAUUUCUCAAAGACAUGAACUAAAAGAAAAUGCAUAAACUUUAAAAUUUUAUUUUAAAAGAAAAGUAAAAAAAUAUAAAUAAAGAAGUAUGUAUAUUAAAAAGAUAUUUGAAUGGCUAUUGCCAAAAGAUAAGAAAACUAGAGACUCUUGAAUCUAAACUAAAAAAAAAAAAAAAAAAAAAAAAAAAAAAAAAAAAAUGACAAGAGUGAAGAAGGCUUCAUUCUUACCUCUAUAUAUACUAUCUACCUAGGAUCUAUGUAGCGACAUUCUAUAGGACCUCCAAAAAUAUGUUGACUUUGUAUAACAUAUAUCUUAACUUGCAAGGUAAGUUUUUUAUAUAGAUGCGACAUAAUUACCUUGUUGUCCAAGCUACCAACACAUGUGGCAUAUAGAUAGCUUGUUGACCAAGUUCUAACCUACUAAUCAACUACAAAUAUAUGUAAAAUCAAAACAGCAUCUAAGAAGCUUUUAAAAAGCUUUUUUAAAAGGUAUUAUGAAAUUAAUCUAUUUUUAUAUAAUUCUACUUAUUCAUAUUAUCUAACUAGCAAUUAUAGUAGAUAUAUAUCCAUGACAUUGAAAAUUAAUAUUAAUUUAUGUUUCCAUAUAUUAAAAUAUAAACCUUCAAAUUUUGAAACAUGAUUGAUGUAUACUUUUUGUGUCAUCUUUAAUAUUCUUAAUUUGAAGUUGAAUUGAAAUUAUUUAUUAAUUUGUUCUUGAAGCAUUCAAUUUUACCUUUAUUUAUGAUUUGUUUAUUAUCAUUUUUAGGUUUAUAUUUUAUGCUUCUCAAGGUUUGAAGAACUUCAAGCUUUUCAUCAACAUUUCCUAUUACAAUAGAUUAUUUUAUUGCUAUCAUUACAAUCUUAUUUGUAAUUUUAGCAAAUUUUUUCUAGAUUGAAGCAUUCAUCUACUCUUAUAGUUUUUAGGGAUCAAAUAUUUCUAUAGUUCUGAUACCAUGUUGGAAACAUUAUAUGUAUUGAUAUAUGAUCAAUGUUACACAGUACAUUAUAUUGUGUGUACAAAAGUGAUACCAAGAGUCACAACUCUUGGUGUAAGAUCAAUAUUUAGUAGAUAGUGUUCUAUACAUGAGACUAGUGUACUAUACAGAAUAAUUCUCCCAAUAAGGUGUACAGGGCAUACUACAGUCAGUGUUUUGAACGUUGACAAAAUAGAUAAGAAAUAUGUGUAGGUCUGGACCUGCAGGCAAUGCACGCUCCCCAUGCUCAUUGCCUCCGUCCCCUCUAAGUCCGCUUCAAUUUCCUGACAUAAUGCAUCAACCCUCCUACUGAGGGGUGAACGCAGUGGUUUUGCCUACAGCUCCCCUGCCAAUGGCCGCGCCUCGGCGCAAUGUAAUUUCAUAGUUACUUUUAACUCCGGUGGGGCUUUUUAAGGUGGUGUGACAGUGCUUGACCAAGCACUCCGCCAUGAAUUCUGACACCGACCAUGGUGAGACAGAUCGAGAGAGAGAGAGAAGUGGAGCGUCGGUGGACUGCUCCGACGUGAAACCGACUAUCACUCACCCACGGAUUGUAAACAGCAGUUGAUAUUGUAUAUACAGACACCCGCCCUCUGGAGAUCGUGCGCUUGGCCGGUCUGGUACUUCUCAUUCAUUCUACUACAGACUGUUGUGUGCAUUUUGGGGGAAAAUGAGGUAAAAAUUGUGGUGUGUUUUUUCUGACAUCUUCUAGCUCGCUCUGGAGUAAUAUAGAUGCUUGGAGCUGGAGGAGAGAAGCACAUGGUUGACGAUUUCAUUCAAAAAGUAAUCCAAAGCCAAAGAGGAUUGAUUGUUACUCCCAUAACAGGAAGCCAGCCAAUGCUGUGAACACCUGCAGCGGGGAGAAAGACCACAGGGAAUAGUCAAGUGAAUUCGCCGGUUCUUACGUCAAUGUAAUCGUCUUCAAGGAUAUGUCUCCGCUGCAUCAGCUCCUUCAAGAUCCAUGUCCCCAACUUCGCCAAAUUCUUUAAACGAAAGGACUGAACACAGAUCCUCCGCCAGCCGCCAUAUUGAGUCUACAGUGAAACGGCAACAAAAUCCAUUUCAGCUGUGUCUGCACUUACACACUUGCACGUUAUACCUCCCAAUUUUUGGAUUGAAGAGUGUAUCAGGAAAAAGCAUGUACAGAAAUAUACAGUGAAGUGGGUUGGGAGAUUGAAAAAUAAGGGACUGCCUGUGCAGCUUGAGUGAAUCUCAUUAUUGACAGACACCCCGUAAAGAAUUAAUCUUUUCCACAACCAUUCCUGAGAAUGCAGUGAUAUUACAAUAAUAAAGGGCUGGUGAGACUAGUUGCGCGUUGUGCAGCGCAGAUACUCACUUGCCCCAUGUCCUACAUUUUACACGUCCACUGUGCGUCUACGCGCCAGCUAGGAGUUCGAAGAAUGAACCGUUUGUAUACAUCUACACGAAUCAAAUUGUCACUAAUCUGUGCUUUCCUUCUGGAAUAUGCAAGUUUAAUUUUGUGCUGAUGGUAUCUUUUCCCACCCUACGGUAUAUAAACAGUCCCUGAGAUGUACAGCGGAUAUGUACAAAAGCAGCACUGCGCAGUCGAUAAAAUUACCCCCCCCCCCCAGACUUCGGUUAAUCACUGCUUACUGGUAAAGAUGAAUUUGCAAUUUUCAAUUAGCUCAUUGCCACCGGGACGGCGCACGUCAUUGCAACUUAAGGCAAGGUUCAGUGUCGAGGCGAUUGGGAAUCAGUUGAAAUCGCCGGCGUAGCUAAAGUUGAAGUCCAUACUAGGCGGUGUCGGAAUUGCGGGAUAAACCGAAUGCUCGGUUACUGCAGGCCCUCCAUACGAUGGAUUUGACCGAUCCUCGUAACUCACUGCAGAAAACAUGGUUUCCAGUCCCUGAUCAUUGCUAGAUCUAGCGUUUGUGUAUCCCAUGGCAGACGACCGGAGCGUGCUUUGCACUUCCUCAUCGAAUGUGGAGUGACCCGCCGGCAAUAUCUUCUCCUGACCACUACUCGGGCAGAGGUGGUAAGAUCUCGGCGGAUGCCGGAACUGGGCCAUGAAGCUGUUGGCCAUGGGUCGGGUGCUGAGAGCCGGACGAUGUACAGAGGAUGUCGAUGCCAGAUGUCCCAUGAGCCUUGAACUCUCAAGGGUAUCAUGGUUAAUGGUCAUAGAUUGCUGCAAUUUCCAGUCAUUGGCCAAAGUCAGCAAACUUCCUGGGUUAUUCGACAUCGUCCCUUUCUGAAUGCUGUCAAAGUUGGCUGACAAACACCCAUUCUCUGAGGCCUUCUCCGUCAGCCUGUUGUCCCCAAGAGCCUCCUGCUGAACCGCUAAUUCUAGGUUUCCGUUCAGCGAAUUGAGGCGAGGUAGGACGAACCUGAGGUCGUCAACUGAGUCGGGAAGCGACGCUAACACCUCUUCGACGCUGGAAUUCUCGUACUCCUUGCUAGCUCGUUGCGCGUGAGAGGUUUUUUCAUAAAUUCGGCAUAGGACCCAAUCAUCAAGCUGCAUUACCAAAAUUUAGUCAAAAGGUGAGGAGGAAAAUUCUCGAGACUACGUUGGACAUGUUCUCAGAAACCCUAGAAGUUCAACUUCGAAAACCUGGUCCUAAAUUCUCAUAAACAGCCUUUAAUAAGACCUAACGGUAGUGCAUGUGAGGUGGGGGAAUGGAGGACAUACUCGCGAAGAGUUCCUUCGAGGAUGAUGAGUGGAGGUCGAGACACCUUCAGCGAGGCGAUACUCGUGCAUGAUCCAGUUCGUUUUCUCGCCCUUUGGUGCUUUACCGCGGUAAAAAACCAGCGCCUUCUUCACUCCCACCUUACUGUGUCCUUUGGACAUGUGGAUGGGCUUAUCUGUCCCUGUGGCUUUCCAGUAGCCACUCGCGGCAGCUCUGUUGGGCCUGGCGCCAUUGGGGUACUUCCUGUCCCUUGGAGAAAAGAAAUACCAUUCUCUCUCUCCGAACAACGCCUUAUCUGUACUCGUUGCACAAUUAAGCAUCACUUGUUAGGCCACAGACUACAAUUUGGGGAUCCUUUGCAAGUAUGUUACGACAUGAUUGCACUGUUGUCAUAUGUACAGACAAACCCAGCUGCACGCAUUAAUUCCAAUUCGCAGGACCAAAAAACAGCUUUGAGAAUAAGGACGCAUCUAAUUCUAUUGGGAAGGAACACCGAUAAACCCAGGAAUGGCUUGGUCCCCCCCCCCCCCCAGAGCUUACGCACAUGUAAAAGUUUUAUAAUCAAGUAUUCGAUUCCAGGUUUGAAACAUCGCUCACCCAGGUAGUACUGGAUGUGAAGUUGGAUGGAGAAUCUUACUGGGGAGAUCCCAAGGGUCGAACUUGUACAGGUCUACUUCAGCUAUGACGGGUAUUUGGAAGACUCCAGAGUUUGCCUUCCGGCGGAGGUAGUGCAGCACGAGCUCCUCGUCGGUUGGGUGGAAGCGGAAGCCUGGAGGUAAGCGCAGUUGGUCAAUGGAUCCUCGGGUCGGCUUCAUGAUCACCAUCGUACUCGUGGAAUCGCAAUUCUCAGCAAACUUUUCGGUGUAUUCUAAGAAUCCGAAGAAACUUACACGCUGAGAAGUAUUCCAAUUUUGUACUGCAGGUCAAGUGCUGCCUGGCCAAAGUUAUUUUUCUUCGUUUCCCUCUUAAUUUGUUUUAUUAGAAAUGUUACUCUAGACUGGAUGCAGGAUACUUGGCUUCAACACUGCCCGGACAAAGUCUUGCAAGGCUGUCACUGGAGGAAGACGAGGUACCUAGACUGGAUGAUUCUGGCAAAACCUUGUCUGGUUAGCCGACGGGCGCUUACAGUAGUAGGAGAAGUAGUAGUUGUAGUGGUAAGGUGACUAAGACGGAUCUUUGAGACAGCGGGAAAGGAUAAUCUAAUGAACUUGGAUUCGAACACUUUCGGCAUUAGUGCAGCAAGUCCCGUGGUGGAAGGCUUCCUGAAUCGAUACUACGCUACCAUGCUCACAAAUCCGCAGACCUUGCUACGAUUCUUCUUUACCAGAAACUAGAUUCACUUUUAAGGAGGCUUCUCAAGACCUCGUUUCCACUUACCUACUUGUCCAGCAGCGCUUUCAAGUGAGGACUGGACUCAAAUGUUUCUAAAUUGGAACACUCUUGGGCUCAAUUCUCAUGAAACCACCUUGGUCCAAAUUGUUUUGCGGAAUGAUUCAUUUGCAAAUCUGUAUCCUCCAGCAAAGUUACUAUGAGAGGGCCUUUCUAUCAUUAAUUUUAGUUCCUAUGCGAACGAGAAGUAUGAUGACAAAUUCAAGGCUACUCUGGUGUGUUUGCCUUAUCGUCUACCAAGCUGUCGUCAAACGAUAAUCUGGCGCCACAAGUGCUGUAAACUUAUGAUUAACAACUGCUAAGUUUUGCCUCUCAUUUCAUGCUUCACUAGAACAUGCUCUACCUCGAAUUGAACCUAAAGGUCGCAGAGGCUAAUCAAACCCUCGCUUACUACUCUCUGUGACUAUCUAGAAUAUUAAGGGCGUCUGAGUUCAUGACACUUUAUAUGAACAUACUUCAAUAUUAAGCUAGAUAAGCUACCUACAUGUCGUUGUUCUCCUAACAGUGAUAGAAAGCAAAUUUUCGGACUGCGGCGCUCGACUCGGGAUCUUCAAUUCCCUGGGAACUUUUAGCACCACUUAUCCCUCGACCCUGAGCAUCACUUCAGUAAUACAGCUGCUGUCUCCAGCGACGCUGAGCUACACGCUCCACAAACUUAAACUAAACAGAAUUUCACACAGUAUGAAAGGUAUCAGCACCAACCCACACGCAAGCAGGUCGCCACGCUAGCCACGGAAGUUCUCUCCGACCCCCUCCGCUCGUAGACAUACCGGCUUAUGAAACACCUGAUCACUGAAACGAGUACUGCACCACGGAAUCAGAAUGUAUAAGUAGUUGAUGAGACUGUACAUAUAAACCAGAAACGUUGGCGGCGUUGAUAAGGCGGAGUUAGGCUGCGUUGAUCUGAGCUGCGACGAUGGUGUUCAGACAAUAGAAUUGGGGGCGAAAAACUAUGGGAGAGGCGGAGAGAAGUGGUUAGGUAGUGCAGAGCCAUUGCCUAGAGACGGCGAUGAAGAUCACGUUGGGAAAGUCUUCUGGGCCCCACGCUCCAUCGUCUAUGUGCAUGCAACUCAGACACAGUAUUCCUCUCAUGAACUUCUCGCCCUUUCUCCCAGGCCCCACCUCCCGCUUUCACUGUCACCAGGUUUCUUCACUGAGCCUCCGACAAGCGACUGCAUCCUCACCCUACAUUCCAAUCCCUGCCAACAAUAGCAAUGCUGCGUUCUCCAUCGUCUGUCUGCCGAUCAGAUCGUCCGGACACUAUCGCAGCUCUGAUUCUAUCAGAACUCCCAUUCCUUUUGAGAAAACAGGCUCAUGUCCGUGAAUUCCGCAACAUGCGAUACAAUCGCGGCCACGGCGGUCGUGCUUUCACUGACAUCACCCGAUCGCAUUCCUGAAUACCGAUAUGUAAGUCUUGAGAAUCAACGCCUUAAUUGAGAAAAAGCUACUGAUCGAGCCAUGGAUUCCGUCGGGUAGGCUCCACGAGAGGAGUGGAGAGAGAGACAGACAGACGCACGGUUUCAAAACCUGGUUCCAAGCAUGGUUUAAAGAAGGAGGCGGAUAAAGGACUCUUGUGGAAUAUUCCAUCCACGUAGAUGAAAUGAAGAUGUGUGGAUGGAAUGAAGGAUGAAUGAACUUUUUGCCUUGCAGAUAUGCCUCUCCAGGCUUGUCCUUCCGAAGGGUAGAAAGCUAACGAAUAGUAGGCGAGAUGGAGCGGGGCCGGCUCGAUUCGGAUCGGGCCGGACCGGGCCCCAGUUUAGGUACCCGGCCCGGGGCUGAGUAGGCCACCCACUACUGCUUUAAGAGUUGUUGGCCAUGUGGGGGGACUGGUGCCCGUUGGCAGAAACCGAGGGCACUGAAAAAGAGUCCCGACAUAUGGGCGUGCGCCACGCGUCCUUCAGCACCAGCUGGACCCUGUGGAACUAUUCCGCGGAAAGCUUCUUCGCGGGAGCUGAGGUGGACGUGAAGGGAAAUUCUUGCCUUGGUGGCGUUGGAGUGUGGGUCGGUCUUCCAAAAGACAUGAAGAAGCCGGUGGAGGAGAAUGACGUGGGACCCAUGACCGUGGCCCUAAUUUCACCCCCAACUUUUGAUGGGUAUACCAUAUUUGAUAAAAAUAAAUUAUUAAUCUAUUUGAAAAGUGAUGUUUAAAUAAUGAAGGAAAGGUAAAACCCCUUGAACCUUCUUAAUAAAAAUGUGCGAAAUUGGUUAUUUGCCAUUAGAACAGUAAAUUGAAACAAGUUAGAAGAUAUAUGUUUAUGAUUCUAUCAAAACAUUGUUCCAAUUUGUUCGAAGGAAAAUAGGCCAUAAUUUUAUUUUAAAAAAACUAUCCAUUAAAUUUUAUGAAUGGAACGGAAAAUUUUAAGUUGGAAAGUUUGUUGGUGGAGAAUUUGACCUGCAAGGCAGUGUUCUUGAAGUCAUCCAAAAGUUCAGUUUCCAAGGGGAAUCGAAUAUUUAUAUUUCAUUGUUAGUUUAAGAAGCAUCAUUCACAACUUUCCUAAUAAAGAAUAAGUCAAGGUCCGAAGAACAAAAUCCUUGGGCGUAAUAAUAUGAAAGCAAAGCGGUAAGACCAGGGCAGGCACAUUAACUACUUGAGCUCCUACAAUAGUUUUGAAACCCCAUACCUUCGUCGGGGGAAGUUUCAUCAUUUGACUCACAUUUAGGGUAUUAUUAUCUUGCUUCCAUGAAAGUCCUAAAUUGUGCAACAUUCACGACCUACUUAAACCUAGAUCAGGUGUAAAUAAAUGAAACAGGGACUGCAAGAUGCAGGUCUGAUGUGGUAAGGAUAAUACAUUUAACAAACUGUUUGAAAGUAAAAUGAAUUAAAAAAGAAAAAAAAAAGAAAAAAAAAAGUCAAAGCUGUUACAUCUGUACAGUCCUCCCAUGUGCUGCAGAAGAAAAACAAUAAAAAAAAAAUUAAUAAUAAAUAAAGCAACUGUAGCGCGGGGGACUAAACCAGGGAGCCUCUUAUGACCUCAACUGAUAACCCAUACAAUAGCUUUUACUAAUAAAAGAAAUGUACAAGAGAUCCUCAUUUUAUGCUGAUAAAAUUUUAGUGAUAUUCCUUCUCUACACUACCUCCACUGAGGAAAUUCCUUAUAAUCAGAUAUUGGUUUUUAGUAAAUAAACUGGGUGAGAAACAAUUGGUAGAACGAAAAUCUCCUUUUCAAUGCUAAAGCGACAACAAGACACAUAAAAGCUCUCGGUCAUUGGCCUCAAACCUCAAGUAAAAUAGACAUCCUCACAUUCCCAUAUCUCCAGACUCGAUAACUUGCAUCUGACAACCGAAGCGUAGAAUAGAGGUGAUUCUUAUGGAUCCUGUUGAUGCAGAAAACGGGGCUAAGACCAAGUAAAUUCGGCACCGACUUUAGAGAGUCGGUAAAGUCGACCUGGAGGAUGGUAGUAGUCUGCAGUACCCUUUUGUUUCAGUUGGUAACACCCGCUUAGAUCAACAUUCUGUGCUAUGCGGAUAACGAGAACAUUGUAAGUUCUGAGGGCAUCAAACAGUUUCACUGGUAAUGGAAACAACCCUUUUAUGAGUAACUCCACAUGUGCUUCUCUUAGUGUGUCAUGCGAACAUUUCCCAGAGGUUAUCAUAAUAAUAAUCAUUUCCGUAAGUUUAGCAACUGCUUCAGACGUUAAGUAAUUACGCAAGGCGAUUAUUUUCGGCCUCAGCAAAAUCCUUUGAUCAAAUUAAGAAAAUACCGUGUGCCAGAUUCAAUCAAAUCAUGGCAAUACAUAUGCCGCUGUGAGAGAGACACAAAUCUACAGAGGGGCAACCAAAGACUCCGCUCUCCAACUAUUUCUUCUUAAAAAAUGACAACAAACUACCUUGCCCUGGUCCUUGCCCUUGCCCUUUCGACGCAGCUUUGCCUCCAGUUUUAGCAGGAGCUUUGGCAGUGGUCUUCUGUGGUGGUUUAGAUGGUGCGGUAGCCCUACAGAAACCUCAAGGAAUGUGCACAGUAAGAUUUCAAAAACUAGAUGAUCUUACAGCAGCUAGAUUUUUGUGGAGGAUUCAGAACCAUGUUGCAAAUUACCGGCAGUUAGGAGUUUCAGGUUAGAAGAUUGAAAACCAUCCAAUACCUUUCAGCAGCCACCUUCGAUGCUACAAGCGGUGCUGGAACCUUGUCCGGCACAGGUGCAGGCUUUGCUUCAGGCACAUCCUCCACUCCAUCUGUCUCCCACACUACUUCUGUCACUGAGCAAUUAUAGCAAGACAUUGAUCAGAUUUUCAGUAUGCUAGUUCACCUGCCAGUUUUAGGCAAAAGGCACUGACAAAAACGAUUGCAUAGAGCUGUGCAAGUAGUGAAGAUAAAAUCUGAUACGUGACGCAACUACUACCGAGAUGUCGAGAAUAAAGUUGCAAGUUAAAAAUUUAAGUGGGAUGAUUUUUCCUGUCAUUUACCUUCUCUGCCACGGUUGUCAAUUCUUGUCUUGAGCACUUUCUUUCGCUUUGGACCAGGGUGAGGCUUUGCAAGGAUUUCUGUUUCAAUUUCCGCCUCCCUCUUUACUCCGCCUGAAGACCCAACUGGCUGAUGGGCUUUUUCUGGAGUACUAGCUACAACCACUGGUUGUGAACUACUAUUAUCCCCUUUCUCUUCGUCGAUUUCCAUCCCCGUUGGCCCUACAAAGUCUGCCUCUGCUCGUGUGUCUACAUUUUGACGCUCCACCGUUUCUACCGGGACUGAUUUCUUAAACGGUUCCGGAGAUGCCAGGUUGAUGGCAGCCUGGGAGUUGAUUAUCUCGUCAUCUUCAGACAACUCUUCAUCGAAAACAACCUGCCGUUUCCGCCCCUUGCCGUUCUUUGCUUGGCAGCGCCGAAUCCGAGCGAAGUCAUUCCCCUCCCCAUCACUGCUCGACUCAUUACCAUCAGCUUCCAUUGCUCUAAUUCCAGCCUCUGCAUCACCUGUGAACAAGUGACAGGUGAGAAUCAAGCAGAUCUGAGUUUUCAUUCCCAAAACACACCAUUGGAAUCUGUUGACAUAGAGUAUCUCGAACCGCUAAAUCGACCGGUCCCUGCUUCAGAAUUAUAAGCACAUGAACAGGGAAAGUCACUGUUACAAUUAGAAACAACGACUACGAAUUACGAAAUCUAUAUAUUAUUAGGUUAGAGCAAUUGAAGCAUACCAGCAACGAGGGCAGGUUUAGCUUUUGACUCUUGUGGAGUAUCGGCCUUAACUUUUGCAGGUGCUCUUCCCCACAGAUUAGCCAAAGAACCACCUCCUACUGUCAUGCCCACUUUUUUCUUACCAGUAGCGACAUUUUCUGCCACUGCUUUACCAGGAACCCCAGUCGUUGCUGAGCUUUUUCCAGAACCCUCUUCGUUAACAACUGCUGCUCCUUUCAGUGUGUUCUUCACAUCUGUUUCCUUCUGAGCUGUAGGAGUCAGAGAUGUCGAUUGAGGUACUUGUGGUUCUGAAUUGGAAGGCUUUAAGCCUGCCAAAUGCUUCGAGGAUGCAGACACACCCACAGACGAGGAUGGUUCUGCUUUCUGUUGCUCAACCACUGGUUUACUUCCUCCAGCAUUUCUUAUGACAAGUGAGUACGAAACUGAACUAAACCUGCACAAGAAAGGAAUAAUCGUUAAUCGUUUAAACCGAGAUCAUAUCUUAUGACACAACCGAUGACAAAGUACACACCAAUAUCGUGGUCGAGGUACGAUUCUUAGGCUCACAUAUUCGUAGGGAUGGAAAGUGCAUAACAAUGCGAGUCACUGACCGAUUAUCUCGAAGACAAUUGUCAAUAUCACGCGGUUGCAUGAACAAUUCCUGAGCUUGCACAAACUCAGCACUGAACAGCUGAGCAGGAUCCUUAGUUAGGCAAGGUUGCACACUGUAUACAUGGUGGGAUGCAGACCCGUCAAGUCCCAGUAAUGCAUCUGCACAAAUAGCAGACGAACACAAAUUCUUAGGGCGGGUACACAGAUUUAAUGAGAUCUCUGCACUUGAAAUUAUCCCCCACCGUCCUCCAACAUAACGAUAGCAUCGGAAGAUACGAAGCGAUACACUCUAGUAAAUACAUAACAGACAUGGUAGUUAACAAAUGCAUAGAUCAUAAAGACACCUAAGCGGCAAGCUCUGAUUGAAAAGAAUAUGUCGAGGCCGGUGUAAAAUGACAGGAGUACCUUGCAACUUGGCUUUUGGCACAAGUUGUACAGUGUAAGUCGAUGGUUCACUUUUUGACCAUCCAGAAACGGCGUAUACAACUUCAACCUUAUUCCCCUCGUUCUGUUUGGCAAAUUCUUGUAAGAUCCUGGUUCAAAUACAAAGUGAAGCAACUAAAUGAGUUGCUCCAAACAAAUAAUCUUUUAGGAAUAAAACUAGGAACGGAUGCAUGAGUAGACCGGUAACCCUACACCGGCAAGAGUCCUACAAUUUUCAACUAACUGUUAAUUUAAACAUUCAAUGCACAUCGAUAAUCAUCGGCAGCUCACGAGUUACCUCUUUGCGACAUUUGAAGAAACAGAAAAAUUCCGACUCAGCCACUUAUAAGACACCUGCAAGCAUCCCUCAAGGACCUCACAUAGUCAAGGACAGCAUGCGAUACUACCAAUCAAAUCUUGCAUAAAAAACGCAGGUGAAAUUCUUAGCGCACAAUUAAAUUAACAAGUUUGAGUAAUACACAGACAGCUUCCAAACAUUAGAUUGUCAUCCAUCCAGACAGUAAAAGUCCACAAAGCACCCAACCAUUAAGCAUCAUAUCAUCGAGAGUUGGUCGUUAGAGUAGUGAUAUGUGGAGAAUGAAAGGAGAGAAGAGUUUCAUAGAGGUCAAGUUGAAAAAAGAAGAUAAGCUACCAAUAGGAUGAAUGAGAGAAGAGAGAAGCUCUCAAACUGGACAGAACGUCCUAACGCAUGUCUCAUUGAAGAAUGCCAGACACCAAUUCAAGACACCUUGAGGAGGGAGAACCGUACCACUUGAGAGGCAUCAAUGACAAGAGACUGGACUUGGUCAAGAAUUCCUGAGUCCGGUACAGAACCCUCCAUGGCCCCAGAAAAGUAAUUGCAAUGUACUAAUUUCACUGAACUAACUCUAACACUACCAAGUCUUCAUAUUACUGCACUACAUAACUUCUAAUCGACCUCAGUAUCCUUUGUUUCCUCGAAUACGUUUGGUCAUGUCCACCUGCGGCAGAGAAAACAACCUCAGAGUUGUUAAGGGACAAGUCAUUCAUUUGAUAACCAGAAGAAACUCAGAAAACCUCAUAUGCAGAAAUAUGACUUGUCACACUAAGUUCAUAUUAGAACAAUAGAUACUUCAACGCACCAAUUUCUAGAGAUCCGCUAAACCAACAAACCAGACCGGCAGAAAACCAUUCAAUAGAGCUAUCCUUCGCUUGCCAGAUCAAGGUUUCCAAGUUUUGCCACAACGGCAAUGGAUUGCAGAGAGACAGCAUGUGAGAAGCACCUGGCCACGUUUGCACUGAAAAUAAGUCUCUCGCAGACCCACACAAACGGAAGGAACUGAAGGCGGUCUCUCUUUAGCACAUUCCUUGAAACUCCGCUUCUCUUCCUGCACCAGGGAAAAAAGCACGAGCCAUGAACCAUAUUUACUUAAUCAUACUCAUAUGAAAGCAGCAGAUGAAACUACUAAGAAAAAAAGGCAAAAAAUCCUCAAGUAAAUGAAAAUUCUAUCGAAUAUACCACGAACAGAUUUCAAACUCCUGGUAAUAAUCACUGAGAGAAUGUAUACAAGCACUUCAAGUAUAGUGCCAUUCUGAGAGCCACACCAUAGCACAAAAAGGAGCCAUUUGGAAAAAUAAAAAUUAGAAGCAAAAAACUCAAACCACCAAUCAAUCAAAUCAUCACAGUUUGAUUCACAAAGGCAAUUUAGACCUGAAAAGAACUCGUUUCAACUUGAAGGAUAGCUUGCGAAAAUGAAGGAUCGAUCCCAUGGCAAGUGGUCACUCAAUGGAGUAGAGCAAGAAUAUUAUAUCCAUCUUCUUUCACAAAUGGAACACCGCAACAAUUUCACGAAUUCAAAGGAAGUAAACAACUGGGGAUAAGAAGAGCUGACAGCCUUUCGACCUCUACCACGAUAUAUUCGCUCCUAAGCCAAGUGUAAUCGACAUUUCUCAAGUGCAAUGCAAAACCAAGCUUCCAAGAGCGGUAAAAAAAUUUAGGGUUCUUGAACUUGAUCAAAAUCCUGAUCGCACGCGCACAUUGCUCGACCAAGUCUACCCCUCUAAGGUGUCUCGCCUCAACAGAGAGCGCAGACGCGCAAGAACCACAAUUCCACCUGCUCCAACUAAAUUCCAGCAGAAGCUGACCACUAACGUCACUCUACACGAUAAUCCACCCACUCACAUCCAAACAGCAGUGGCGCAGUCGCAUCUGCCGGACAACCCCCAACCAGCCCUACUCGCACCAUCUAUCCUUUACAUUCAAACACCUACUCCCUCACCUCAACGCAAACACCUAAAACCCUUGCAAUCACACCACGUCCGAGAAGAAACUAAACACCAAAACCUAAGCCACCUCUUCACGGAAUCGUUUCAACGGAAGCUCAUGAAAAACGCGCGGCACUCACAGACAAUUGAACAGCUCAAGUGACCUCGGAAACAAAUUGCGAUUAAAUCCUGAAAUUAGCACCGAUUUGGGAAAGAAAAAGGGGGACAGAGAGGUGAGGAGUGGGCGAUGAGGAGGGGUGGAGUGGAGUGGAGUGGGCACCUUGAUGCAGGGUGAGUCGGCGAGGCACUUGGCAAGCUCCAUUGCCAAACCCUUGCAGGAUUUUGCCAUGGCUAUGGACACGGCGUCGGGCAGGCAAGCACACGGGGACGCUAUUGAACGGCCGCUGGCGGGAAAUGGAGCUCCCCUUCGUCUUCAGGGCCAAGCCUCUCGGUUAUAGGGGCCUUCAACCGUCUUUUGAUCCUUUUCCGUGGUCGGGCCUUGUCACCGUGUCGCCUGCUUGUUGGCGCACUGGCCAUUCUCUUAAAAAAAUGAUGCUCGUAGUACUCUCUCUUUGUAUUUUUUAUUUUUUUAUUUUUAAUGGUUUCUUAAUUUAUGUCUUGGGUUUCUCUUAUUGAUCAUUCAAAUAUUGGAAAUCGGAGGGUUUAACUGUGUUCUUUGAUUAAAUUCUUGUUUGUUUAUUUUUCAUCUGACAUUCCAUCUAUUUGUGUAGAUAUACACAUGGGAUAUACCUUUUUGGUAUAUUAAUUAUGGAUGAGUGUAUUAUAUUAUUUGUAUUUAAGAAUUAAAAUAUUGAUAUUACACGAACUAUAGUAAUAAUUUUAUCCAUAUCAUUGUUACGGUUUGAUAUAUUUUAUGACUUUGAUUGAGAUUCAAAAUGUGUUACUAAUUAUCAUGUGUGUGUAUCCACAAACAAGGUGUUAAAAAUAAUUAUAAAAAAAUAUAAAAAAUUAAUAUAUAUAACCACUAAAAAAAUCAUUUUUAAAAAUAUAAUUUUAUUUUUAGAAUAUAUAAAAAAAUUUAUUAUCUUUCAAGAAAUUAAGUUAGUUUUUGGUUAAAAGCCACAAAAAAUUUCUGUAAAAAGAAUGCUUAAUUAAAAUAAAAAUAUUAAUAAUACAUUGAAUACAGUUUUUAGAUAGUUAUUUCUAAGAUACAAAAAUACUUGUAAACUAGGAGAGAAUGAGAUUUAAAGGAAGACUUGACAAGAUUAAAGAUGUAAUGUUAAACAAUUUACACACAUUUACACUACUUGUCAUCGAAAGAUACACAUGCAAAAUAUCCCAAUUCACUGUAAAAAACAUAUACUUUAUUAAGUUUUAAACCAAAAGUUUGUAGUAACAUUAUUAUGUCCAAAUUCUUUCUUAUUGAUGCCACCAUCAUGGUUACCCAACUUCCAUUUUUUCAGUACACAAUUCAUAUUUUGAAUAAGGUUUUUUAAGAAAAUAAAUUAUUUCAGAUUUUUUUAAAUGUUAUUUUUAUGAUAGUUUUCGAUUUUUUUUCAUAGAAUGACAUUUGUAUUAAUUAUUCUAAAUUUAUUUUCACACUAUUAAUUUCUAAACUAGUUUUUAUAACUUUCUUUUCACAAGACAUAAAUAGAAGUUAGUUAUAAAUAUUAUUCAUUGCAUAUUAGACUUCAUCAAAACAUAAAGCAAUUUUAGAAUCUUGUGUAUGUUAAAAUGAUAUAUUACAAAAAAGAGAAAUUGAUCUAGUUUAAAAAUGGGUUCUGUUAUUUUAAUACUUGAUGUUGUUCAUUUUUACAAAAUAUGAAUUGUUUUGUAUCAAACAAAAUAUUAAUUGACUUAAGUAUCAAUUGGGGUCACAAAUGCUUACAAAAUAUUUAGAGGUUAUAUAUAUAUUUUUGAUAUUGUAUCAAUAUGUCUUAUGUAUACCUGUUUGCUAUAAAAUAUUUUAAAUCACGGUUGUGACGUUCAAAUAACAAAACUUAUAGAUGUAAAUUUUUACUCCAAGAUUGUUGCAACUAUUUUAUAAUUACAUUUUUCAUUUUGCUACAGAAAACAGUCUUAAUAUGCCAUAUGUAUAGUAAUCUAAAAUUCUAAUUUCGUUUAUGAACUUCAAAUUGUCUUCACAUAUUUCAGUUUUCCUCCAAACAAUUUGUGUUCUCUCAAGUCGACAAAAAUCUCAAGGAGCAAAUACUAACAAACUAACGAUUCAUGUGAGGUGUACUCAGAUUUAUCUAGAUUUACACAUUUGUUUCAACACCUUCCUACGCCACAAAGCCUUCUUUUUACUCUUACACAGACAGGUGUGAUUAAUAUUAUAUCAAAGCAAGAAACAGAGUGAGAUCUGACAGGCACAAAUACACAUCGUCAUUCUUUGAGUAGUUAGAAAUUAACUUUCUUUCUACUUGUAAGAAUAUAACAUGUUAAUUACCAAAAACUUGCGAAGACUUGAGAGACGUAGUAAUGUGCCUAGCCAACUGAAACUCACUAAAGUAGCACCUAGACUAUAUUUGCUUGCUGAUACAACAGUCUUAGACGUAUACGUUGGAAAGUGAAGGAAUAAUCUACUUUCUGACUAAAACUGUCGACAACCCGUGGUUUGCAGAGGAGGUGAACCUCCAAACAGAUAAGGGCUUCUUCCAAUACAGAUAAUUGGGCCCUACCUCGAUCGACGCAACGCUGCACUGCAGGUAUUGGGACACGACGAGUCUGCCACAAUCUAACAAUUUAAGGAUGGGGAUCUUGUACCGACGGUAAUAUGCUUUCUCCACCUGCAGAUUACAGACGGAAUGCUGGAGCACGUACAUAGCUUCUCUUCUGCUCAGCAAAAAGUUGGCAUAUAUUUCCACGUACAACAUACCCACUGGCAUGUCAUAACGAACAGGCUUUCGACAACAAAUCCAAAAGCCUGAACAGGAGCGUAGCUUAGCCAGCAUUGCAUCUUGGGUUAAUCCAUGUCGCGGAGACUCAUGAAGCCGCGAUUGACCGACUUCUAUUGGUCCGUACCCUAAAGCGUGCGCAGGCAGGUAAGAAACCUCGUCAUCAUUGAAGAAGAAGUAGAAUAUUACACGACAAUCCCAUCCUAGUUUCUGAGCACAGAGAGUGGUGACGGUAGUCCGGAUAGCGAUUAGAUGCGAGUUAGUCAUACACCCCUGAAGAGAUCAGACCUUUCACAUGACAUUAUGUUCAUCCCACGAAAUGGAAUGACAGCGAAGUCAGUGGGCUGAUAAGGUGACACCUUCGGUCAGGCAUAGAAAGCAGAGUCAGUAUGUCAAUUACAUCCACCGUCGGUCAAGUUAAGAGCGCAUCUAAACCACCAACCGGACAUAGUUAGUAACACAUCGGGCCCUUACGAGACAGCACUGGAGGCUGGCCUAACACAAAUCCAAACACCAUCACAUGAAAAUUGGUUUGCAGAUUAAUGGAAGAGAAGUAAAAUCCUUAAUAGUGGUGGUGUUAAAAGAACACCAUAGAUAAGAGGCCGACGAAACUGUGCAGACUGUUGGUCAGCCUCCGAAACCAUACAAGGUACGCCCCUGUCUCUUCAAGGCAUACACCACGUCCAUCGCCGUCACGGUCUUCCGUCGAGCGUGCUCCGUGUAGGUAACAGCAUCCCUAAUAACAUUCUCCAAGAAAAUUUUCAACACUCCACGAGUCUCCUCAUAAAUUAAUCCACUGAUACGCUUCACUCCACCACGGCGAGCGAGGCGUCGGAUAGCAGGCUUGGUGAUCCCUUGGAUAUUGUCACGCAGAACCUUCCUGUGACGCUUGGCGCCACCUUUGCCAAGUCCCUUGCCUCCUUUCCCGCGCCCAGACAUGGUGAGGACGGUCGGAAAACAAAUCCCUACAGAACAGAGACUCAAAGGUAGCACAAGGUGGUAACGAACAAGACAGACAGGAGAGCAAUGCUCGGGGGGGUGAGGGGCAAACUCUUUAUAAAGUCCUCUUCCUGCUGUUACAGAAGGCAACGGAUGUGCUGCCGAGACUAGAGUUGGAUUCCAAGUCUCGGAAGGCGGGAAGACGUCCACAUUCUAAUUCUGGAAGACGAAUUGGGCGGGAAAUGCAGGGCAGGAACCUCGUUGUCAGGGGACAUGGCUCGUUUGACGGGCCUCAAUCUCACCCGGGCCAGUGAAAUCUGCCAACAGUUCCGGAUAUCAACUUUCCAAUCUAGUUUGCAGGGCAUUAUUUUAUUUCAUUUUUAAAUACAGCGUCUUGGAUAAGCAUGUCGCUUAGGGACGAUGUGGCCAUGUCCAAAUUUGGCCUGCCACAUCGUACCUAAGCGACAUGGCCACUACGAUCACUACAAUAACAAAUAUUAUUGUAGUUGCCAUGCCCUGAUUGAUUAAUAUGCCGACGCCAUUGAUGCUUAGUUCUACGUCGAUCUUCAGAUAUGAAAUUCCGUGAGAUGUUCUGAUGGUGUGUUGCUAGUUUUCUGGUUAGUUUUAUAAUGCUUGUUGUUGUGUGGGAGUCUCUUGAACUUCGCAUUCAUGUAAUCGACUUGUUCUGAAAUCGAAGUUCGAUUGCUGGUAGAUUUUGAGAACUUCCCCGUUUUUGUAGCGUGUCAUGCAGCGUUGUGAUUGAAUAUUGAGUUUGUCGGCCAUGGUUCUGGUGUGGAAUUGUGCGAGACUGGGGUGUAAGGCUGUGAGGUCUGGAGUGUUCACCAUGGUGUCGUGGUCGACGUUAGUAGAUCUACCUUGUAUAAUUGCCGUAAGAAAUUUUAUUGUGUUGAGACUAUUAAGGGGUCAGUCAUACAUUCGGUUGAUACGCAGAGUACCUGAAUGGCAAUUGUGGUGGCGGAUCUCAUUCGGAUCACACAUGUGAGCAUAAUUUCAUAAAAUAUCGAUGCCGCUGAGGAACUCAUUGCGUCGCCUUAUCUUUUUGGAUCUGACGAAGCAUGAUUUGGACUGAGCUGUUCAGGAACUUUCUUAUUCCUGGUGACUCGAUAUAUCGUAUAGAGUUGCACGAUGUUGAAAUUUAUAGGAUGCACCAUCCUCUUUGCCGUGUUUGUACUUUAUUCCUUGCCAUAUAUUCUAGAGUUACCGUCUGAUUUUACAUUAUUACUUGAAUAACUGUGGUCUGGGGUUGUUGUAAGAAAAGCACAAAUGCAUGUUCUCUCCCUCUUUGAGCUGAUCGCACGUGUUUACAUCUGCUCAUAUGUUUUUAUGAUGGGUAGUAAUGAGCUGAAAGUCAUGUGAUAAACAGUUGGCUUUUGCUAAAAUGGUAAUACAUGGUGGUACAGUGCAGCUCAUUCCCUGGCUGAAUGUUUGAUUAUUUACGACUUGGAUGGAGCCCGAUGGAUUGAUUGCUCAUAAUUCUAAGCAACAUUGCUCACUAUUGGACAUAAUUUUAAAAUCUUAAAAUUCUCUUGAUGAAUAUAUUUGAUGGGGACUAACAGUUCUUGUUGUUGUCUGAAGCCAGUAGGACUUACAAUUGUGAUUUUGUAGGUGAAUGUGGGGCAGGGCUCGUGGGUCUCUGUGCGCAAGCAAUCUCCGCACAUGACAAGACUGCGACGACAGCACAGGAGGCAACAAAAUAGGUAUAUUCCUGUUAUCAUUUCUGACCAGAUGUGAAUGGUUACAUUCAUCAUUUUAGGAAGAUGCGCAUUCUGGCGAGUCAUUAGAAACUUGUCCAUUUUCCUAUUAGGAUGCUUUACAUACACUAUAAAACUGCAAAUGGACUUUUCAGACAUACCUCUGAUCAAAAUGAUCUUCGUGGCAAUGCGGCUCUUGUCUUCAGUUGCUGAUCUCUGAUUGGAUGGUCGAUGUUAGAUCUUCUGGCCGUGAAAAUUGCCACAGUUGCGAUUGAGAGUCGGAGUGAAGUAGAUACUACUUCUGGCAUGUUAAUCUAGGAAGUUUUUAAUGCUCAAGCGCCUAAAUAUUAGGACCAACUUGAAGAAGUACCCGCCUUUGCAGAUAAGUAGAAACUAGACGAGUUGAGUGACUGAAUGGUUUGUACUUUUCAGAUGUUUUAGUAGGAGUUGCCUCUACAGUACUUCUGAAGGAGUCGUGCUUGAGGAAUAUAAGAAGUAUGUCGAUCAUGGAGGUAGUUGCCAGGUUCUUCUGGAAGCUCUUCUUCACUAUUGACAUGGCGGUUUUAGCAGAGUAAAACCAUUCUUAUGUUACGUAUAAUUGUUGUCUUGUGAUGUAGAUUUUUGGAGACGCCUCGUGUAUCAUCUCGUGAAUUAGCUGGGACUGAUCAUUCGACUGUAAAAGCAUUAACAAGUAAUUUUUCUAGCAGUAGCUUAGCAAACGCUAACAUGACUGCUGAUUACAAAAUUUUAUUUUGCUGUCUGAUAUUCGUAGAUUGAAUUAGCUUACAUAAAGAGUGCAAGUACCUCAUAGCAGGUAUGGUAUUCUUAAUGAAAUUUCAUGGAGGUGAAAGUACUAGUCGGUGCUGUAAAUAAGCUUUCUGGAUGUACGCAAUCUCUUGGAAGUUCUUAAAUACUUUUCCAUGCUUAGCUUUUGAAAUAAUUAGCUCUUCAGAUCUUGUCAUGUGUGUGGACCUGUCACCUCGAUACGUGGCAGGAACAAAAGACACAAUUUAAAUUUUAUUAUCCCUUAUACUGUCAUUUUCUCUCAGAUUUCCCAUAUUAACUAUUAAGUAUUGUCAGUUACUGCUAUGGGUAUCCUUGCUUGUGGAGGAAAUUUCUGUCAUAGUUUGAAUCUCCCAUUACAUCUCAAUUGCCCUACUCGAUUGACUUUGUUCAGCGCAAUUGUCCUUUUCGAAGUUCAUCCAUCGAAACAGUACCUUGUUCAAGGUUGGAAAUUUUGGAGUGCGUUGACCGCCGCAUUCUUAAUACGACCCAAAGCAAUCCCUUGGGUUCUAUGGUUGGUGAGUCUGGCUAGAUGUUUGACCAUGUGGGCAGGUUAUGAAAAUCACUUAGAUUAGAAGCAACAUUAUAGAUCAUAGGUGCUCCAGAAGGUGUACCUUUUACUCUUCGAGAAAUCUUCGUCGUGCUGGUAGGCACCACUUCCAAGCAGAAAAUAGCUAUUCCAGGUGAAUUUUUGUUUCAGAUGUGCUUAGAUUUGUUGUAUGUGGUGGGGUACUUUCUCAAAAUUCUUUCGAUCACUGUAAAUUCCGCUCACGGAUUCACGUAGUGUUUGAAAGAUGCUGGAUCUUUAUCGCUAAUGAGUGUUCUGUUUUCGCACUUUCAGAACGCACACAUAUAUUUUGAUCUCAGUCAACUGGCAUUUUUGCUUUCUCUGCAAAUAGCGCAUCAGGGGAUGCGGGUUACGAAUUCUCGUGCAGUCUCAAUGUCCAUGGACAAAUGAGCUUCGAAUGAAUUGAUCUAUGAGUUAACGCACCAAUUGGUUUUUACUUUUAGUUUUCUGAACGUUCCAACGAUUGUGCGCUAGAUCAGCAGACAGUACCACGAAAAACCCUGACUUGAGUGGUUUUCUAAAGUCCAGUUCUAGCUGAAUGUGGUCUUGCCAAGCAAUGCUGGGCAUGGGAGUUUCCGUUUGGGCUUACCACUUGUACGAACUCUUUUGUGACCAAGAGAGUUGAUUGAAACUAUACGUCAUUCCAGUUUGGGCCCACCUUCCCUGAACAGUGUCAUACUCAAUCAAUGGAGCACCGGAAUUGCUCGAUCUAUUGGCAUCCACCGUCGAAAGCAAGGGGGCUAUGAUACGGCACAUGAUAAGUGACUCCGUAGGAAUCUCCGAGUCUUCGGGUGAAGCAGAGGCCCUGUUGUCCGCUCAACGAAAGCUCUGGCCUCGUCUUGGUCACAAGGACAUUACAUGAUUACACAGGAGCUGAAAGUGCUUGACGUGGAGCAGUCACAAUAUAGUUGGUACCAAAUCCUAUCUUACUGCUUGUACGUUGUGAAAGGUCGAUCUCAUCAGUGUCAUAAAAUUGUCCAGCAUUUAAAUUACUCAAAGGUUCUCCAACUCAUGUCACGGACAACAUUCUUUGUUCUAGCUCAUGUAACAAAACAGAAGCCUGAAGUGCAGUUCUAUGGAAAGAAGCACAACCCCGAUUCUCGGCCAGCAUCCAGCGUGGUUGUUCAUUAGAGAAUGGUCUGAAAUCACCACCUCGAGAGAAAUGCCUCUUACUCAAGGCUUAUAGCUUGGAAAAUGAAGUUGAUAUUUUCAGUUGUUCACGUUCUCAGGUGUCGUCCAGCGAUACGAAUGAGUAUAUGACAGUGGGUUGCACCACUUGGCUUUCCCCUGAAAACCGGUUUGCCAUUGCUCUUUGUAUCGGUUGAGCCAGCUAACUACCGGUCAUUAAAGACGAAGGAGCCGUACUUGGAUCCCCGCCUAUUGGAGAGAAGGGCUGAUAAGAACGCCAAGAACUCUGUCUCUUGUCCUCUUGUACUCCCAACAUGUGCAUGUAAAUAACAGUACUGCCCAAUUGUCGCGGUCCAUUUUCUGUCGAUGCACACAAGCUUCAAGAAGCAGCGCAAGUUACCACUUUCAUUGUCUGCAGUGUUGCGGGGCGUGGUGCGGAGAGGAAGUGAAAAAAGGUCAAAAGUGAUCAGUAUUUGCAAAGGGCUGCUGAUGAGGUGGAUGAUUUGCAAUCUGGAUGAUUCGCAAUCCCACUUGCAUCUGGAUGAUUCGCAAUCGUCUACUUCUGGUCGCCUGCUCAUGAAAGUUAUUCCAAGGAACCGAUUCAUCUAAGAAGGCGUCAUUCUCGACGUCUGCUUUCACCUGCGCCUAUAUAUUAUGCUCCAUGCUUAAUGCUUCAUGCCGCAUCCUUGUUCUUUUGUAGGCGAUUUCUGUACAAGUAGGGACUAUCGGGACUGGUGUCGAAUCUGUGACUAUUGCAGAGGAUUUUUAUUUUUUCGUUUUGUUCUUUUUUGAGCAGUCGAUUACUGAAUCUUAAUUCGAGACCAUAAGCUCAAUUCAAGCGACAUGCAGGAGUCGAGAGAGAUCUGGAUUGCUUUUUGAAGCUCGAUUCAAGAUAUCUUAUGAUAAUACUCAAAUUCAGAACGUACAGAUUGUAGAUCUAACUUGUCUUGACUACACACUUGAAAACAAAUCGUUUUCACGUAUAUACCCAGCCAUGAACAUGUUAGAAUCCUGAGGACUGUAGUAAUACUGUUGAAGACACGCUUGUAACUUGGGGUGGGGUCUGGGCAUUCUGCACGAUUGCAGUGACAAAAGUCCGAGAAAAAUAAGGAUAAGAUCUAAAAGAAGCUUCUAUUUAUGAUGGCUACUUGAGGUCUUGCAUCGUGCUGUCCCGUUCAAAGUUUUGAUGAAGUAGACUUGGAGAAGUGGCUCAAGGCUGACCAAUUUUAGCCGUGUGAAUGUAGAGUCAUUGGUGUUAUUUUUGCAUACAUGAGGGUCAAAAGCACAGCAGACGACACUUGCACAUUUCUUUUGAAAUCACUAGCUAAGCUAUAAUCCUCUUACUUGCUCAAAGGGUGUCAUUACCAUCGGAUGUAUCAAAAGCCUCGAAUUUAUCAUAAAUUUCUUUCUUCCUUUUAGUGACCUCCGAGUGAUGCUGCGUUUAUUGAGAGUCAAAGUUUGGAUCCUCGCUAUCUUUAUCUUUUUGUAGCUUGGUGUUGGACUACUCAGCUGAUGAAUGCUGAAUAUGGCAUCCUCGUCGGGUGUACCCGUAAUACCACAGAUAGAACUACCCCCAGGUUUCAGGUUUCAUCCCACUGACGAGGAGUUGGUGCUGCAUUAUCUUUGGCGAAAGACGGAAUCGGCGACGUUCUCCAUCCCUGUCAUCACCGAGCUCGACCUCUACAAAUAUGAUCCUUGGGACCUUCCAGGUGCGCCAGCAAUCUCUCAAGCAUAUUCUUCUUUAAACUGUACGCAUCUCUUAGUAUCAAACGACCCACGAAAUAAAACGUUAACCUGUUCGAAUCUAUUUCAGAAUCUUAUUUGUGAACUCUCUCCAUCCCAGGCGGUGUUGCGAUAUUUCUGGGUAGAUUGAGUUUAAGAUGUAUUUAUUGUAGCACAUACUUCGAUAAGAUUAAUGUUGGUUUGCUCUGACAUGCAGGGAAGGCAAUUUUAGGAGAAGGAGAGUGGUAUUUUUUCAGUCCAAGGGACCGGAAGUACCCAAAUGGGGCUCGACCCAACCGGGCUGCAGCUUCAGGAUUCUGGAAAGCUACGGGGACUGAUCGACCGGUACAUACAUCACGGGGAACACUGCAGAAGAUUGGAGUGAAGAAAGCUCUAGUGUUUUAUAAGGGUCGGGCCCCUAAGGGUGUGAAGACUACCUGGGUCAUGCAUGAGUAUCGCUUGGCUGAUGGCAUCUCCCCCUCUUCAAAUACUACUAGAAAACCAGGUUCAUUGAGAGUAAGUCUCGUGCCAAAUUUCACCGGAAUCUAAGAAGCAUGCAUUUUGAUACCAGUUCAUACAGUGUAGAUACUUUCAAGCUUUGAAAUGCUAUGCUGAGUGACGUUAUUUCAAAAGUCAACCUCUCUCGCUAUUUACACGUCAGCGUCAUGGAUUCCUAAAUAAGAAAAAGGUCAUCAGAUCAUGGAAAAUGUGUGCUUUCAUGAAAAGUUAGGUUUCGAGUCGUCUCGAAAUCACACUUCAAGCUUCAAGUUCCAGCAUGAAUUGCAGAUGUGGGGAACGAUAACUGACUGAUGUCUGGGAUAUGUUACCUAAUUUAGUGUAGAUUAUUUGGUGUGUGCAUCCCCAUGCAGCUGGAUGAUUGGGUCCUUUGUCGAAUAUUCAAGAAGAUUCCGAGUGUUCAAAGGGGGUCUAGCAUUGACCUGAAUAAUUCCGACGUUAAUGAGGUUAGAUUGGGUUUUCAAGGACUUCAACCAUUGUUGUGAGGAGAGAUUGCUUUAACUGCAGUAAGUAUUUCAAGGCAUUGAAGUUUCAUCGCUUUGAAUAUAAUUUAAAUGAAACUAUAAACUUCGUAGAUAUAGGUAAUCAAUUGUUGGGCUGCAUCAGGAUUUCAAUUAUAUUUGUGAUGUAAUUGAUGAAGAUGUGGAUUUCGAUGGGCAGGUGCUUGCAUCUUUACCUGAAAUCAACAACCGCAGCCUCGUGCUGCCAGAUUUAGGUCCCUCAUCCAGUGGGAUUAUGGAUCUAGACCCCUUGUGGGAUGAAUGCGAUCCAGAUGAAGCACGUUAUAAGGACCAGCAACAUGUCGACAAAGGAGGAGCACGAGAUCCUGAUCCUGAUCGGGCGAGCAUUGUUGCACUACAUGGAAACACCAUUCGAAGGGUCCAAUCCCGAUCCAACGAAUAUCUGGAGACCCUUUCAAAUGGUUCUGCUUUCCAUCAUACAAGCACCCCGUCAGCGCUCGAUCAUGCCGACUUCAGCAGGGAAAGAUCACAGCCUACUGCUACGGUUUAUCAAUCAACAAUAGUGAGCACCUUCCAAACUUACCCCGGUGUACAAAGACAUACACAGAGGGAUUCCUCAGGAUAUUUGGAUGCAAUGCUACCCUUCUGAUAUAUCAACUGGUGCUAUGCUCCACUGCAAAAGCAACCGCAGGUCCAAAUGCAAGGAGAGGAACAUGUAACGAAUUAUUAAAAGAUUCUAUGCCAUCGCUGAUGGCAAGUUUGAAACGAAAGCACUGUAAUCGUAUAACAGUUUUUUCUUUCUUCUUCGUCUUCUUUGUCUUCUUCUAUUUUUGUUUUCAGUAUACAAUUGUGAUGGUUUAAUGCGAAUAAGGUACCUGUGCGUUUCUGAUGGGGACCGUACCGAGGGAUGAAUCAUUGUGUAGCACCGCAACUAAAUGUGACCACAUAAUAAAGCUCUUGCAUAAACGAUUUUAUAGAAUUUAAGGACUGGUUCUGUAGCUGCGUGAUGUUGCAAAGCUUGAGAGCGAGCCGUCUUGUACUGACUGACUCACAAACAAAGGGUGGGUUUACAUUCCGUCUGGUCAGGUGAGAAAUCUUAGAAUCCAUUCAAUCUUUAAUUUUUGGUUGGGAAGUUAACAGAUUCUCUAGAAUCGUUAGCUUCAUUAGAAAACCACGCAAUGAUUUUUGUUAAUGUUAAAAGGGAAUGACUGCUUGCAUGACAGCACUUUUCCAUGAUCGGAGUCCACUUGGGUUGGUUCUUCAUUCUAUCGAGACACUUCCUGCAGCACCACAACUAUCUUUCCGGAGUUUUAGCCUGUGAUUACUUUCUACGAUUUGGGUCGAAAACAACCCAUUCUGAUCUUGAUCCUUCACUUGUCCGGUUCCAAGUGAUUCAGGUUCCACAGAUUUCGUGAAAUCCACUGAUUCAUUAUCACAGUGGUACAAGGAGCACCUCUUUAUUUGCUUCACGGUGAUAAGUCCACUAGAAAUGUAAACAAGUGAAAGCAACUUUCCUUUUUGAUGCAAACUCACCCAGAAAUAUUAUCACAAUUUGUGAUUCACUGCUCCAUGCCUUCCACGCAAGCUCGUGGCAGUGGAAAAUAUGCACAAAUCCGCUUUGUUCAGCUUCAAGGAUUCAUAUGCUGUUUUAGAUGCCUCUUGUAAUUUUCUAGUAUUUUUCUCUAGCUAUAACAUUUUUAGAAUUAAACAUAUAAUUAUAAUGUUUUAAUGAAAGAAUUCUUUCUAUAAUUUCUGCUAAUAAAAAAAAUGGUUUUUAUUUAUAUUUUAAAGUUUUCAAAUUUUCGGUUUUAUUUGUUAAGUUUUUUUUGAAGGUUUUUUCCUAUUUAAAUUUAUUUAUUAUUUAAUUAAUUUAUAUUACGCUUUAUUGUAUUUCAAAUGAAUUAAAUUUGGUAAUUUUAAAAGAUGACUAUGCAUGUUUUUAAGUUUUUUCUAAACGAUAUAUUUAAGUAUUUUGUAAUAGAUAAAAUCUGAUCUAUUGUCUAAAAUAUAAAUUGAUAGUUUUUUUUGAAUGAAAAAAAUAUCAAAAAUAUAUUAUUGCAUAUAUAAAAUUUUAUAAAUGGAUUUUUAAGUAUUUUAUGUAAUUUUUAAUUUAUAAAAAACUCCUUCAUUUAUAUUUAAAAUUUAAAAUUUAUAAAAAAUAUAAUUUUUAAUAAUGUAAAUUUAUGAAAUAAGUACUUAGUAUUUUCAAGAUUACUUAAAAUAUCAAAUCCAAAAUAUCACUAUUCAAACCUUAUUAUUCCGUCAUAUUUUGUAAAGUAUUACUUGAUAUAUUAGUGACGUGUUGAAUGAUAUCAAUUUGACCUAACAUGCUAACUUAACAUUCUACAUCCAUCUUUCUCACUCUUUUUUGCUAUUCUUUAUGCUUUAGAAGAAGAUUCCAAGCUUUGUAGAUAAAAGGCAAAAGAAGUCAUUUCGAUAGAAAUGAAUAUGCUACAAUUAUUUUAUAGCUAAAAGACUUAGUAAACUUCCAAAUGUUAGAGAAUUCAAGUAAGAUUGAGUACUUUCAAGGCCAAGUUUGGCGCCGCCUCUGAGUGGUCAAUUGGUAAUAGUGCUAGUAUCAAUGAAAUCAAUAAAAAAUAGGACAUAUUCAUUGUGGUUGCAAAGUUGGCAGAUACAUAUUCACACUUUAAAAGAAUGCAUGCUUUGUAUGGUGAAAUGCCAAAUAUGACUACUCUUUGUAAGAGGGACUCUAUGGUGAUAACAAAUACUAUCCCACCAAUAUCAUUCUGAGACUCUAUGGCAGUAUUGAUUACCAACUUAGUAUUAACAUUGCUCAACUUAAAUUUAUUGCUAAAAAAAAAUCUACUCAAAGAUACCUAAGAGCCUUUAUUGUAAGACAAAUAUGAUGAACGACAAGAAGUAUGCAAGAAGGAUUAUAAUUUCUUACUCUUGUCUAUUUUUCUCAGAUCCUUGUCUUUAUCACCAACAUCACUUUUUAUAAGACAUCUAUUACUUGGCAAUACUAUUAUUGUCAUUUUAAAAAAAAGAGUUAGCUACUUAUUUCAAAGUUUGAAAAGAAAUCUCCAAAGAGACACUACAUAAUAGCCAAUACGUUUGUGGAGUCAUCACAAUAAAAAAUCACUAUAAUGUUAGAGUGUUGGCUCUAUCAAAACAAGUUAAUGAGAGAAUUAAGGCUUGCUUACAAAAAAAAUUGAAAAUGAAAGAGAGGCUAAAGAGGGAUAGGAUUGUCAAGGACAAGAACUAGAUGAAAAACAAUUCAGACAAGUGAGCCUUCACUCAAAGAGAGGUAACAAAAUAUAAAUAAACAAGUAUAUAUAUUGAAAGAGAAACUGGAAUGGCUAUUGCCAAAACACAAGAAAACUAGAGACCCUUGAAACUAGACUAGAAGCAAGAAAGGACUUGAUAAGAGUGAAGAAGCCUUCACUCUUGUCUCUAUAUAUACUAUCUAACUAGGGGCUACGUGGCGACGUUCUAUAGAACCUCCAAUAUGUGUUGACUUUGUAUGACACAUGCCUUGACUUACAAGGCAAGUUUUUUUACGUGUGGGCCACAUAGUUAGCUUGAUCUUCAAGCUAACAACAUGUGUGGCACAUGGCCAACUUGUUGACCACGUUUCUAAUCCAAAAAGUCAAUUAAAGACACCUAUGAAGUCAAAGCAACAUCUAAGAAGUUUCUAGGAAGCUUCCAUAUUAAAUAUUAUAGAAUUAACUUACUUUUAUCUACUUUUACUUACUUCUACCUAUUUCUAUAUGUAAUUAUUAGCUUACAUGAUUAUGGUCGUGACAUUACCCCCCUUUCUAGAGACGAGUUCCACGAGGAGCGGUCAUCAUAUGUUGAAGAAAUCUAUGAUGCGACGAAUUGUAUUCGCCACAUACUCUGAUCUCUGUUCUCUUCGAAGAUGAUUGAUAGGGCCUCUCAACCAUCGGUAGUGUCCCAUACCAGGGCGGAAAGACCACCCAGUUAUUUGAUCAUUGUUGAGGCCUUCGUAACUUCCUUCGAAUAGAAUAUUUGAAACACCAUCAGGAGUUGUUCCUACCUCUAGCAAAAUCACCAAACAUCGGGAGUCCCUUCCCAAAUCGUGAUACCAAAUACGUUGUAUCUCACCAUCUAUUCGAGGAAGAACAUGUCGUUCUUGAAGAUCUUCAUCUCGAUUGCGUCGUCUUGAAGGUUGUGACAAUCGUAAUGUCUCGUCCGACAGGUCAGCAAAUGAAGGCUCUUGAGUUGAAUCCGCUGGUUGUUGGUUCUCCAUCUCUUGAGCACCACUACUACAACGAAGCUACGAACAAGAAUUGAAAGUAGAAUGUUAUCUUACCUAGAUGUUGUUUCUUUUAUAAAGAAGGUUUUCAUCUUGAUUUUGAUAGAUGUCGUCGAUGAAAAGCCUCCAUCGCCUUUGCUGCAUUUGUAAGAUUCUUUAUUGGCUCCAAUGUGCAUUCAUUAAUACCAUAUCCACGCCAAUGGACAAGAUAUUCUAAUUUAUUUCGGCGUCGCCUUGAAUCUAAGACUUCUUCUACUUCAAACUCUUCAUUAUUGUCCACUUCUAUAGGAGGAGGUGGAGCUUGUCGUCUUCUUGGUAUGUCCACUGUCUUAUAUGGUUCAAGAAGAGACACGUGGAAUACUGGAUGGAUUUUCAUUGACUUUGGUAGAUGUAAAAGAUAUGCACCUAGAUUGAUUUGUGCAGAAAUAGAAAAUGGUCCCAGCCUUCGAUAGUCCAACUUGUCACAAGGACGAAUGGUCUUGAUAUUGCGACGAAGUAGCCAUACCUUAUCAUCCAAGACGAAUGAUGGUUGUUCCUUUCGAUAGACAUCCGCAUUGGCCUUUUGUUGUUCUUGAGCCUCUUUUAACUAUGCCUUCAUCGUUGCAUGUAGUUCUGAUAAAUGAAUUGCCAAAUCUUUCGCAACAUGAUUAUCAACUUUUGAAAAGUCAAAAGUAUCAAGUCGUGGAUGAUAACCAUAAUUAGCAAAGAAAGGUGUUUGUUUUGUAGAAGAGUGUACCGUGUUAUUAUAAGCAAACUCUGCCAAUGGCAAAAGAGUUGUCCAAUCAUCUUGUUGGUAAUUAAUGGUACAUCUUAAAUAUUGCUCCAAAACUUGAUUAUCAUGCUCUGUUUGUCCAUCAGUUUGAGGAUGGAAUGCCGAAGAUAGUUUUAUAUCCACUUUAAGGAUCUUGAAAAGAGUCCUCCAAAAUCUUGAUACAAAUUGAGUUCCCCUAUCUGAUAUAAUAUCCUUGGGUAAUCCAUGAUAGCGAUAGAUAUUGUCAAGAAAGAGCUUAGCUGUUUCUUCACCUAUGAUAGAUUUUGUACAUGGUACAAAAUGUGCCAUCUUGGUAAAACGAUCUACUAUCACAAAUAUAGAGUCAUAAGAACCUGAGAUUGGAAGAUCCGUGAUGAAGUCCAUAGAAACAGGAGACUAUGGUUGUUUUAGAAUGGGUAAUGGCUGAAGAAGUCCAAAAGGUCGAUGACGAGGAGUUUUCGAUCUUGAGCAAACUUCACAUGAUUGUACAAAAUCUUUAACUGCCUUCCACAUUUGAGGCCACUAUAAAUCCCUAGAUAUCAGCUCCAAAGUCUUAUUAUAUCCAAAAUGUCCUACUACUGGGAAGUUGUGACAAACUUGAAGAACACGUAAACGAGCUUCUCCUUUUAGAACAUAUAGGCGUCCUUCGAAAUGGAGUAGGUUGUUCUUGAAUUCAAAUUUAGAUGGAUCAUAAGAUUUAAAAGCAUUGUUCUUGAUAUCAUGAACAAGAGGGUCUAAAGACAUACUUAACUGGACUUGCUUAAGGAAAGUUAAAUCAACAGUCAAUGUUGAUUUUAUUGCUCGAAGAUGAAAUUAUUUCGGCUUCAAGAGAAUCGUUCUUUGUUGCUCAAAAGCUGCAUCUCCUUCUUUUGGUGCAAGAUAAGAAUGUCUAGAAAAGGCAUCGGACAAACCUUGUUGUUUUCCUGGCCGAUAAGUGAUGAUGAACUCGAAUCUUGAUAAAGACAUGCUCCAACAAGCUUGGCGACGAUUUAAUACGCGUGCUGACAUAAAAUAUUUGAGGUUCUUGUGAUCCGUAUACACGGUGACUGGACUAGAAGCGCCUUCUAGAUACUGACGCCAUUCUUGAAAAGAAUCCACAAUUGCAAGAAGUUCUUUGUCGUGGAUCUCGUAAUUGAUUUCUGCUGCUUAGAAUUUUCUUGAAUGAAAGGCUACUGGAUGAAGUUUGUCAUCUGUUCCCAUUUGUGAUAAAACCACACCCAGAGCAAAGUCCGAUGCAUCUGUUUCCAUAAAGAAUUCUUUGGAAAAAUCAACACGAUACAAGAUUGGUGCAAAAACAAACGUUGUCUUCAAAGAUUCAAAAGCAACUUCCGCUUCUUGAUUCCAUUGGAGUUUGUCUUUACAAGUCAAACGUGUAAGUGGAGCUGCAACUCGAGAGAAGUCUUUGAUGAAGAUCCGAUAGUAAUUGGCAAAUCCCAAAAAACAUUGGACAUCUCUUACCGUUUUUGGGAUCUUCCAGUCUAUAAUAGUUUGAACUUUCUUAGGAUCCAUCAUAAGUCCAUCAUUUGAAAUGAUGUAACCUAAGAAAUCGACUUGAGUAAUGUGGAAUACACACUUUUCUAUCUUGGCAUAGAGUCCUGCAUCUCUUAAUUUUUGUAACACACGACGAACAUGAAGUUCAUGUUCUUUUGGAUUCUUAGAAUAGAUCAAGAUGUCGUCUAGAUAACAUACUACAAAAUCAUCCAAAAACUCUCGAAAAACAUCAUUUAUUAGAUGUUGAAAAGCUGCUGGUGCAUUUGUAAGUCCAAAAGGCAUGAUGUUGUAUUCAAAAUGUCCAUACCUAGUUCGAAAUGUAGUCUUCCAUUCAUCUCCUUCUUUGAUGCGUACUAGAUUGUAUGCUCCUCGAAGAUCUAUUUUUAUAUAGAUCUUAGCUUGAUUCAGCUGAUCAAGAAGUCCGGAUAUUAAAGGUAGUGGAUACCUGUUCUUGAUGGUAAUCUUGUUGAGUCCUCGAUAAUCAACACACAUCUGCAAUGAUCCAUCUUUUUUCUUCACAAAUAGAAUUGGAGCUCCUGCCGGAGAUUUAGAAUGGCGUAUGAAAUUCUUGCCUAGAUUUUCUUCAAUAUACUCCUUGAGUUCAGCCAACUCAUUUUGUGAUAAACUAUAGAUUGGUCCGAAUGGCGGUUGUGCUCCUUCUUGAAGGUCAAUUGAGCAAUCAUAGAAACGAUGUUCCGGGAGUGUAUCCGCAUUCUUUUUUUCGAAUACAUCUUGAAAUUCUUGAUAUUGGCUUGGAAUGCUACUUGAAGUCUUUUCACCAAUAGAAACGGGUGUAGCAUAAAUAAUGUAUGGUGAUUCUUUCAUAGCAGCAUGCAAGAAAGCUUUUACACCUAUAAAUAUGGGUUUAAUUGAACUGGACUUAUGACUCUUUACUUGCUUAACUACACUGUUAGUUAUACUUUUAGAAAAAGUGAGAGUUCGGGAAAUCCAGUCUAUUUGAGGGUUGUAUUUUUCUAACCACGAUAAAUCUAAAAUGACUGGAUUAGAGGGAGAUCUAAUGAUAUUAAAUAUUACAAAACUAUUAUGACCAUUGAUUAUUACUUCUAUAGAAACGGUUUCAUGAUUAAUAUCUCCAGAAGACAAUGGACAACCAUCUAUGACUUCUAUAUGAACAGGUUUAGUUUUCUUUACUAAAGAUAUGCUAUGUCUUUUAGUAAAUUCUUCAUCUAAAAAACACGCUGAGGCUCCUGAAUCUAAUAAGGCAGAGACUUUGUAAUGUUUAGGUCCUAAAAUAACAUUUAAUGUAAAACAAGGAGGGGACUCUGAGCAGAGAAUACUACCUUUACUAGAAGUUGUGCAAGGUUCCAGCCACACGGUCCCUAUUGUAGCUAGACAAACUCGUUUUCCGACAUAUUAUCUUCUUUCACAGCCAUACUCUUCAUUUUGUGAUUGCGUUGUUUCUUUGGACAAUGUUGAGCAGUGUGCUUUGGUUCUCCACAAUAUAAACAUAAUCCUUCUUGAUGAUGACGAGUCUUUUCUUACUCAGUAAGAGGUUUGAAACGUACUGCAUCAAUUUGCAUAUCCUCUACUUCCGAAUGUAUGUGUUGAAGAGAUGUUGGUGUUGCCAUUGAAUUAUGGUAACGUUGAAGUCCACUUGUACGGUUCUCAGAUCGGAAUUCAAAAAGGCGAUUGUCACACUUCACAGCAAAGUCAAUUGCUUGACUCAAUGUUUGAAAAUCAGAUAAGUUGAGCAUUAAUUUUUUUACCUCAUAUUAUAAUCCGUAGAGAAAUUGGCUAAUAAAAGCAGCAUCAUCCCACUUGAUAUCAGUUACAAGUUGUCGAAAUUAUGAAGCAUAUAACGUUACUAAUCGAUUGCCUUGUCGUAAAAUACGGAUCUUAUUAGUUGCAACACGAAUUGCAUCAUGUUCUCCAUACAUGGAUCGAAACUUCGCCAAAAAAGCCUCUAGAUUAUCCAAUAUUGGAUCUUGUCGUUCAAGAAAAGAUGAAAACCACGAUAGUACCAAACCUGAAAGAAGCAUACCAAUGAAUCUAAUUUGUGAUCCUGGAGUUGGAUAGCUUUGGGGUUGAAGUUCAAUCACAAGUUGCACUUGAUUGAUAAAUCCUCGAAACUUGGAUCUGGUACCAUCAAACUUCUCAAGUAGGGCAAUUCUUGGUUCUCUAACAUUUGAAGGGCGUUCCACCAUAGGAGAAAGGACAUGGUUUGGUGUAGAUGUUGAAGCAGCUCUAACCAUUUCUAUAUCUUCACUUCUUGCCAAUCUUGUUGCUCCUUGUGGUGGUAAAUUGAGUUGAUGCAUUGCAAGCAUUAACUCCCUCAAUUGCUCGUACAUUUGUGCCAUUGCACUCUUCAUUUCAAGAAGUUCUGCCAUGAUAACACUUAGAAGAGGGAAGAUGUCUAAUAUCGCUCAAGACAAAUAGAAGAGAGGACUUGGGGACAAAGAAAAUACUAAGGACAAUAUCAGUUUAGAAGAAGGUAAUCCGCAACUUCUAAUACGCUUAUAUCUUAUCAAGAAAAAGGGGUAAUCCACUCUUAAUCAAGAUUAGACAAAGCUCUGAUAUUGUAGGUGUACUCUUGUCAAUCUGUCAAGGACAAGAACUCGAUGAAAAAUAAUUCAGAUAAUUGAGCCUUCACUCAAAGAGAGGUAACAAAAUAUAAAUAAACAAGUAUAUAUAUUGAAAGAGAAAUUGGAAUGGCUAUUGCCAAAAGACAAGAAAACUAGAGACCCUUGAAACUAGACUAGAAGCAAGAAAGGAGUUGACAAGAGUGAAGAAGCCUUCACUCUUGUUUCUAUAUAUACUAUCUAACUAGGGACUACGUGGCGAUGUUCUAUAGGACCUCCAAUAUGUGUUGACUUUGUAGGACACAUGCCUUGACUUACGAGGCAAGUUUUUCUACGUGUGGGCCACAUAAUUAGCUUGAUCUUCAAGCUAACAACAUGUGUGGCACAUGGCCAACUUGUUGACCACGUUUCUAAUCCAAAAAGUCAAUUAAAGACACCUAUGAAGUCAAAGCAGUAUCUAGAAAGUUUCUAGGAAGCUUCCAUAUUAAAUAUUAUAGAAUUAACUUACUUUUAUUUACUUUUAUUUACUUCUACCUAUUUCUAUAUGUAAUUAUUAGCUCACAUGAUUAUGGCCGUGACAAGGAUUGCAUUUGAAAGUGAAAAAUUGGCUAUAGAGUAAAAAAAAGGAAGGUAAUUCAAAAAUAUAAUAAAAAAAUUUUAAAAAAACUCUUUGAUUUGGUUUAAUCUUAAUUAAUUAAAAAAAUAAUUUUUAGGAAAUAAAAUAGAUUAUUACCCUUGUAAAAAUAUAUAUAUAAAUAAAAAAUUAAUUUUUGAUUUAAUUGUCAAUUAUGUAUUAUAUCUUGAAUUUUAGGAUUUGUAUUGUAAUAUUAUGCCAUUAUUAACUCUAAAACAUAAUGUAUUUAUCCAAAUUUGAUAGUACAAGGUUAGUAUAAAGAGAGGUGAGAGAGACAAUACAAAAUUCUAAAGGCUUUGGAUUCUACAAGCCUUGGGUGCAAAGUUUUAGAGGCCUCAAGUUCUAAAAGCCUUGAAUGCAAGGUUCUAGGGGCCUUAGAUUCUAGAAGUGAUGUCUCUAUGAGCUACUGCAUAAAAGAAUAGAUCUUGACAAAUUUUAUUAUGUAAACUUAUUAUAUAUGCUAUGGCCUCUAAAAUUCAAGGCUUAAUAUAAAUUCUAAGUAUAAUAUAUUAUAUUUUAUAAAAAUAUAAAGAAAAUAAAAAGUUAUAGUUAAUAUUAUUAUAUAAGAAAGAAAUUUGAAGAUGGAAAUAUUAUAAUAACAUAUAUUCUUACUACACAUAAAUAAAUUGAUGUGUUUACAAAAUCAUUUUUUAGCUCUUAUUUUAUUUACAAAAGAACAAUAGCCGAUCUUAUAAAAUUUCCAAACUUAGAAUCUUUUCUAUAUAGAACUCAAAAUUUAGCAAAAAUAUAUAAAAAUAAAAAAAUAAAAAAAUAAAAACAAACAAACAAAUAGAUAAAAAGAAAAAACAAAAUUUCUAUGGUUCUAUUAUAGAAUUUACUUUCUUAGCUCAAAAAAAGACUUUGCCUCUUAUAGAAUCUUGUAAAGCUUGUAUUCUACUCUACUAAAGUCAAUCACUUGAAAAAUGUAAUUUAAAUAAGACAAAUAAAUUUUUAGAAUCCAACCUUGAUAAAUCAAGUAAAACUUCAUUGACCUUCUAUAGAUAAACUUGCUAACAUAGACUACAAAUCUUGUCUCAAAGAAGUAUUACUACUUCUUGAAUCACCUUGCUAAUUUGAUGGUAAUGACAGAGUAACUUGGUCUUAAAAAGAAUUCACUUUGACUAACAACAGAGAAAUACAUAUAUAUGAUGUAGCUUCUUCAAUCAAGGAUUGAAAUUUGUAUUCAUACUUUAUUAUAGUACUUCCUAUUUUUUCAUUACUCUUGUUCUUAGCUGAUGGAUUACAACUCUCUAUAGAUUCCACUAGAUAAAAAAAAGUAGUCAAAGAAAAUAUAUUAUAAACUUGAAAAAGAACAACAAAUAAAAGUGAGAAGAUGAACAAAAUUAGCUUUGUGUGCAUUGAAAGACAAUCAUAAAUUAAGUAGUUACCAUCACAAUCAAAUUAAAUAAAUAAAGUUGAAAAUAACAUCUUUUUAAUCAUAGUUCUUCAACAAAUCCUUUAAGGUACUCUACAACCUUUAUUUUUGCCAAUCAAUUUAAUAUUAUUUAUAAUACAAUGAGGUAUUAGGUUGAAGAAUAAGGAAAGUAUUGAUAAAAUCUUCCAAAUACCUCAUGUAAAUGACACCCUACUACACUCUUUAUUAUGCCUCAUCCACAAUACUUAUUUCAUAUUAAAAACAUCUACAAUAAAUCAUUUCUUUUAUAAUACUUAUCUUGUAUUUUUUCUUAUAUUAAGUAAGUCAAGUAUAGAAUAUUAGUAUAGAGGUUCUUAGUUAAUGAUAUAGAUGUAUAUUCCAUACAAGGCAUAGUACCUAUAAAAUAGAGCUUAAUUUUGCUUACCCAUUUUAUAUUAUUAUAUUUCUUAUUUUAUAUAUUAUUUUAUUUUCUACAAUUUUGGGAGUCUGGAGUACAAGGUUUUGGAAGCCUCAAUUCUAAAAUGUAUUACAUAAUAAUACAAAUGAGAAAAAAAAUAUAAUAAGAUCUAAAAUUAUUAUUUUUAUUUUCACUUGUGUAAUACACAAAAAAUACCAUGUAUGGACAAACUAAACCUUGAUGGCUAAAGAAACUGCAACAAACUUAGUUGCAAUCUUCUAAUCUAAAUCAUACAUUAAUAAAACAUCCAAUGCAUAGUUGUGAGCCACAGCUUUAUUUCAAACCAUUUUUGUAAUAAAAAUUUCUUCUUCUAAAGUAAUAGCAUAAUUCUUUGGUGGCUAUUGGCAAGUUUCAAAGAAUUUAAUUAUCUACAUUUUGUCCAAAUCAGCUAGUAUAUUAUGUAGAAUGCAACAAGCAAAGAUCUAAUCUACAAUGCAUUUCACAUCUCUUGUUUGAUUGAAUUAGGUACGAUUUUUUUUGAGUAAAGCUCAAGUACUUGUUAGGAUUCUAAUGUAGUAUUUAUUUACAAUCCAUUGUUGAAGAUAAGAAUUCAAAAAAGAUAUUUAAAUAAGUGAGAAAUAAAUCAAAGAGAGAUGAAAAAAUAAAAAUAAGAAAGUAAAUAUAUUUAAUAAGAAAUAAAAUUGCUAUUAUCAAAGACUAAAAAAAUAAAAACUUUUGAAAGUAGAUUAGAAGCAUGAAAGAAGUUGAUAAGAGUGAAGAAGACUUCACUCUUGCUUCUAUAUAUAUUAUCUACCUAAAAGCUUUGUGGUAAUUUUUUAUAAGACCUCCAACACGUAUUCAAUCUAUAUGACAUAUGUUCAACUUACAAGAUAUUUUUUUUAUAUAUGCACCAUAUAGUUAGCUUGUUUGAUAAGCCAUUAAUAUGUGUGACAUAUGACUAACUUAUUGGCCAAGUUUCUAACCUAUCAACCACCUAUAGACAUGUAUAAGGUGAAAAUGUGUCUAUAAAGCCUCUAAAAAGCUCCUCUAUAAGAUGUUAUCAAAAUAAUUUAUUUUUACUUACUUCUACUUAUUCAUAUUACCUACAUAAUUAUUAGAAUAAGUAUUUUUGUCACAUUGUCUUCCCUUCUAAAGACAAGUUCUACAAAGAAUAAUAAAUAUAUAUUAAUAAAGUUCAAGAUGUAAUAAAUUAUAUUUAUUAUAUAUUUUAAUCAUUGUUUCUUUUAAAGAUAGUUGAUUGGUUCUUUCAACCAUCAAUAAUGUGUCAUUUUAAGAUAAGAAGAUUAUCUUGUAAUUUGAUCAUUAUUGAAGCUUUGAUAACUUCUUUCAAACAAAACAUUGGUUAUACCAUCAAGAGUCAUUUUUAUCUCUAAUAAAAUCACCAAGUAUUAGAAGUCUCUUCUAAGGUUGUGAUAUCAAAUAUGUUGUAUCUUGCCAUCUAUUUGAGGAAGAAUGUAUUAUUCUUAAGGAUCUUGAUUUUAAGUAUGUUGACUUUAAGGCUAUAACAAUCACAAAAUUUUAUUUAAUAAGUCAGCAAAUGAUGGCUCUUAAGUUAAAUCUAUUAGUUGUAGAUUCUCCAUCUCCAUGGCAUUACUAAAGUACAAAGAAUCUAUAAUGAAAGAUAAAAUAUAGGAUUUAAUUUUUAUUGAUUUUUUUUGUAGUAGAGAAUUAUUUAAUUCUUCAUCUUAGUUUUGAUAGAUGUCAUUGAUGAAAAGUUUUAAUCUUCUCUAUUGUAUUUAUAAGAUUCUUUUUUGGCUCUUAUGUCCAUUCAUUAAUAUAAUAUGCAUACUAAUGAACAAGAUAUUUCAAUCUAUUUCAAUGUUACCUUAAAUCUAAGAUUUCUUCCAACUUAAAUUCUUAAUAAUUCUCCACUUCUAUAAGAAGCCAAUGUAUUUAUCUUCAUUUUGAAAUAUUUAUUGUCUUGUAUGGCUUAAAGAGAAACAUGUAAAAUAUAGGAUGAAACUUUAUUGACUUUAGUAGGUGUAAUUAAUAAGCAACUUGAUUAAUUUAUUCACAAAUAAAAAAAAAAGGUCUAAGCUUAUGAUAACCCAACUUGUCACAAGAAAGAAUAGUCUUGAUAUUACAAUAAAAUAACCAUAUCUUGUCACCUACAUAAAAUUGUGGUUUUUCUUUGCAAUAGGCAUGUGUAUUAAUGUUUUGUUAUUCUUGAGCUUCCUUUAAUUGGACAUUUAUUUUUGUAUAUAGCUUUGACAAAUGAUAUUCGAGAUCUUUUAUCUAAAGAUUAUCAAAUUUUGAAACGUCAAAGAUAUCCAAUGAUAGAUAGUAAUCAUAAUUGGGAAAAAAAUAUAUUUAUUGAAUAAAAGAAUGUACCAAAUUAUUAUAAGCAAACUCUACCAAUGACAAAAGAAUUAUCCAAUCAUCUUAAUAACAGUUGAUGGUACACCUCAAAUACUAUUUUAAAACUUAAUUCUUCUAUUCUAUUUGUCUAUCAAUUUGAAGAUGAAAGACUAAAGAUAAUUUUAUAUCCACCUUCAAUAUCUUAAAAAAGAUUUCUUAAAAUCUGAAUACAAAUUGUAUCCCUCUAUCUAAUAUAGUAGUCUUUUAUAAUCUAUAAUAGCAAUAGUUAUUGUCAAAAAAAGCUUAGUUAUUUUUUUAACAUAAAAUAGCUAUUAUAUAUAAUAAAAAUAUACCAUUUUAAUGAAAUAAUCUAUGAUUGUCAAUAUAAUAUUACAUAAAUUUGAACUUAGAAGAUUCAUAAUAAAAUCCAUAAGAACAAAAGACCAUGGUUGAUUUGGUACAUGCAAUGAUUAGAGAAGUCCAAAAAAUUGAUGAUAAGGAGUUUUUGACCUUAAGCAAAUAUCACAUGACUAUAUAAAGUCUUUUAUAGUCUUUCACAGUCUUUUACAUUUGUAGCCAUUAAAAAUCUUUAGAUAUAAAUUAUAAAGUCUUAUUGUAUCUAAAAUAUUUUAUUGCUAAAAAAUUGUGAUGAACUUAAAAAAUACAAAAAUGUGCUUCUCUUUCUAGAACAUAUAGAUGAUCUUUAAAAUAGAAUAAGUUAUUCUUAAAUUUAAAUUUGGAAGUAUCAUGAGAUUUAAAAGAAAUAUUUUUAAUGUCAUGAAUAAGAGGAUCAAACGACAUACUUGAUUGAAUUUGCUUAAUAAAGGCUAAAUCAAUAGUCAAUGUUGAUUUUAUUACUCAAAGAUGAAAAUUCUUUAGCUUCAAGACAACUAUUCUUUGUUAAUUAAAAGCUACAAUUUUUUUGGUACAAGAUAAGAAUAUUUAAAAAAUAUGUCUUAUAGAAUUUGUUAUUUUUUAGAUUGAUAUGUAAUCUUGAAAUCAAAUCUUGAUAAUGACAUAUUCUAAUAAGCCUAGCGAUAAUUCAACAUUCAUGUUGACAUAAAAUACUCAAGAUUUUUGUGAUCUGUAUAUAUAAUUAUUAGACUAGAAGUGCCUUCUAGAUAGUAAUGCCAUUCUUUAAAAAAAUCUACAAUUACAAGAAGUUUUUUUAUCGUAGAUUUUGUAGUUGAUCUCUAUGGCUGAAAAUUUCUAAAAAGCUAUUAGUUGAAUUUUUCAUUUGCUCCUAUUUGUGAUAAUAUUGCACCUAAAGUAAAAAAUAAUGCAUCUAUUUCUAUAAAAAAAAAUACUUUGAAAAAAUUGAUGCAAUAUAAGAUUGGUAUAAAAAUAAAUUCUUUUUUUAAAGCAUCAAAUAAUACUUUGGCUUCUUAACUCCACUUAAGUUUAUUUUUAUAAGUCAAAUAUAUAAGUGAAGUUAAAUUUUUUUUAAAAAAUAAUUAAUGAAGAUUUGGUAGUAAUUGAUAAAGCUCAAGAAGCAUUGCAUAUCUCUUUCUAUUGAAAUCUUCCAAUCUAAGAUAAUUUGGACCUUCUUAGGAUCUAUCAUGAGGCCAUCGAUGGAAAUAAUGUAUCCUAAAAAGUCAACUUGAGUAGUGUGGAAUACAUACUUUUUUAUCUUGGCAUAUAAUCUUGUAUUUCAAUUUUUUUUUAUAAUACUUAUGUAUUCUUAGAAUAGAUUAAAAUUUAUCAAAAUAUAUAAUAAAAUCAUUAAAAAAUUCACAAAAAACAUCAUUUAUAAGAUGUUGAAAAGUAGCUCGUGUAUUUGUGAGUCUAAAAGGUAUGACAUUGUAUUUAAAAUAUCCAUACAUUUCAAAAAAAAAAAUCUUUCAUUUAUUUCUUUUUUGGAUGCUGAUCAAGUUGUAUGCUCCUAAUAGAUCUAUUUUAUAUAGAUUUUUGCUUAAUUGAGUUGAUCAAGAAGUCCUAAAAUCAAAGAUAAAUGAUAUUUAUUCUUCAUCGUGAUUUUGUUAAGUCCUUGAGAGUCUAUGCAUAUCUACAAAGAUCCAUUUUUUUUUUUACAAAUAAAAUAGGAACUCUUACUAAAAAUUUUGAAUGCCUAUGAAGUUCUUAGCCAAAUUUUUAUCAAUUUACUCUUUUAAAGCAAUUAACUUAUUUUACAAUAAGAUAUGGAUUGGUCCAAAUGGCAGUUAAGCUCUUUUUUGAAGUUUAAUUGAAUAAUCAUAGGAUCAAUGCUCUAGAAGAAUAUCCAUGUUUUAUUUUUUCAAAAAAAUCUUAAAAUCUUGAUACUAGUUGAGAAUAUUACUUGAUAUUUUUCUACCAUUAUAAAUAUAUAUAGUUUAUAUAAUAAAAAAUAAUAUUUCUUUUGCGACAUAUAUGAAAGCUUUUUCACAUAUCAAUAAAGAUUUGAAUAUAUUAAAAUUUUACAUUUCUAUUUGAUUAAAGAAAUUUUAGAUUAAAUUAUAAAAAAACUAAGAUUAUAAGAAAUUCAAUCUAUUUAAAGAUUAUACUUUUUUAACUAUAAUAAUCCUAAAAUAAUUGAGUUGAAAAGAAAUCCUAUCACAUUAAAUAUUACUAUGCUAUUAUGAUCUUUAAUUAAUAUAUCUAAAAAAUAAAUCUGAUGGAUAAUAUCUCCAGAAGAUAAAAAAUGACCAUCUAUGAUUUCUAUGUACAUAGAUUUAAUUUUCUUGAUUAAAGAUAUUUCUUAUUUUUUAACAGAUUUUUUGUCUGUAAAACAAAUUAAGGCUCUUGAAUCUAAUAAAAUAAAGACUUUAUAAUUUUUAGGUCCUAAACAUAUAUCUAUUAUAAAACAAAGUGAAAGAUUUGAGAAGAAAAUAUGACCAUUACUAAGUAUUGCAUAUGAUUCCAGUUGCAUUAUUUCUAUUAUAGUUAGAAAAACUUGUUUUUUAAUACAUUGUCUAUUUUGACAAUUGUGCUCGUUAUUUUGUGAUUGUAUUAUUUUUUUGGACAAUAUUGAGUAAUGUACUUAGCUUCUCCAUAAUAUAAGCACAAUCCAUUUUCGUGUUGUAACACGAAUAUAUGGUGAAAGAUAAUAAUAUGGAUCUUAUUAUAGAAGAGCCAAGUUAAAAGAAAAGGUAGAAAAAUAUGGAUAAAAGAUAGGAAGGUAGUAUAACUUUUAGUACUAAUGCUGUCUUCUUAGAAAAAAUAGCUUCUACUUACUUUGUAGGGCCAAAAAUAAGGCAAAAUAAGAUAGAUUAGAAAAAUAAAUGAUAUAGACAUCUUUAGGAAGAAGUUAAGAGUAAAUUCUAGUAAAAAUUAUUUAAAAAAAACUAGAUGUUGAUACCUGGAGAGGGCCAGUUAUGAACUAGGGUCAAAAUCAGACCCUGAAGCACAAAACUGAGUCUCGACGACGACUCCAGGACUCUUUGGCAAAUCAAAGAGUGGGAUUUGAUAGAAGAUGGGAUAGGAUUUCUAUUGGCAUUGAUUUUGGGUGAUUUGGAGUUGAUAUGACUUUGUAAGAGCUUUGCAAAGUCAAGGUUUGUUUUGGAUGACUUGGAUUUUAUGAAAUAAAAUAGGAUUUACGUUUUGGAUGAUUUAAAGAGUUUUGUAAUAGAUCUAUAGGUAAAAUUUUGUGGGUUUAUGGUUAUAGUUGGGUUUAAUAUGUGUUGUGAAUUUGAGCUCGAUCUAAUGGUUGAAUUGAGGAAUAUUGAGGUUUAAGUGAGUCAAGGUCUUAGAAAGUAGAAUUUUAGGUCCAAUGGGAAUUUUUAAGCUCUCUUGCAAUCUACUAGUUGGAUUAGAAUAAAACUUAUGUGAGAGGAUAUUGGACUUGUUUUCAUAUGUGUAUGAGAAUUUUGAGCUCAAUUGAAUAGUACAAAAGAAAGAUAUUAGCUCUGGAAGAUUGGCAUCAAGAUUGGAGAAGGAGGCCGGCCAAUAUCCGAGCACAUUUUUGAAAUUAUCAUCAAUUUGGUUACUCCGAUCCUUUUCAACUUUCUUUUUCCUCGUUUUUAACUUAUUUUUUUAGAAUUUAGCAAAAUUUGAGUUAAGAUCAAUGGUUUAUUCAUUAGUUAUUGAGGUUUAAAUCUGUUGUAAGAAUUAUUAGGAUUUGGUUUAGGGUUUGGUUAGGAUUUUAUUUAGAAUUUGGAUUAGGGUUUGGUUUAGGGUUUAGAAUUUGGAUUAGAGUUUGAUUUAGGAUUUAGGUUUUGGUUAGGAUUUGAUUUAGGAUUUAGAAUUUGAUUAGGAUUUGGUUUAGGGUUUAGGAUUUGAUUAAGAUUUGAUUAGGAUUUGGUUUAGGAUUUGGUUGGGAUUUGAUUUAGGAUUUAGGGUUUAGGAUUUUAUUAGGAUUUAAGAUUUAAUUAGUUUUGGCCCAAAGUUUGAAUGAAGUUCAAUAGGAUUUUGACUAGAAUUAAAUAAAGAUUGAAUUGGGAUGUAUUUGAGUGAUAUUUGUGAUCAUAAAAUUACUCUUUAAGAAUUCUUAUUAUUUAUUUGAAAUUUCUCUGAGGUUUCUUUGAAUUUGAUUAAGCUUGCUUACUAUUCUUAUGGUCUAAUUAGAGCAUUGUUAAUAUUCUAUUAGAAUUAGGAUUUUGUUAUUAUAAUUUUCAUUCUUCCUUCUACAACUAGGUGCCUGGAUCAUUCUCAAGCAAGACUUCACGUAUUACAACACCGUCUUUACAAUAUUAAGUCUUUUCUUGCUUAAUGAGAGGUUUUAAUUAUAUUAUAUUAAUUUGUAUUAAUUUUGAUCUUGAUGAAUAAUUUUCUAAAAACUUAGGAGUUGCUCUUAUUACUUGAUUUAUUCUUUUGCAACCAAAUUUUUGUUCUUGAUGUCAUUUAAGUAGUUGAUUUUCUUAUGCAAUGGUUUAAGCAAUAUAUUGUUCUAAAGAAUUUACUUUUAGCAUUUUCAAUAACAAAUCUUUGACAUCAUUCUUCAAUCCAUAUCAAAAUUAACUGAUAAAAACUUUAUCAUUCCAAUUUACAUUGCAUAUAACUGUGAUUCUUAUUGUAAAGAUAAAAACUUAAUCUUUAUUAUUCUUUCUUGCUUAUUUUCUCCAAAUGUAGUUGUAAAUACUUUUAAGAAUAAAUUCAAAUCAUAAAAGAGCUUUGAAUUCUUUUCCAUCAAAGAUACAAAACAAGAGAGAAUACUUUCAUAUAAAUAAAUAUAUAAACUUAACUUGAAUAAAUCCAUCAAGGUAUUAUAAAGGAUACAACCUUAGAUAGAACUUGAUUUAUUACAUAAAUCCUCAAAAUUAUGAUCUUGUUCCAUUAAACUUCUCAAGAAUAUUAAUCCUUCUCUUCCUUAUGCUUGUAGAAGCAAGUUUUUUUAGAUUUGGUUAUAAGAUCAAUCUACUUCUUUCCUUCAAUUACAUAACUUUUUCAUAUAGAAUCUAGCCUUCUUCUAUAGAUAUAGAAAUAGUACUUCUAUAAUUGACAUUGGUGAUGUAUGAAAUUUCUACCUUAAGAGUAUUGACAAACUUAUAAAGAUCUGUAAUAGUUACAAAUCUAUUCUUACUUCCACCAAAUAUAGUUGUCACGGACAUACACAUGUAAGCUAAUAAUUACUUGUAUAAAUAUGUAGAAGUAAGUAGAAGUAAAUAAAACUAAAUUAAUUCUAUAAUAUCUUCUAUAGAAGCUUCUUAGAAGCUUUUUAGAUGAUGCUUUGACUUUAUAGGUGUCUAUAAUUGACUUUUUGGAUUAGAAAAGUGAUCAAUUUGUUGGCCAUGUGCCAUAUAUAUUGUUAGUUUGAAGACCAAGCUAACUAAUUGGGCCAUAUGUAGAAAAACUUGCCCUGUAAGUCAAGGCAUGUGUCCUACAAAGUCAACACAUAUUGGAGGUCAUGUAGAACAUUGCCAUGUAGCCCUUAGUUAGAUAGUAUAUAUAGACACAAGAGUGAAGCCUCUUUCAUUGUUGCCACUUUUUUCUUGUUUCUAGUCUAAUUUCAAGAGUUUCAAGUUUUCUUGUCUUUUAACAAUAAGCCAUUCCAGUUUCUUUUUAAUAUACAUACUUCCUUAAUUCUAUUUUGUCACUCUUUCUUUGACACAGAUUUCAUUGAUUUAUACAUUAUCUUUUAGUUUAUGUCCUUGACAGAUUGACAGGAAUACAUUUACAAUAUCAAAGCUUUGUCUUGUCUUCAUUAAGAGUAGAUUAUCCCUUUUUCAUGAUAAGUCAUAAGCAUAUUCUUCAAAAUUGAUAUCAUUCUUAGUAUUUUCUUUGUUCUCAAGUCCUUUCUUCUACUUAUCUUGAGUAAUAUUAGAUAUUUUUCUAAGUGUUAUGAUGGCAGAGCUUGUUGAAAUGAAGAAUAUAAUGGCACAAAUGUAAGAGCAAUUGAGGGAGUUGAUGGUUGCAAUGCAUCAAUUUAGCUUACCACCAGAAGGAUCAACAAGAAUGGCAGGAAGUAAGGAUAUAAAGAUAAUUAGAGUUGCUUCAACAUCUAUAUCAAAUCAUAUCCUUCUAUCUAUGGUGUAACAUCCUUGAAGUAUUAGAGAACCAAGAAUUACUUUGUCCAAGAAGUUUAAUGGUACAAGAUCCAAAUUUUGAGGAUAUAUCAAUCAAGUAUAACUUGUGAUUGAACUUCAACCUCAAAUCUAUCCAACUUUAGGAUCACAAGUUAGAUUCAUUGGCACACUUCUUUGAAGUUCAACACUAUCAUGAUUUUCAUCUUUUCUUGAACAACAAGAUCUAAUAUUAGAUAAUCAAGAAGCAUUUUUGACAAAAUUUUGAUCCAUGUGUGGAAAACAUAAUACAACUCAUGUUACAACCAACAAGAUCUAUAUUUUGCAAUAAGGUAAUCGAUUUGUAAUAUUAUAUGCUUCACAAUUUUGACAACUUGUAACUAAUAUCAAAUGGAAAGAUGUGUCAAGGAUAAGAACUUCAUAAAGAAAAAUAAACAAGUGAGACUUCUCUCAAAGAAAGAUGACAAAAUAGAAAUAACUCAAUACGUGUAUUAAGAAAGAAACUGGAAUGGUUAUUGCCAAAAGACAAGAAAACUAGAGACCCUUGAAAUUAGACUAGAAGCAAGAAAAUAGUUGACAAGAGUAAAGAGGGCUUCACUUUUAUCUCUAUGUAUACUAUCUAACUAAGGGCUACAUGGCGAUGUUCUAUAAGACCUCACAUAUAUGUUGACUUUGUAGAACACAUGCCUUGACUUACAAGGCAAGUUUUUUUACGUGUGGGCCACAUAGUUAGUUUGGUCUUCAAGCUAGAACAUGUGUGGCACAUGGCCAACUUUUUGACCAUGUUUUUAAUCCAAAAAGUCAAUUAAAGUCACCUAUAAAAUCAAAGCAACAUCUAUAAAGCUUCUAGGAGGCUUUCAUAGCAAAUAUUAUAGAAUUAACUUAUUUUUACCUACUUUUAUUUAUUUCUACCUACUUAUAUGUGUAAUUAUUGGCUUAUAUGUGUAUGUCCAUGACAUUACCCUCCCUUCUAGGGAUGAGUUCCACGAAAAGCAGUCAUCAUAUGUUGAGGAAAUCUAUGAUGUGACAAAUUGUAUUUGCCACAUACUCUGAUCUUUAUUCACUUCGAAGAUGAUUGAUAGGGCCUCUCAACUAUCGAUUGUGUCUCAUAUCAGAACCAAAAGACCACCUAGUUAUUUGAUCGUUGUUGAAGCCUUCAUAACUUCCUUCAAAUAAAAUAUUUGAAAUACCAUCAGGAGUUGUUCCUACCUCUAAUAAAAUCACCAAACAUUGAGAGUCUCUUCCAAGGUCGUGAUAUCAAACGUGUUGUAUCUUGCCAUCUAUUCAAGGAAGAACAUAUUAUUCUUGAAGAUCUUCAUCUCGAUUGCAUCAUCUUGAAGGUUGUGACAAUCGUAAUAUCUCAUCCGAUAGGUCAGCAAACGAAGGCUCUUGAGUCAAAUCCACUGGUUGUUGGUUCUCCAUCUCCUAACUGUCACAACUACAAAAAAGCUACAAACAAGGAUUCAAAGUAGAAUGUUAUCUUGCCUAGAUCUUGUUUCUUUUAUAAAGAAGAUUUUCAUCUUGAUUUUGAUAGAUGUCGUCGAUGAAAAGCCUCCAUCGCCUUUGCUGCAUUUGUAAGAUUUUUUACUGGCUCUCAUGUACAUUCACUAAUAUCAUAUCCGUACUAAUGGACAAGAUAUUCCAAUUUAUUUCAGCGCCACCUUGAAUCUAAGACUUCUUCUACUUCAAAUUCUUCAUUAUUGUCUACUUCUAUAAAAAGAAGUAGAGCUUAUCUUCUUCUUGAUAUGUCCAUUGUCUUGUAUGGUUCAAGAAGAGACAUGUGGAAUACUGGAUGGAUUUUUAUUGACUCUGGUAGAUGUAAACGAUAGGCAACUGGAUUGAUUUGAGCAAAAAUAGAAAAUGGUCCAAGCCUUCAAUAGUCCAACUUGUCUUAAGGACGAGUGGUCUUGCUAUUACGAUGAAGUAACCAUACCUUAUCACCCAUGUAGAAUGGUGGUUAUUGCUUUCGAUAGACAUCCGCAUUGAUCUUUUGUUGUUCUUGAGCUUCUUUUAACUAUGCCUUCAUCGUUGCAUGUAGCUUUGACAAAUGAAUUGCCAAAUCUUUCGCAAUAUGAUUAUCAACUUUUGAAAAGUCAAAAGUAUCAAGUCAUGGAUGAUAACCAUAAUUAGCAAAGAAAGGUGUUUGUUUUGUAGAAAAAUGUACCGUGUUAUUGUAAACAAACUCUGCCAAUGAUAAAAGAGUUGUCCAAUCAUCUUAUUGGUAAUUAAUGAUACAUCUUAAGUACUACUUCAAAACUUGAUUAACACGUUUCAUUUGUCCAUCAGUUUGAGGGUGGAAUGGCGAAGAUAGUUUAAUAUCCACUUUUAGAAUCUUCAAAAGAGUUUGCCAAAAUCUUGAUACAAAUUGAGUUCCUUUAUCUGAUAUAAUAUCCUUGGAUAAUCCAUAAUAACGAUAGAUAUUGUCAAGAAAGAACUUAGCUAUUUCUUCACCUGUGAUAGAUUUUGUACAUGAUACAAAAUGUGCCAUUUCGGUAAAACGAUCUACUAUCACAAAUAUAGAGUCAUAAGAAUCUGAGAUUCGAAGAUCCGUGAUGAAAUCCAUAGAAAUAGAAGACCAUGGUUGUUCUGGAAUGGGUAAUGGCUGAAGAAGUCCAUAAGGUCGAUGACAAGGAGUUUUUAAUCUUGAGCAAACAUCACAAGAUUAUACAAAAUCUUUGACUGAUUUUCACAUUUGUGGCCACCAAAAGUCCUUGGAUAUUAGUUCCAAAGUUUUAUUGUAUCCAAAAUGUCCUGCUGUUGGAAAGUCAUGACGAGCUUGAAGAACACGUAAUUGAACUUCACCUUCUGGAACAUAUAAGCAUCCUUCAAAAUAUAGUAGAUUAUUCUUGAAUUCAAACUUGGAAGUAUCAUGAGACUUUGAAGGAUUUUUCUUAAUAUCACGAAUAAGAGGAUCAGAAGACAUACUUGAUUGAACUUGCUUAAUGAAAGUUGAAUCAACAGUUAGUGUUGAUUUCAUUGCUCGAAGAUGAAGAUGUUGUGGCUUCAAGAAAAUUGUCCAUUGUUGAUCAAAAAUAACAUCUCCUUCUUUUGGUGCAAGAUAAGAUCGUCUAGAGAGUACAUCUAAAAAAUCUUAUUAUUUUCUUAGUCGAUAAGUGAUCUUGAAUUCAAAUCUUAACAAAGAUAUAUUCCAAAAAGCUUGGUGACGAUUCAAAACACGUACUGAUAUAAAAUAUUCAAGAUUCUUGUGAUCCGUAUACACCAUGUCUGGAUUAGAAGCACCUUCUAAAUAAUGGCGCCAUUCUUGAAAUGAAUCCAUGAUUGCAAGAAGUUCUUUAUCAUGGAUCUCGUAGUUGAUCUCGACUGCUAAAAAUUUUCUAGAAUGAAAAGCUAUUGGGUGAAGUUUGUCAUCUGUUCCCAUUUGUGAUAAUACGGCACCCAAAGCAAAGUCUGAUGCAUCUGUUUCCAUAAAAAAUGGCUUAAAAAAAUCAACGCAAUACAAGAUUGGUGUAGAAACAAAGGUUGUCUUCAAAGCUUCAAAUGCUACUUCUACUUCUUGAUUCCAUUGAAGUUUGUCUUAGCAAGUCAAACGUGUAAGUGGAGCUGUAACUUGAGAGAAGUCUUUGAUGAAGAUCCGAUAGUAAUUGGCAAAUCCCAAAAAGCAUUGGACAUCUCUUACUGUUUUUGGGAUCUUUCAAUCCAUAAUAGUUUGAACUUUCUUAGGAUCCAUCAUAAGUCCAUCAUUUGAAAUGAUGUAUCUUAAGAAGUCGACUUGAGUAGUGUGAAACACAUACUUUUCUAUCUUGGCAUAGAAUCCUGCAUGUCUUAGUUUUUGUAAUACUUGGCAAACAUGAAGUUCAUGUUCUUUUGGGUUCUUAGAAUAGAUUAAGAUGUCAUCUAGGUAACAGACAAUAAAAUCAUCUAAAAACUCCCAAAAGACAUCAUUCAUUAGAUGUUGGAAUGCUGCUGGUACAUUUGUAAGUCCAAAAGGCAUGACAUUGUAUUCGAAAUAUCCAUAUCUUGUUCGAAACGUAGUCUUCCAUUCAUCUCCUUCUUUGAUGCGUACCAAAUUAUAUACUCCCCAUAGAUCUAUUUUUGUAUAGAUCUUAGCUUGAUUCAACUGAUCAAAAAUCCAGAUAUCAAAGGUAGUGGGUACCUAUUAUUGAUAGUGAUUUUGUUGAGUGCUGGAUAAUCAACACACAUCCGCAAUGAUCCAUCUUUUUUCUUCACAAAUAGAAUUGGAGCUCCUGUUGGAGAUUUAGAAUGGCGUAUGAAAUUCUUGGCUAGAUUUUCUUCAAUAUACUCCUUGAGUUCAGUCAACUCAUUUUGAGAUAAAUUGUAGAUUGGUCCAAAUGGCGGUUGUGCUCCUUCUUGAAGGUCAAUUGAGCAAUCAUAGGAACGAUGUUCUGAAAGAGUAUCCACAUUUUUUUUCUCAAAUACAUCUUAAAAAUCUUGAUAUUGGCUUGGAAUGCCACUUGAAGUCUUACCUCCAAUAGAAACAGGUGUGGCAUAAAUGACACAAGGUGAUCUAUCUUUUGCAGCAUGCAAAAAAGUACUUGCACCUACAAAUAUAGGUUUAAUUAUACUAAACUUAUGACUUUCUACUUGAUUAACUACACUCUUAGUUAUACUUUCAGAAAAUUCAAGACUAUAAGAAGUCUAAUCUAUUUUAGGAUUAUAUUUCUCUAGCCAUGAUAAAUCUAAAAUGACUGGAUUAGAAAGAACUCUAAUGAUAUUAAAUAUUAUAAAACUACUAUGACCAUUAGUUGUUAUUUCUAUAGGAAGGGUUUCAUGAGUAACAUCUCUUGAAGACAACGGACGACCAUCUAUGACUUCUACAUGAACAAGUUUAGUUUUCUUUAUUAAAAAUAUGCUAUAUCUUUUAGCAAAUUUUUCAUCUAAGAAACAAGCUGAGGCUCCUAAAUCUAGCAAGGCAGAGGCUUUGAGAUAUUUAGGUCCUAGAAUAAUAUUUAUUGUAAAAUAUGGAGAGGAUUCUGAGGAGAGGAUAAGACCUUCAGUAGGCAUUUUACAUGUUUCCAGCCGCACGGUCCCUAUUGUAGCUGGACAAAUUUGUUUUCUGACAUGCUAUCUUCUUUGAUUGCCGUACUCCUCAUUUUAUGGUUGCGUCAUUUUUUUGGACAAUAUUGAGUAGUGUGUUUAGGUUCUCCACAAUAUAAGCACAAAUAUUCUUGACGACGACGAGUCUUUUCUUGCUCAAUAAAAAGUUUGAAAUGUACCACAUCAGUUUACAUAUCCUCUACUUUUGAAUGUAUGUAUUGAAUAGAUGUUGGUAUUGCCAUUGAAUUAUAGUAAUGUUGAGGUCCACUUGUACAGUUCUCAGAUCGAAAUUCAAAAAGAUGAUUGUCGCACUUCACAACAAAGUCAAUUGCUUGAUUCAAUGUUUGAAGAUCAGAUAAGUUGAGCAUUAAUUUUUUUACCUCAUAUUGUAAUUUAUGGAGAAAUUGGCUAAUAAGUGCAGCACCAUUCCACUUCAUAUCAAUUGUAAGUUUUCAAAACUGUGAAGUGUACAACGUUACUGAUCGAUUUUCUUGUCGCAAAAUAUGAGUCUAAUUGAUUGCAACACAAAUUAUAUCAUGUUCUCUAUACAUGGAUCAAAACUCCACCAAAAAAGCAUCUAAACUAUCCAAUAUUGGAUCUCAUUGUUUAAAAAAAGAUAAAAACCAUGAUAAUGUUUAACGUGAAAGAAGCAUACUAAUGAAUCUAACUUGCCAUCAUGGAGUUGGAUAGCUUUGGAGUUGAAGUUCAAUCACAAGUUGUACUUGAUUGAUAAAUCCUCUAAACUUUGAUCUGGUGCCAUCAAACUUCUUGGGUAGGAUAAUUCUUGGUUCUCUAAUACUGGAAGUACAUUCCACUAUAUUAGAAGGGACAUGAUGUCUAAUAUCGCUCAAAUCAAAAUAGAAGGGAGGACUUGAGAACAAAGAAAAUACUAAGGAUAAUAUCAGUUUAGAAGAGGGUAAUCCGCAACUUCUAAUAUGCUUAUGUCUUAUCAAGAAAAAAGAGUAAUCCACUCUUAAUCAAGAUUAGACAAAGCUCUCAUAUUGUAAGUGUACUCUUGUCAAUCUGUCAAGAACAAGAACAUGAUAAAGACAAAUAAACGAGUGACACUUCUCUCAAAGAAAGAUGACAAAAUAGAAAUAACUUGAUAUGUAUAUUAAGAAAGAAACUGGAAUGGCUAUUGGUAAAAGACAAGAAAACUAGAGACUCUUGAAACUAGACUAGAAGCAAGAAAAGAUUCAAGGUGGCGUUGAAAUAAAUUAAAAUAUCUUAUCCAUUGGCAUAGAUAUGAUAUUAGUUAAUGCAUAUGGGAGCCAAUAAAGAAUCUUACAAAUGCAAAAAAGGUGGUGGAGGCUUUUUAUCGACGACAUCCAUCAAAAUUAAGAUAAAAACUUUUCAUAUUAAAAAAAAAAAAAAAAAAAAAAAAAAAAAAAAAUCUAGGCAAGAUACCAUUCUACUUUCAAUUCUUGUUUGUAGCUUCUUUGUAAUUGUGAUGCUAAGGAGAUGGAGAACCAACAACGAAUGGAUUCAACUCAAGAACCUUCAUUUGUUGACCUGUCAGAUUAGACAUUGCAAUUGUCACAACCUUGAAGAUGAUGCAAUAGAGAUGAAGAUACUCAAGAAUGAUAUAUUUUUCAUCAAAUAGAUGAUAAGAUAUAAGGCGUUUGGUAUCAUGACCUUCAAAGAGACUCCCAAUAUUUGGUAAUUUUAUUAGAGGUAGAAACAAUUCCUCAUGAUGUUUCAAAUAUUUUAUUUGAAUGAAGUUAUGAAGGCCUCAACAAUGAUGAAAUAACAGGGUGGUUUUUUUGCCCAAGUAUGGGACACUAUUGAUGGUUAAGAUGCCCUAUCAACCAUUUUUGAAGAAAACAAAGAUCUGAGUAUGUAGCAAAUACAAUUCAUCACAUCAUAGAUUUUCUCAACAUACGAUGACCGCUCCUCGUAGAACUUGUCCCUAAAAGGAAGGAUAAUGUCACAGACAUAUACUUGUAAGCCAGUAUUUACCUAUAUAAAUAUGUAAAAAUAAGUAGAAGUAGGUAAAAAUAAAUUAAUUCUAUAAUAUCUUCUAUAUAAGCUUCAUAGAUGUACUUUGACUUUAUAAGUAUCUAUAAUUGACUUUUUAGGUUAAAAAAGUGGUGAAAAACUUGGCCAUGUGCCACAUAUAUUGUUAGCAUGAAGACGAAGCUAACUAUGUAGCCUACACGUAGAAAAACUUAUCUUAUAAGUCAAGGCAUGUGUUCUACAAAGUCAACACAUAUUGGAGGUCAUAUAAAAUAUCGCCACGUAGCCCCUAGUUAGAUAGUAUAUAUAGAGACAAGAAUGAAGCCCUCUUCUUUCUUAUCAAUUCCUUUCUUGCUUCAAGCCUAGUUUCAAGAGUCUUAAGUUUUCUUGUCUUUUGGUAAUAAGCCAUUCCAAUUUAUUUUUAAUAUAUGUACUUCCUUAUUUCUAUUUUGUCACUCUUUCCUUGAUACAUAUUUCAUUGGUUUAUGCAUCAUUUUUUAAUUCAUGUCUUUGACAAUAGCAUCCAUGAUUUUUUCUUCCAUUUCAAAUAACUUAAUAAAUCCACAAAUCAAAUAGAGGAUAGUAAUCCGCAACUUCUAAUGUCAAAUAGAAAUUUCUAUAAAGAAGUGUGAUCUUUGCUCUUUAAGAAAAAAAUUCAAGAUUUUAGAUAACAAAGAAUGUUAGUUUAAAAGUAAGUGGUUGACAAUGUUUGAAAUAUAAUAAUAGAAGUGAGAUAAUCCAUUCACUUUUUAAAGUUAGAUAUGUAAUUUUUAGAUAGAUAGUAAUUUAUUUUUAUCUAUGUAUAUUAUUUAGAUAAUUAAUAAAAUAAAUAUGUCUAUAAUACUUAUAUUUUAGCCAAACAAUAAUUAAACUUUUUAUUGAUCCUUUAUUUUUUGGCUAAAAACUUGUAGCUAAAAAUAAUGAUUUGAUUCACACCAUAAGCCAAGUUAGGCAACAAGUACUAUCUAUAAUCAAAGUAUUAAUUAAGUUUUUUGAAUAUUUCUAUCUUUAUUAAUAUUAUUGCAUAUGUACAAGAUCCAAGCCAAUUAAUCAAUAAAUCAAUGAUAUGGUGGUUAAUGUUAUAAAUGAUUUGUGUAUUCAUAGAAUACUUCUUUUUCUUGUCAAAGAUUGCAUCUUUGUUAUUUUUUGGAUGCUAGCUCAAGGAGAAUUAUGUCCCAUUGAUAAGUCCAAUGCAAUGUUUGAAGCCAAGUAGGUUGAAAGAUUGGCUAAUUUAAAGCCUUUGAGUAGUAUUUGGCCAUUAUUGGUACUAUUUUUGGAAUAAAAAAAUAUCAUAAAUUACUUAAUUAAUAAAGAGGUACAAGAUGCUAUUAUCAAUAUCCUAUAUAAUUUAUUUUUUUCAAUGAUAGCUCUAUUCUCCUUUGACUUAAGAUACUCUAAUGCUAAAGUCAAUUGCUAAGCAAUAUUGGUUUGUGGGCAAUGGCUCUUAUUACUAAAAACAAAGUGGUCUUUAAUGAAUGAAAAUACCAUCUAAAAGCUCUUUUGCAACAUUCUUGAUAUUUGGCAAAAUUUGGCAUUAUACUCAUUUAUAAAAUAAUUCAAAAUCUAAUUGUAUAAUUUAAAUAUAGGAUUUUAAAAGAAUAUGAAAUAAAAAUUGUUGAUUGCAUCAUGAAUUAUUAGAUGUUCUCUUAUAUCAUCAAAUUUAAAAAAAUGGUCUUGAAACUUGAUAUCAACUUAUUGGCAUUAUUCUUUAAAUAAUUUAUAAAAUUCCUUAUUAAGUGCAAAAGUAGUCAAUAUUUUUAAAUCUGAAAAGAUCUACUAUUUUUUAAAGCGCCAAGGCAAAGUGUUAGGAGGUGUAGCAUGGAGUGAAAGAAAAAAGAGAGUUGAGGUAAGCAACAUAGUUUUUGAUAUUUGAUCCAUCUUUUUUUUUGCUAUUUUAAUUUCAAAAUCACCCACUUUGCAAGAUAUAUGAUUUGGUGAAAUAUCUCAAGAUACUUAGAGCAAAUAUUACAAGUGAAAUAUUACCCAAAAAAAGCCAUGUUUGAAACUCUCUAAUAUCAGUAUAAAACUUUGAUCUGUGAAACUUAUAUAGUAAAGAGUUUUUUUAAAAAAAGAUGUUGUAUAAAUUAGAAUAUUUUAUACUCUUAAAGUUUUUUAUUCUUGUUUUCUAAACUUUAAUUGGUUAUUAAGUAUUGAAAAAAAUAUAUCUUUUUUUUACAAUUAAUCUAUUUAAUUGUAUCCUAUUUUUACUAAAAUAAAGUAAUUUUUUUUGGAUAAGUACAAUCCAAAUCACUUUAAUAAGCUUCAAAUAUAAAAUAGCCUUCUACAACCUAAUUUCUACAAAUACUUCUAAAAUAUAUUUUUCCAAAAUCUUGAUAAUGUUGUGGUCAAAUGUUUUUCAAUAGAAGUGGUAUUUCUUUUUGUUUUGUUUUUUAUUUUUAUUUUUGUUGCUUUUCAGUUCUUUGCUUUUCUACUUCUGCAAAAGUUCAACAUUUAAAACACAUGAAUUUUAUAUGUAAAAUUUUAUAUUAAACAUGAUAUUAUUUGAAGCAAUUUAUAACAGCCAUAAUGUGAUGUAUUAUUGUAUUAGCCCUUGGAAUACUUGUCUUUUGGCAAAUAAAAAGCCAAAAAUAACAGGCAAUACCAAACAUACAUCAGCACAUGAUUUAUCACUACCCUUACUGUUAUUGUAAUGAAAUGGUAUUACUUGGUCCAAUUAUGAACAUUUAUCUUUCUGCUGCUUGGAUAUUAAGUAUGAAAUUCUCAUUUUAGAAUUUAUGUACUUAUAAUAUUGUAAGCAAUUAAAUAUUUUUUUGUGAAAUAUAAAGUUUCAGAUAAAUAGUGAUAAUAGAAUACAAUUUUUUUUAAACAAGCCAAAAGUAACAUUACAUUUUUGGCUUGUAUUGACUUACUACUUCACCUCUUCUCAUGUCUCAUCAUCUGUUCAAGAAGGGAUACAAAGACAAUUGUGCCCAUAUGUUCUUAGUAUUCCAACUUUGAGAAAGAUCUUUAAAGAAUAUUGAACAAACAAACAAACACAAAAUAAAUAAAUAAGUAAAUAAAAACUCCUAGAAAAGAAGUAAGAGGAGGGAGGCAAAAGAAGUCACAGUGGAAUGAUGUGCAUUUACACCAAAAGAUAUGGCACAUCAGGAAUCUGUGCGAAGCUCUCGAAUGCCAUAUCCUCAUUGAAAGUGUACCUUUUCAUGCAACAUCAUCUCAUUUUGACAAUCACCAACCUCUCUCUCUACAUUAUUAUGAUGAGGAGGAAGAAGAGGUCAAUGCCAUGAGAUCCAGCUUUGUACACCAUGCAAAGAAAAUCUGUACUUCAACUGAAUUUGCUCUUACUUAUCACUUCUCUUUGCAUACUUUAAUAUUUCAUCUCGUAUAUAUAUAUAUAUAUAUAUAUAUAUACAUAUACACAUGUACAAACAGACAGAAAAUACCAUUCCAUCACAAUGACAGUCAGGCUAAUGAUAAACCAAGUGCUAAUGUCCACAAUUUUGACACUAGUUCGCAUCGUUCUUCUGUGUUCUGUUUGUUUUCUUGAAGCUGUUGUUGUUAUUUGUUUGUUUGUUUGUUUGUUUGUUUAUUAAUGCAGUUGUUUUGCAGCGGCAACGUAUCAAGAGAGAGAGAGAGAGAGAGAGAGAGAGAGAGCUAUGGGGUGGAGGUGUUGGAGCACUGGCGUGUCGGCGGCGACGCCGAAGCACAAGAUAAACAUGAGACUGAGACGCAAAGCCAGGCGAAGGGAUGGGAGAAUCAUGUUUCGUGUGCGUCCGCGGCGGAGGUGACGACGAUCGCGCACCACAUCUUCGGAUCUUGCUGCUGGUGUGAACAAUGAGGCGGCGGAAUGGUGGGCUCUAUUGCACACAUGCACCUCUGCGUCCCCACCACGUUCCGCAGCUUAGCCCCAGGAGCAAUCCCGGGGAGGAAUGAGCACGACGUCACGCGCCUUGCGGUGCCUGCAUAUACCAGGCUUUCACGCACAGCUAACUGCAAACUCAAAAAGAUAUACGCUUCUUUGAUACAGCAUUAGCCUCCGGAACUAACCCAUAUGUCGUAUCGAAAGGAGGAAGAUGACCACGUAUGAGCAAGCAAAAGAUCUGGAUGCCUCGGCACCUGCAUGCCAAAAAGCCUGCACUGUCUGAAAGGAGUGCGGGUAUCGUACUGUACACAGGAGUGAUAUCAAGCUUGCUGCCGCAUUCACUGCUGUCAUAGGCGUGGGUGGGUCGUAGGGUGUGGGAAAAUCUGAGAGGUGAGAGCUUGUCAGCAGCCCCCAGUUGCGCAUAAUUCUGGCAACUUUUUCUCCACAGAAUGAUUCCCUGCAUGUUGUGAGCGGUCAUGAAAUCAUUGGGAGUCACUGUGGAUGAUGGCAAGUUGUUGCGGAAGGUGAAAGUCAACGGAAUAGAUUCUUUGACGCCGUGAGCAUAUUCUGCCAGUCUCGAGGGAACUUCUUCAUUGGGUGUGUUGCAUGGACGGUCGGGCACAGCAGGCAGCGGGAAUUUUGCAUGCACUGGCCGUGGCUAGAAUUUUUAUCGAAAAGGAUGGGGAAAAGCCACGGGAGCUGAGCUAGAGAAUCAUUCGGCCAUGAUGCCGCUGGUGCUGGUGGCGCCGCGACAUCGAUCUUCGCAUGGUUACCAGCCACUAAUCUGUCACGAUGAUAAAUCUGUGACAAGUUGCCUCAGCCGCUGUCAACGGCUUGUCGAGUUGCUGUACCCGCAAUGCAGUGGAGUCGCUUCGAUGCGUGAUCUCACCCAGGCUGGUGGUGAUUUGAUGAAUCCGCGCCGACAGCGACUGGGGGAGAUCCUGGCACUUUCUUUUUCUAAUAUCCAGCGAUGCUGCCUGGAACAAAUUCUAUGCAGAUUCAAGGAUCAACUUCCUGAUGCAAACACGGGAGAAUAUGAAGAAUCGACAGAGAAAUGAGUGGCGCAGAAAUGUGUAUAGAAACCGAAUCAUAUAGUUUUACUUCACCACAAGUGGUCUAAUCACUCCUUACAGAUGUGCCUUGGCUGAAAAUAGUACAGACUAAUGGUUCCAGCAAUCAAUAGCUUUACAGGAGCACAUUUAAAAUAGUUGUUCACAACCCUAAUAAGUGGACGUGUCCGCAUCUUAGCCCUAAGUUCGGCCAACUAUUCGGCCAGCAAGUCAACGAUCGAUCGAUCGCAGCAAGCUAGGAUAACCUCAAAUAUUACAUGUGAAUGUUUGGAAACUAAAAAGUGAGGAACCCAGCAAGAGGCUCGACAGAUGAGAUUGCCACAAGACUGCAAGCAGGCUCUCAGAAUCAACUCCGAAUUUCCUUGACAUGCGAUUCGUGUCCGAUUGGGAAAAAAUUCUCGAGGUAGUUCUGGUCUCUUCGGAGACACUCGAUCUUCGCGGUUGAUCUCCAUCACGCUCAUCGUUCCCAUCGUCGCUCAUUCAACCCAAAAUUUGUUGCCAAUGUACCCAUACCCCUGUCGUGGUGGUUAAAUUUUUACACUACAGCUACUGCCCAAUCCCGUUAUGUACACGUCCCGCGCCCACAUAGAUUAUGGCCCGUCCAUAGGGACUCCUUCCGUAAUCAAAUCCUUCACUACAUAAACCUGUGUAAAAUCAUUUGUACAUUUUGUUGUUAAACCCCGUCUCCAAGUUGGGGUUUGCAGACCUAAGCCACCGCUGCAAUCUUGGCCUCAGUAAGCCCACUCAGGUUGAAGCCCAUCGAUGCAUCCGGCCACCUCUGGAAGGCUAGAAUACCAUCGGUAGCGGAGCAUUCUUGACUGGUGAUCAUCACCGAACGUACCAUCUGUGAGGCAAGAUAGUUGGCCACUCUCCUCGGUCACGGUUUGCAAUGGCGACAGAGGAGAAUCACAGGGAAUCUCCUGAUCGUAGAGCACAUUGUCGCUGGGCCAAGCAAUGCAAUCCAGAUUCAACUUCCCACUGCUUUGUGCCUCGUCCUCGCCCUCGUUUGAUGUGUAGGAUGCCUCCUGCUUCGCUCGAAUGCGGUUGUUCCCAAGGAGGUUGUCGAAGCACCUCAUGGGUGUCGACGGAUGUGCGAAAAUGCUCUGCGGGAUGCUGGCGUGGUUCAGCAUGCCUGAGUUAAUCGCGUUCUGGUUGUAGUAUGUCUCCUUCAUCAAGUUGUCGGUGUCCAUAGCUGAGGGGACCAUAGAAAUCGAGCCAGGGACCUUGGAGUUGGGCAUAGUGUGCACCCACUGGACAGGGAGCGCAGUGGCAACAUCGCCUAGGGCUAAAGAGACAUCCUGUGGGUAACUAUCUUGGCAAUUGUAGCAUGAAUCGGUUCCCGUGCAUGCAUCGCACUCCCCUGAGUCCGUCACAGCGGGGUUCGGGGAACUGUCACGUUGCAGCGCCGAAUGCGAGUCGAUGAGCUGGUAGGGCGAGUCACCAUGCGUGACGCCGGACUUCUUAUUGCCGAUAAACUUCUGAAAGACGCGGCAUAUCACCCAUUCGUCUUGCUGCAGUUCGCCACCAGCAGUGCAUAUCGAUGUUAAAAAACUCCCUUCAAAAGAAGCAUUCAAUAGCAUGUGUGCAGUGCAUUGAUCACAUGAGAGAGCAGAAAUACGCUAACUCUAAGAGAAUUGAAGGGAUGGAUAGACCUUGGGUCCAAGGGAUUGCUGGCCGUGGAAGCGACUUGUGGAGUCGCGCUCCAGCCGAUAUUCAUGCAUGAUCCAGUUGGUCUUCACGCCGCGAGGAGCGCGUCCCAUGUAAAAAACUAGCGUCUUCUUCAUGCCCACCAGCGAAUGAGUGCCGGAGUUCAUGACAUCCCUGUCUUUGCCAGUGGCCUUCCAGUAGCCUGUCUUCGUGGCUCGGUUGGUUCGCGUUCCAGUUGGAUACUUCCGGUCCCGAAGACUGUAAAAAUACCAUUCCUUCUCCCCUACCUUCGCUUUCCCUGCGCAAUCGUCACCCACCCAGGAAACCAAACCUCAGCCCAAAGUCGAUAUUAAUUCGUCCACACACGCAAAGAUCGGCGCACAUCACAUUAAUUCAAAUGAUUUCGAAGGGAUUGAGGGAUUGAGUUACCUGGAAGGUCCCACGGCUCACAUUCGUUGAAGUCCACCACGCAGAUAGUCCUCACUUCGAAACGAGGGUCCCUGACCUUAUUAGCUAGGUAGAAGGUCACGAGCUCUUCGUCCGUGGGGUGGAAACGGAAACCGGGUGGGAGCUCCAUAUUGCAAUCCUGUCGAAUGCCUACAAUUUUGGAAACGUUGCACAUGCUUGCCAUGCAAAGAAUGAAUACCAGCGAUCACGAGCGUAAUUUCAAGAGCGACCUCGAUUUUUCUGCUAACGACACCGGUGGAAAAUUGCAGGGAGGAAGGCCAGUAAGGAAAGUGUUUGAGGAUCAUAGCCUGUCUUCAGAGCCAAAAGAAUGGAUCGCUACAAGUGAGAGUCCCAACUCACAUGAAAUAAGGAGUCUUCGGGGGAUGAGAGACUGACGAACUGGCGGGACCUUCAAAAGAGAAGGACUUCAAGUGCAUGACCCACGGAAAAGGCGGAAUGAUUCUUAAUCAGCAAGAAACACGGGAUCAGCUCAGACAGGAAUUUCUAGGCUCGGUCGUAAGCGGAGCUCUAACCUUGAGCACUAAGGAGUCGUCACGGAAGUCACGUCAAGUCCAGGUUGGGAGAGGGAGAGAGAGAGAGAAAGAGAGGAUAUAAGCAACCUGGUGCAAAUUGUGUUUCAUUCCACUAGAUCCAAAGGUUACAGGCGGGUGCCUAUGUCACCAAAAAGGAACAAUAGAAAAGAAAAAAGAACUAUUAAUUGCAACCCGGAUGGAUUAUAGAAGUUUCGAAUCUAAGCGUCACGAGCGAACUAGAAACCAGCAACCGUGGCUAGCCAAGGUCUGAAGAGAGAAGGUGAGCACAGCGAGGAGUUUGCAAUCAGAUCAUGUCCCACAUGGAAGAAUAGGUACAGGAAAGUCUAAUUGCAAGAUGUAAGAUUUUCCGACGACGAGGAAGAGAGGACAGGACGCACAAAUCCUUGAGCUUCAGACCUUUGAAUUUGUGGGACUUUCGCAUAGAAUACCAAAGAUCCUGUGCUGCUGCAACUCGCAUGUCCGUCUUCUCACUUACUCUGAAACUUUCCGGUUUCCUGAAGGGGUCCGCAGAUUACGGAAUAAUUGCAGCUCGUGCGGAGCGCGGAGUCAUCAACCUGCUGCACGCCUACGCGAACACCUCGCACGUGUGAGAAUGUGCACAAGCGACCAUGAAAUUCAACAACCAGGUGCACAGUUUGAAGAAUUAGGAGCCACGCUAGUCAAGAACAAUGCGCACGGUGCACGGCUUUACAUCAAGCCAAUUGCAUCUAUCUGAUCUGCGACUCCACCUCUCACCCCUCUCCAUCCACUAAAAUUACACACCUAAAGGCCCCUAAUGCCACGACGAAGACAGGACAAUAGCUAGCCUUAAAGCUCCUCACAGCCGACACUCACGGGGUAUCACCGGACCCAGCGCCUCCCCUUCCGAGCACAGAAUCUACGUCGGCGUAUCUGACAGCUACCAGGAAGCGCCCCCCUCGCCCAACGCUCUAGCUUCUACACAACUAAAGCAGUAAUCCAACAGAAUAUUUACAUAUAAAUAAUCUGCACGAGCACACUUCGCUCAAAGAGCAGCUCGCCGUUGCCACCAAGCGAUACUCCUUCAGCAACCGGUUAAGUUUUAAGACGAUCCUCGGCCAAUCAAAGUGAUCUAUAAACCUCACCUGACGACUGUAACACAGUAUGCGCAUCCCAAACCAACCUCGCAUCCCAAGUUCCAAACACCAUCCAUGCAAAGAAAAAAAAAACCACCCUCCUGUUCCCUUGACCUGAACCAAACCUACCGUCGUCUACACUUCAGACCGACUUGUCACCAUUCGCAUCAUCCUUACGUAGAUCGAAUUCAACGAGUAAGGGAUGCCCAAUUGUUCAACACCCCAUUCGCACACAGCAGAACUACUCAGACCAUCGCGAUGAAUCUGCUCACCAGAAUCAAACGACUAGCCAGCUGGGGGAGCGCGUCGGGUGCAGACGAGCAGAUCGGCAAGUCCUGAAGUUCUGAGGUUACGUCCGCAAGUCAGGGAGCGGUGAUAUGGAUGAGCUUGAAGCAGAGAGAGAGCACAGCAGUGGGCGUGGAAGGCGAAGGAGCAGAAGAGCAGCAAGGAGACAAGAGGGGAGUGGAGCUGGAAGAGGGACAAUUGGCACGGCGUGGUGAAGAAGAGGGGUCGGAACCCAGACAGUGAGAAACAAAAAAAACAAAACAAAACACAAACAGUUUGAACCGCAAGAUUUUGGUGGAGUGGCCGAGGCCGCGGGGGUUAUGAAGGCUGUGGUUUUCUAGUUGGCCUGGCCCGCUGCUGCCCACAUCGCGCUUCUAUACUUUCCUUCCUUCCCCAUGGACGACCAUCCCAACUCUCUAACUCUACGCCUCGCCCGUUUCUCGCCCCCUAUUCUACCGCCUCGCUGGCCUCUUCCGACCUCCCUCCUACCAGGCAGGCGGCUUUUCCUCUGCUCUACGCAUGAUCACAUCCUGCGAGCUGCUGCCCCGUGAAGCGACGCAAGCCUGGUUUAGUUCUAUCUCUUUCUAGCCGGAUGAACCCCCCACUCCUGCCCACUCCCUGCAACUUUGCCGGACGUCUGCAGCAACUCCCUUCCCCUCCCUGCUGCUGCCGCUUUCAACCCGGUUUGACCUCGCUAUAGUAACUACUGGCAUUUUCCCCAUCGAAAAGUGCAGUUACUUCUAUAGUUUGUGUAUUAUAUAUGUGUGACUGUUAGUGUGCAGAUCUGUUUGGGUUUGCAGAGUUGCCGAGCACUGUUGAACUGUUUUUCACCGCGAGUCACGUUUGGGUUAACGUGAGAGAGGUUGACUAUUGUGGCCUCCCUUCUCUUUCCCCCUUCUCAAUCCACCCUGAGCAGUGUGGAAAUUCACCAUCUCCGUCCUCCUAGCCCAUCCACUUGCUUGGAGGGACAUUAGGAUUCCAACUUCUUCCUAGCCAUCAGUGUUGCUUUCCCACACUGCACAUAGAAGAAGUUUGCACACAAUGCUCUUCAGUUGUGUGGGUAUUUUAUUGAGCUCCAGUGGAUGGGUGUGUAAAAAAGAAGGCGGCUGAAGUCACAGUUGAAGGGCUUUUCUAUUUGUGAGUGUAUUAAUGGAAAUCUAUAUAUAUAUACACAUGUGUGUGUGUGUGUGUGUGUGAAAAUGGUGACAAAAUGAGUCCAGACAGACCACGUGUGUAGAGAUAUAGGCUUCACUUCUUUAAACUCUCUUCGAAAAGGAUGAAACACGCACCGAAAAAAUAAACUAAACUGAGACAAAAAAACACACACAAAGAUAACGAAAAGAACAAAAGAAAAAGAAAAUACUGCUCUACGCAUCAGGACAACCAUUCCAAAAGUGCAUAUGCUCCAGCCCUUAAUUGAGGAGACCUAUUGUUAUUAGUAUUAUUGUUAUUAUUGAUUCUAGGUCUUUUGUUAGGCAUGAGUUUCUCAGCAUGGAUUAUCUGAAGCCAAAGCUAAAUUUGCGUAGUGAGGAUACUUUGAAUAAAGCUUAAAAUAGCAUUGCAGCAGAUGCUUGCUCACCUGGGAAUAUUAGGGUUUUGAUUGGCUUUUCUACGAAUGAAGCAUUUGAACGAAAGGGUCCACAGGUUGCAUUCUCGAAAUUGGCUAAAGGAGAGUUCUUUUUAUACUAAUCUGUAAUUAAGAAAGAAUGUUGGUGAAAAUUGGUGCCCAGGCUGUGAUGCGAUUCCCUUACUUUUUGCAGACAUGCACCACAAUCACAUGGUUGACUUGAUUUCAAAAUUAUAAAUAAAAUAUCAAAUCCUGAAAACCAAUGUUCUUUUUUAUAGUACAAUAAACUUCAUUAAGGGUGGUAGGUGUUCAAUUUUCUUUCUUGCUUUCUGUCUUUCUUCUUUAUAUUUUAUUUUAAUUGGGAGUUGACAACUUAUUCAACUUACUGAGUCAUCAAACAUUUAUUCUAGGAAACGAACAAACAAAAUUAGUGCAUCUAUAAUUAUUAUAUAUAUUUUUAAAUAAAAAAAAUAACAAAAUAAACGCAGAAAUCUAGAAUUAAGUGCAGUACUCCUUCACUUGAUUCUGAAUCUUUAUUGAUAUUGAAGUUUUGAAAAGGAUAAACAGACAUUUACUCAUUUUACAAAAACCACCAAAUUCACAGGGUGGGGCAACUUUUUCUUCAUGAAUAUUUCAUUUCUUAAAACCUUUUCAUCCCAAUUCUAUACAUAAUAUAAAAAUGAGGAGAACUGAAAACAAAUCAAAGUGAAAAUGUAAUGUCAUUUCUUACUUUUUAAAUCUUCUUCAUAUUGUUGUAGAAAUAUCAUGUGGGGAGUUUCUAUGUCCCUCACACCAAUUUAUAAAGGAAAUAUUCUUAUCAACUGUGAGUCUGAACAAAGAAAAAAUAAUGGAAAACUGAACUUUUGUGACAAUAUGUUAAAAUCAAUAAACCAGAUGCUUUUGAUAUUUUUUGAUGAGAAGCUUUGUAGUCAAUGUCCCUUGCAAAUGCUUUCCCUUCCUUUGAUGCUGUUUCUGAAUCUUAGCUCAAUCAUAUGACUUCAUCAUGUGGGUUUGGCACAUCUUUUUUGGUGUACACUCAUACUCAACUAUUCAAUUAUUCUCAAAUGAACCCUUAUUAUGCUUCUGUAAUAUCUGAAUAACCCCAAAUUAUUUCACAAGACUAAGUUUACAUUUAUUUUACUUUAUUUUAUUUUUCGUUCUCUGGAAUUUAUCAUCACUGAAAGUAAAAUGAUGAAAUUUGAACAUAAGUAUAAGCCAUAAGGACUUCCAUCCUGAAAAAGGACUAUAAAGAAAAACUAGCUCUUGAUGAAUGAGUAUUUAGUGUUUACUUAAACAACACAAACAUAUUAAUUUAAAAAAAAAAAAAAAAAAAAAAAAAAACACACACACACACACACACACAUAUUCAUGUAUGAGUGUGUGUGUGUGUGUGUAUAUAUAUAUAUAUAUAUAUAUAAUUUUCUUGGAAGCCAAAAUAAAAAUUCAUUUUUACCGUCUUACUUCAAGGACAAUGCCAAAUCAUUGGUGUUUGUAUUUAUGUUUUGUAUUGGUUUCAUUAGUGUAGUUGUGGCUAAGAAUAUUCACAAGUCAAUUGUUGCUUUCAUGUGAAGGAAAAAUUGGGCCCUACAUAAAAAUGAUUAACGGAGUAAAAUGCUCAAAUUACUAGUCAAAUUUUGUCUUAAAAAAAGAGAGAGAAAAAAAAAUAUGAUUAUUUAAUUGAAAGGAUUGCUUUGUUGAUAAUGAACAUAAGGCAACACUGUAACGGUUGAAUUGAAGGACAUUUGUCUAAACUACUUGGUUAAUAAGAAUACAAAUUAAGACAUCAUAAAAUCACAAAAUGAUAUCUGUUAUUAUUAUUAUUAUUAUUAUUUAUUUUAGUGUGAAAGAAUUUGACAAUUCAAUGGAUUUGAGUGUGGUAUUCAUUUUUCCAAAAUUUAAUCUAAAAUAUUUUUAGAAUUUUCACUUUCAAUAGAUAUAAAGGGAUGUGUCAGUAUGGAGAUUUUAUUAUUAUAAUAAUAAAUAAUAAUAAGAAUUUUAUAAUAUCAUUCUGUAAGCACCAAGUGAUUCAAAACGUGUUGCAUUUGAAGCUUCAUCAAUGUUGAGAGUGACAUCCCGAUGAAGUUAAGUUUUCUGUGAUUCUUCCAAAUAAAAUAUAACAAGCUGCCAAAUCAUUUCCACAACUGUCGAAUCAACUUCAUCAAAAACUCAAAUACACUCCACUUUAUUCUUUAAAAGAGUUCAGCAGUAUUUUAGAUUAAAUUUGUGGGCUUCUUUUGUUUUAGGACAUCAUGAAGAAACAACUAGAAUGAAAUAUAUGUAGAAUAAAAAACAAUUACUCGUCACAGUUUCAUUUAUUUGUUUAUUUAUUUAUUGAAGUUUUUAUAUAAGCAAAAACUUUUACACGGUUGCAUUAACAGGUGUCUUACUUGUACAUGUCUCAGUUUUCAAUACAACACCCAAAUAGGCUCCACACAACCCAUUGUAACUGCAAAGGGGAAGAAGUUGAAGCACAAGGCAAAUACCUCUGAGGAAGUAUUUCCAGGAGGGGGCUUGCCUUUUGAUGCCCCAGUUUAUCUCACUUCACAGACACCACCACCACUUCAAAACAAAGGUGAAAUACACAUCACCACACGCAAUCCUUCCAGCAACCCAUCCAUCCACAUUUCUUAGAUUUUUUGUUUAUUGUUUGAACACGUUUUUUUAUUUUUAUGAUUUCUUUCGUUUUCACUGCUUCUGGGUGACGAUGGGAGGGGCUUCAUUGGAUGUAAUGACUGUGCAUGGAUGUCUUCUCCUGGAGCCGUAUGAUCCAAGAGCUGGAUGAUGAAACAGUCAUUGACAACUGGACCGACGCUGGCUUAAUUUGGCGAAGCAAGUCCAAUGUGUGUAUAUAUAUAUAUAUAUAUAAGUAAAUAUAACUCAUUCAUUGUCUGUUUACCAAUUUGGAAAAAACAAACACACACACCCACUCUUUCACUCUAUCUUGCACACAUUUUGGAUGUGUGUCACUAGGAACCCUAGCAAGCAGGCUGUGUUGUUGUUUGUUUCCUUUUGGCCCAGCCCCCUGGUCUGGCUUCUGGGGCACUUGGGGCAUGAUCAAAGCCCUAGAAUUGUGGGCUUUUCCAGCACUAACUUGUUGCAUCACCACCAUCACUGCUGCUGUUGCCGAAGCCCACAUGGUCCACAAAAACCCCCCUCCCUCCCUCCCUCCCUCCCUCGCUCGCUUGCUCCCUUUCUACAGUACCACGCAGCACGUGUGCUAGAAGAAAGAUAGAACCCGCAAGCAAAUUGGUACUAGUAAAAUUCCCACAAGUCUAACGGCGACGUCAAACGAGCACCAGUUGCACCAAUAAUACAAACACCAUUGAUGAGCUUCACCAAUGUAGGAAGAUGGAAGAGUUGGCAGGAAAAUGAUUGUGGAGAUAUUGUGAAUGAGGGAGGAGGGAGGUGGCGGUUUGCAAGGCCUUGUACUUACUGCACAUCUUGUCACUCAGAUUUUUUUCAUUCAGUGAGGCCAUUGAUUUUUUGUAACUGUACUUUGGGCUUUUCAACAAGGAAAGACAACACAUGGAGAAUAGUGCAUCAUUGCACCGGAGUGACGCAUCAUGCGGGUAACUAAAUUGGCCACUGGUUGCUGGGUGACGUGAGUUGUGAUCUCAGUUCCCCAUUUUUAUUUUGUUUUUGUUUUUGUUUUGUGCUAGUGCAAACGAAUUCUUGAAAACCGUGGCAGCAGCAGGGACUAGGCAACCAGCGCCGCAGCUCGGGAGUGGAAGCCGCGAGGGUGUGGCAGUUUUUUUUACCGACUUUGCUGGAUCAUUCCCCAUCGUAUUACCCACUGCCAGAAUGCAAAGGGAGCCACGCGAUGCCUGCCACUUGGACUUGGGGUGUGUGCUCAGGAAGCAAAAAAUAAUAAUUGGUUUGUUGUUAUUUUAUAUUGGAUUUUACACCCAGUAUGCUGCAUGAUCCCCCUCCCCCCCCCCCUGGUGCCAUUCCUAGAGGAUAAAGCAGUCCAGACAAGGCAGCAGACCCUAAUGCUCAUCCAAGACAUUGAGAAGACGAAGAAGAGGAGUAGACACUAGUCUGGAUCUGCGAGCUGGAGCCGAUUGAUGCAGGCUUGGAACAAUUUUAAAGGAUAUCGGGAGAGGGAGAAUGGAGCCGAGAUGGUUGCAUCGAUGGCAGAACCGAGCAGGAGUUCCAUCUAGUUGUUGUGAAUUAGUGAGAUUGGCUCUUUUGGGUGCGUCACCUGCGUCUACCUUGGACUUCAAAGGGCGAUGGAGGUAACUGGGGAUGGACACGGGGAUUAUUUUUACUCCAGGUCAAUAAGCUUGAUGGCCGUCCUCCUUAUCCAUCCACAUCACCGUUGCAUGCAUGACAGUGUCGAUUUAGCUGGGAUUUUUUCUUUUUUUAUUUUACCCAAAAACCAUUUGCCGAAAAUGGUAUAAAAAUCGGGAUGGAUUGUGCGGCUUCGAUGAUUGGGCAGUGGGACCCGCGCAGUUUAUUGAUAUCUCGGUCAAGCGUUCCCGAGACAUUCUUCCCAAAGUGUGGCUGAAUGAUGUGAUUUUAUUCCCUCUGGAACGACCAGGGCAAGGCCGAGUUGGGCGGACCCACGCCGAUCCACAGUGCUUGCGGACUGUGGGAUAGGCGCUGCAAGCUUUGGCACUGAGGCUUUGAAUGCUCCCACGAGCGUCCACCGUGUCCUUGCCUCGCUACCCCCCCUAUUGUUCCUUUGGGAAUGUGUCACUGCAAAAGAACUUCUGGCUUGGAAUUCAUGGCCACCAUCGAACAGCAGAAACAGACACGCAGAACCUCUCAAUCGCUCCCAGUAUUCCUGCAAUAUGGCAAAAUUAGCUUCAACAAAGUUGCGCAUUCUGUCCGCUGGCAUUAGGCAAGCUUCCAGACUGUGGAAGUCGACACGAUCUCACAAAUUUCAAUUGCGAUUCCACUUUGUUCUCUCCCUUUCUCGUAAAAUAAAUAAAUAAAGAAAUAAAAACUUACAGAAAAUGGAAUAAAAAUUACCAGCGCUUGCACAUUCCUCCGCAGCAAUUCCCAAGCUUAGAGCCACUGAGCACCAAACCAGAGCCUAUUGCUGGAACCUCUGGAUUUUAAAAUUGUUGUCCUUAGGCUGUGUACCAUUCUAUGAUAUGAGUCCUGAUUCUCACUUUCCAAGGCAAUGACUACAAGACAUCACUUUCAGAACACUUUGUGCAAAGGGUGGAACUCUUGUAAAAAAUAUAUGUUAAAUUCCAAAAGAAAAAAGAAAAAAGAAACAAACUAACUCUUUUUUUCUUUUCACAACAAAUGGUUUCGAAUUCAGCAUAAGCUACAAGAAAGUUAGAAUAUGGGAUGACGAAAGUGGGGUCUGUGCAUGUUUCUGCAGAAAAUCAGCAAAAGAAAUGGUGAAAGAAAAAACAGAAACCACAUGCUGGAAUUCCAUAAGUCUAAACCAUGUCCAUGCAGAUUGAAAGCACAUUAAGUUUACCGUGAACAAAACCCUUUUCUGGGUCUUUAUAAUUAUGAAGACUUGUGGAAUGCUCAAGUAUUCAGCCGGCGUGGCAGAGAGCCAUCAUGCAGAACUUGCCACAAUUUACUGCUGUGGAAAGAUCAUGCAACCUGUUGAGCCUUGCCUCACCAUCUAAUGAUGUGGGCUCAUUUAACACUGUGGCUGCAUGUGGGUUAAGUGCCAGGCCAUGGUAACUAGCAAAUUGUUGCCACUGCUAACCAUGCUGUUGCCAGACAAUCUAAGACCAACACUGCACACCAGACCAUAAUACAGACAAAUUUUGUGUACCAUGAUUCAAUACAUACUGUAGAGUAUAUGAGGCCAUCAUGGUAUAAAGAAUGUCAGCUUUUGUUACUGUGGGCACUUCUAGGUGCUCACUAGGUUUUAGCAGCAGAUCAGUUUUUUUUUUUAUAAUUAUUUUUGGCUUGGUUUCCAUGAAGCUGACAUCUCAGUUUCUACCCAAUUUCGUAGGCAUGAGAAGCAUCUGCAGACAAUGAUGAGGGAGCUUGUCGAAACCAAAUCUCUUCACAGAAAAGGACAAAAAACGCGACUAAAGGAGACUUGGGUCUUGGUAUAGAAAGGCCUUGAGGUGUGAAGGUCUUUUGCAUGCAUUAGAUCAAUUCCCAAAUUGUGAACUGUGCAGAUAAGAUUUGGAGAUAAGCUUGCCAAGAGAUUCCACCAUCUGGUCGCUUUGUAUAGCAAAUUCGUGCAUGGAAAAUCCAACUUUGUGGGAGCCAUUGUCGAAUAAAACAGAGACGGAGAGGCUCGUUGACGGUUGGGAACCCGGGUGGGUGCUCGCCCUCUGAAGAAUAAUGGUGGCUUUGCGCCAUAAGCUGCAGCGGUUACUGCGAGGGUGAAUUUUGACAUAUGUUUUGCAAGUUCUUGCGUGAAUGACCAGCUAGUCUGUGUGUGUGGAUUAGACUGUUCCGCGACAAGCAACAUCGCAGACGGGAGCCGUAUCUAAGCACAUUUCGCUCAAAACUUGUUUUAAAAAUUCAUAUAUAUAUAUACACACACACACAAUCUAUCCAAUUGAAAUGGCGAGCACUAGCUUAGUUUGAUAUGCACUUAAGUAGGAUAUUCAAUUGUAGAGGUUAGGCAGACAUAUGUGGGCAAGGUUGGUAUGCAUUUAUGGAGGUUCCAUUGUAUAUAGCAAUUAUUAAAAACCAAAUAUAUAUAUAUAUAUAUAUAUAUAUAUAUAGUUUUAGAUUGAAUAGAAAAAUGAAUUCUUAUGCCAUCCAAAGAAGAAAGGGAGUUGUAAAUAUGGAGUUGAAAAUAUAUAAGGAACACAUAGAGAAUAUUGAAUUGAUCAAAGGUAAAUUAUAAAAUAUUGGUUUAUAAAGAGUUAUCCAAUGGUUGCACCCAAGAAUAAUACUAUUCUUUGAUUCUUUCCUUAAGGAUUUAAUUCAAUUUAUUUGGAAUUUCUUAUACUUACUAUUUCUAAACAUAUUAUAAUUAAUAAUUUAGUAGUCAAAACUAAGAUUGACCAUCUAAUAAAACAUGUUGCUAUAACUUACUUUGUGGUAGAUAAAUCAUCCAAAGACUUGUUCAAGAAGUGGUUAUUAGCAUUGGAAGAAGAAACAAAAGGUUCUAUCUAUAUAGGCCAAAACAUGAGAAGAAGACAUUUCUAUCUUUGAUUGAAAUAUGCAAAAACAUAGUACAAGAUGUUUAUAAGAUUAAUUUAUGACACUGAAGCAAGAAUAUGUACAUAUUAUUUUUUAAAUUCUAAGUGCAUAGGUAAGUAGAGGCAACUCAAGAGACUUUACAUAAAGAGUCACAAAAUUAUUUGAUAUAAAAGAGGUAAAAAUAUUUCAAAGAAAAAUAGGUUGUUGAAUUAGAUGAAGAAUAUAAUGGAAGUUAAAAGGAGAAAAAGACAAUAAAAGUUUGUUUAGAGCAACAAAAGAAAAGAGAUCAAAACUAUAAAUUUGAAAACUAGAUGAUGAGUAUGGAAUUAAAGUGAAGAAUUCUUCUAUAUUUCUCAAAAUUUGUUACAAUUUCUAAUCUAAGCUAUAUCAAGAAUAGAUUAAUUCAACUUUAUAUUACAAAGCAAUUGAAAAAAAAAAAAUUGGAAAGAUUUCUUCAAAGAUUAUAACAAAAAUAAAUAAAUAUUUGGUGAAAUCAAUUGUAGAAGAAGAAAUAUACUAUCCUUGACUUUGUUUAUUGGAUUUGACUUUACAAAUCUAAUAAAAUUAUACUCCUUAAGUAUGUUUCCUAAAUAAAAACUUAUUUUUUCUUAUCAAUUUAAAAAUAAUAAUGGAUUAUAAUGCUUUGCCUUACAAAUGUUAUAAUUUACUAAGUAGAUACUUAAUGCAAAUAUAUAGAUAUUAAGAUAACAUAUAUAAAAAAUGUUAAACUUAUUAAUAUAUAAUAAUAAAAACUCCUUUUAAAAGUAUUCAAUAUUUUGGCUUAUACAACAAAAAUUAAUUGCAAACUCCAUUAAAAACAACUUCUAUAGAAUAUUAUUCUUUCAAAAUGAAAGGAUGAAUUUGAUACCACAUAUUCAAUCAAUUGGAAAGAUGUAUGGUUCAAAUCAAAAAGACUUAAGGAGUCUAUACUCAUUUGGCUAAUUUAAAAUAGAAAGAUUGCAAUUGAAAUCUAGAAGGCAUAAUCUAAUUCCAACAAUGGGAAUAGUUGUCAAAUGGAACCCAAGAAAUCCGUUCAAAUGUCUAAUACUCCAUGACCUUUUUGAGAGCAACUAAUUACGUAUAAUUAAGUAGUUAAGCAACCUUGUUUCAUACUCUAUCCUCGACAUAGGGUACUGAGAAUUUGAACUCUUAUAUAAUUUUAAACCACCAACAAUCAAUGCAGAGAGUAAACCUCCUUUUUUUCUGUUUGUAAACAACAAAAUAAAAUAAGAACCCAGGAAAUAUGGAGUUAAACCAAUGAAUUCACCUCUCAGUCAUGGGUCUCGAGGUAAAGCAGGCCACCGCAAGGCUCUUGCCUAGGUCUAUUUUUAUUACUGUCGCUGUGAAUGUUAAUAGAAAUAAACACAUGAACACACACACAUUCACGCUUAUCGAGGGAAGGUUCUAUAUUCGUUUGCCAGGCGCACCAGCUUUUGCAUCCAUCAUCCUACGCACCACAUAAAUGCGAUAAUAACAAACGAAACAAUAACAACAACAAACAAUACUUUAUCCCUGCAUGUUCCUUGACUAAAUAGGGAUUAAAAGCAGGCGCGUGAUGAUUAGCCGGGAUUGUGCGUAAAGAAGCUUUCCGGAUAUGAGUCUUCUUCGGAAGGAGAGAAGUGAUGUGUCUCGCAAUGGUGAUCAUUCUCUCUCCCAAAUUAGGAACAAAAACGGGGACGACGGAUAGAAUAACCCUAAAGAAAGUAGCUGGUAGGAACAGUAAUGGUUGAGAAAUUCGGGACAGGCUGCAAGUCAAUCGUGCCCCUCAGUUCCUGCCGAGAUUGAAGCCCCAGAAAAAACAUUAAAAAAAAAAAAUACUUAAAAAACGAAACACAGACUCGCCGAAAUGGAACAACAACAUCAACGAUGCCUAAGGUGGACCCCCCGGUGAUGCAGGACAAUGAUUGGGAUGGGUCGGAGACAGGGGGUGAGUGCGUAGGUCGUGCGCCAAAAAAGCUCGCCGUGCAUGCCCACCCCCCCCCCCUCCUCCCCGCUGCUUUAGCAUCGAGAGAAAGAGGGGCUUUUUGUUUGUGAUUUUGUGUGUGUGAAUGUGUGUGAAAAGUGUGUGAAAGUGUAAGUGUGUGUGUGGAAGAAUCGGUGAUCAUGGGGUGGAGUCCCCCGCAGGCAAUUCACAUACACCAAAGUGAGUGUGUCGCACUACUUACUACUCGGAAUAUAUUCUGUACCGUCACCAUUUAACUUCACGAUUUAUCUUCUGCAGAUCUCUCUCGAGGGUUUUCGCUCUAAAGUUGCGGAGUUCUUUUGAGGAACACGAGGUCCCAGAUUUGGGGAAGACUUUUGCGCUGCGUUUCGGAAGAUGUUUACCAGUCUGAGACUAUUUUUAAAGUUGCCUGGUUAAUUGGUUGCCGGUUGAUUAUGAAACAUUGGGUUUGUUGUUCAAACGCAAAGAAAACAUUUAGUACGAGGCAGUGUGGUUGGAGUAUUCCACACUACAAUUUCAUUAAUCGUCUUGUGCUGUUAUUAGCACUUGUGACGUGAACCCGUCAGCACUACUGUGGGUUUUGAAAUCAAUGUUGCGUUUGCAGGGGAAGUGAAGCCUUGUCACACUCGGGGUACGUGGGCGAAUAAAUCUGUUUUACUUUCUCGCGCCUCCUCACGACAGAAAGAAAGAAAGCAAGAAGUAAGCAAGGAAAAUAAUAAGAAGAAAAGAUGAAAAGAAGAAAAGAUAAAAAGAAUUUUGAGGGAUUAACUAUUGAGAGUUGUCCCUGGAAACCAUACUUUGGCCUCGGAUAAAACGAAUGGCACGAUCUCAUGAAUGUGAAAAGAUCUCUGUCAGCUGAGAAGGUGCAAGUUUUUUGCCCUGGUCUUACGUAAUUCAAUCAACGACAGGCAGGAGUGGUGAUGGUGCUGCUGGAAGCGCCGGUUAUGGAGGUCUGUAUUGGAGUCGUGCUGAGUUCAGCUGAAAAUAAUUGCUACCUCUUUGCGAAAGGGAGGGGCUGCCUCUGUUGGUCUGCCUGUUCACUUCAUUCAUCUUGAUAAUUCAGUUUGAAACCGACUACGAAAACGAUGAACACGUGGGUCCAAUUCUGUGCGGAGUUCGCCUAUAUUUGCCAAUGCGCGCAUCGGACCGAUCUACCCGCGGACAGUAGCCGCAUUGCUCAAACUCCACAUCGAAAUUAUCCGCAGUCGCUACCACUCCAAAACUCUAGUGCAGAUCGCUUAUGUCAGCGUUCCGGUGCCAACCCAGGCGACUACGCGAAUGGAGCACGGGAUACACGACCCAGUGAUCGAAGCGCCGGGGAAGUGGAAAACGGGGUGGACACUCUCAUUAGGAACCCACUGUACCAAGACAAAGCCGACUCGCUCGGGUACCAGCAACCUUGCGGAUGAGCAGCCUACCUGGAUGUGCAGGUCCUCGUGCGUCUAAAUGAUAACUCCACAAAAAUGAAAGAGAGCACAGGUCGUAUACAUGUACGAAAGAGCUUUCGGAGAUGCAACCAAUGGCACCCACACCAUUAGGUGCACUUGCAGGCAUCCCCUGGGCAUGUUCAGUACCCCAUGGAGCUUCCCGGCGGUGUCCUCCAAUGCAAUAGAAAAACAAAAAGGACGAUUGUGCGUGUCCUUGGCAGCUCAGGUCCAGAGGCGGAGGCAGAAAAGAGAAGAGAGAUAGAGAGCCUGCCUUCCUUCCUUCCUGAUUCUACUUUGCAUGACUGACUGACAGACUGACUGACUGUGUGUACUUCCCUUCCCUUCUUUCCAGUUUAAUCGGCCACUGCAAGAAGGCAGCGGCACUAUAAGUGAGUCUAGAAGCGGAGUCGUAUGCACUUGCUGAGCUCGCGCGGACUUUGACCCACCAUUUCCACGGCUCUGCUAACUUCGAUGACGAAGUUUGUUUGUGGACUGUUUAGCUCAGCACGCCACCACCAGCAAAGCCAAGCCCAGCCAAGCCAACCGAAGCUAAGCCCACUUCGGUUGUGUCUUUCUGUAACUUACUUUGCUGCUUUUCUGGCAAGUUUUGGCUUUUAGCCGUUUCCCUUGUUUUGGAAAAUAGUGCAGUUUUUCCAACAAUGUUGUGUUUGGGAUUUGUGGUAAGUGUUCAGAAUGAGGGAGAAGUUGAUGUUGGAAAAUCAAUUAGACAAUUAAGUAAAUUUAAUCCUAUAUCCUUUAUUAUAUAUAUAUAUAUAUAUAUAUAUAUAUAUAAAAAGAAUGUUAAAUAGACCCAGGUUUUUAUUAAAUUUAUUUCAUCCAUGAUGAAGAAUAUGAUAAUCAUAAUUAAUAUGGUUGAUUUUCAUUGGUUUCAAAUCUAGUAGUAGAGAAAUGAAUAUAGAGGUCAUUUUGUUUUUCAUGAUGGUUAGAAUGGAUAGAUCAAUUCUGUAAAAAUGUGGAUCUAUUUAACAUUUUCAUAUAUAUAUAUAUAUAUUUAUAUGUUCAUAUUCAUAUGACUUAAAUUGUAAAAUCAUCUAUAUAUUAAGAUCACUCAAAGAGAUAAGUAGUGGCUCUCCUUCACCACAUGCACCCCUCUUAGUUUUCAUCAAAAAGCUUAACGUUGUUUGGAGUUCACAAUCCUUUUUACAGUUCAAUGAGAGUGUUUUACAAUUCAUCAUGAACUAAUCACUUUGUUAAGCAAGUAGUAGACCACAUAGAUGAUGCAUCUCUCUUUGCUUAUUCUAUGAUUACCUAUGGCAUAGGUACCCCGCUCAUUGAUGCGGUCAAAUUCUACUGCACGCAUUUGAUGGCUUUUGCCUAUGGCAUCUUAUCUUCUCAAGUGUGGCUUAAUUGCUGGUGGUUUUGAUUGUUUGAUGGGCUUUGAUGUAUAUGGGUUGAGUAUAGAUUGUGAACAUGAGAUGUCAAUGUUAUGUUCUAGCUUGCUCAUGCCCAGCUUGAUGGAGUCAAAGUUUUGUUCAAACUUCUCCAUGUUCAUUUGCAAGCAUUUUAGUGCACCGAAGAUGGUAAUUUUUUUUUUGUCAAAGUUGAAGUUAUUAUGAAAUACUAGGAUUGAAUAUUAGGAAUGAAAGACACAAAUCAACAUAGCACAUUAAAAUGGAGAUUUUUGAUUGCCUUAGUUUUUUUAUCAGCAAUUUAUUGCUUUAAUUUUCUAUCAACAAAUAUAAAGCUUAUCAAUUAUACUAUUGUUGAUUUGAAGUUUAUAAUGCUCAUUUAAGAUUUUGAUGUUUCCUAUCUUAAAUUAUUCUCUUUUACUUUGUACUAACUUCUCACAUUUGUUCUAGAACUUACUUCUUUAUCUUUCUUUUUGUUUGUUUGUUUGUUUGUUUUUUGUUUUUAUAAUUUUGCAAUAGAGUAGAGAUUGUGGUUGUUGUAGAAUAUAAAUUUCACAUGUAGUAUUCAAAUCUCAAGGUAAUUGUGAAUUUCGUGGUUCCAAUAUUGAUGUUAAAAAUCACUAUGACAUCUAACUGGCUAUUUAAAAAGAAUCAUUUUAAGUUAAAUCCAAAUGUUCAUAAAUUCUACAUGCAUCUUUCUUAUAGGCAAAGAGAAUUUUUUUGGUAAAGAAACUUUGAUUGAGAAUGAAUUUGAGGAAGCGACUUAAAUAAUGAUGGCAGAUAUCCCAAGUAUUUCAAGAUUGGAUUCUAAGAUAGAAGCGGAUGACAAUAGAAUCUCAUCAUCUUUAGAUUGCUGUGACAUCUGGCUGGCUAUUCAAGAAGAAUUAUUUAAACUUAUUAGGCUGAAGCUUGCUAAGGCAUUGAAAUUAAUUAAAGUACUUGUAUGAAGGAAGAUAGAGCAAAUGCAACAUUAUAAGAGGUAUUUUAUGUAGUUAAAUAAGCAUAUGAUUAUAUGCAUAGGUAGUGGAAUGUGAAUUGUGAUGUAAUCAACUUUAAGAAACACACAUAUUUUUUUGAAGAGGCUAGAAUUCUAAUUCUACAUUCUAAUAUUAAUUCAAAGAAGUUGGAGCUUUCUUUAUGGAAUUCUAUAUAUUAUUAUUAUUAUUUAAUUUUUGAAGGAAUUUAUUUAGCUAUUAUUCUUAGACUCUUAAAUUUUAGGUAUCUAGUUUCAAAGCUUGAAUAAGAUUCUUCAAUAUAGCACAUUCUAUUCAAUUAUCUUGUGGAGGGAUUACUUUUGCUAAACCUUUGGAAGGAUCAAGAUGGGAGUUUUAGAAGAGAUAAGCAAAACAAGUUCAAUCUAUUGGAGAGGAAUAUUUAAAAAGAGAGGUGACAAAAGCAAGUGGAGAGGAAGAAAGCAAAGCUUACUUUUAUGGCUUCAAGGAUAUAGCAGGCAAAUAUAUCUUAUUGUGCCUUCAAUACUAUUUUUUUGAAGGUGUCAAUUGUGAAUGCUCAUUCUCAUUGCAUUAUUGAAAAGAAAAAGGUCAAGCUUAUGAAGUAGAGAUAAGCACAAAAAGAGGCUUUUUAGUCAAGUUUAGAGAGAUAGAGCUUUUAUUAUUGACAUUGGAGUAGUUAUGGCAUAAAUUGAUUUGAAUUAAUUCUUUGAUGUAAUGGACUACAAUGACAAAAAUUCAUUGAGCUUAGAAAUUAAUGUAUAUUUAUUAUAAUCAAUUGAUAUUGAUAUUCAUUUUAAUACUUGAAAUUAUUUUAGUACAAAAAAACUCUUUGAUUUAUAAAAAUAUUCUAUGUCAAAUGUUCAUAUUUGGGCUUUGUUUUUAUUAUGAUCGACAUUGAGUUUUAUUAUAGUUUGGAUAUUUUGGGCCGUCUUGCUCCAAAGUAAGCAAAUGAAUUCAUUUGCAAUAUUUUUAUAAUAAUCAAAUUUCAUUUUUUCUAGGCAUGUCAAAUUUAUUUUUAUUCACAUCAAAAUUAUAAUUUAUAAAUGAUAAGUUAUUAAUAAUGGAAGGUUUAAUUAAAUUGCAAAGCCAAUGAAGAGAGAAAUUUGAGCAAUUAUUAUUUUUUAGUACUUUGGGAUAUAGACAUGAAGACUAAAAAGAAAGAAUCAUAAUAUUUUAUAAACCACCAUAAAUAAAAGAAUUUUGUACUUGACUUUUUUGAUUUUUCACUACAUCUAUUUCACAUCCUUCAACUAUCAUCUUUUUCUUUUUUAUAACAGAAGCUAAGACACUAUUUUUAAAUACAUGUUUAUGUAAGGAUUUCAAAGUCAUUUUUAUUAUUUUAUAGUUUAAUAAUUAUAUUUAUAGUUUUUAUAAUUUUUAUAAUUUUUAUAUUAUAUUUAUUAUAUUAUAUUUCAUAUCAUAUCUUUAUUAUCAAUAAAAUUCUUAAACAACAAAGUUUUAUUAGAAUUUUUUAAGUAUUAUCAAUUAUACAAUAAGAAUUGAUGUACCAAAAUUAAAUUGUAGGAAUUUUAUUUUUUGAUCUUAUAUGAAUUCUUUUAUAUUCAACUUUAUGUAUAAAUAUAUAUAUAUAUAUAUAUAUAUAUAUUUUUGUAUAUAAAUAAAAUAAUAAAUAAUAAUAUAUUUUUAUAUAUAAAUAAAAUAAUAAAUAAUAAUAUAUUUUUUUAAUAAAGAAUUCACUAUUUAUUAUUUUAUUUAUUCGUUUUGAUUUAUAAAAUUUAAAAUAUUGAAAAAAUUGAAUUUUUUGUUAUUGCAAGUUAUUGUAAAAAUAUGUAUAAUUGUAAUCAAUAGAGAUGCAUAGAUGUAGAAUAUUUUUUGUUAAAACACUAUGGUAUUAUAAUUUGACUAAUUAAGUUGUACUUACUUAUUUUUAUUUUACAAGUAUUAUAUAAUUAUACUUAAUUAAGAAGGUUUAAAAUUCUAUGGAAGUAUAAUUUUGACACUUAUACAAACUUACUUCAAUUCUUUGGUAGAGCUUGUCUUGUUGUGAAUGUCAAGCUUUAAUAAUGAAUUGGAGAGCAAUUGCUCAAUGAUAGUAGAGGGAAUGUGAGUGAGCACAAAGAAAAGUUAAAGUAGUUACAUGUAUUAAAGCCAUAUAUAAUCUAAGAAGGAUGAAUAUUUUGUAUCUUUUUUAUAAUGCACUGCAUUGAUUUGAUGAAUAUUUAGUCCAAUUGCUAAGAAAGUUGCCAUUAUUUGGACAAUUGGACUUUUCUACCAUCUCUACCUUCUCCGCCUUUGCUUUUGAGAUGAUUAUUUGAAGACCAAGAUGCAAGAACAAGGGAUUUUUGAAAAAAUAUCCAUUAAUACAAUGAUGCACAUGCAUUUACAUCCUUAGGUUCAAAUAUUGAUUGAUAUGUACUUCAAAAAAAUGCUUCAUACAAUUUUAGAAUAAAAAGAGGAUUGAGCUAUUCAAUAGCAGUAUUAUUAUUAAAAAAAGAUAUCAAUCCAAUCUAUGCAUAAUUUUAUAUACAUGAUGCAUUAUUUGCACAAGAUAGAAGAAUGAAUUAUAAUUGUGCUUUAUCGAGUCAAUAAAUGGAUUAUUCUCCUUUAAAACUAUCUUAGGCAUAGAAUGAAGGAGUAGUGGAAGUAGAUCUUGUUGUUUUUUUUGUACUUUAUGAAUGAAAGUGAUAGAUGCUAAUAUAAUCUUUCUAGUACUUUUAAAAAAAUUACUAUUAUAUUAUUUAAAGAUGGAUCACAGCAUAAUGCACUUUGUGAUAUUAUUAUUUGCCUAUGUAGUAACGGGCUAUUAAAAAGGAUUCAUGAGACUCAUUCAAUUUAUUGGUCCUUCAUUAUGUUUUGUUUUUUCCACAUGAAAUCUUUGGAUGGUAUCUUGACCUAAGGAUGCAAAAUGUAGUGAUGGAUAUUGUUGAAGAAAAAUAAGGUACUAGACAAGAGGAUUGAAGAAGCAACAACCUUAUACAAAUGGAUUAUUUUACUUAAUAAUUUUUUUAAAGGACUAUUUAGUAUUCUAGAAUUUGGCAUAGAAGAAAUCUAUUACAAAAAACUAUGAGUGACAGAUGAGUAAUAAUUGAGCAAUCAUGUUUAUAAUAUCUAUAUUAUAAUUAAGGAAAUUUAUGUGUUGAUUUAUACCAAGACUUGUUAGAUAUUCUUGUAAUUCAUCAAAGUAUUGGGCAUGAAGAAGAAUGAUAUGAAUUAAAUAAUUUAGGAUGUAGGAUCUUACUUCCAUCAUCUUAUAUUGAAAGUGUAAGACAUAUGAUAAAAAUACUUCAAGAUUCUAUGGCAAUUACAAGGUUUUAUUAGUAUUCUAAUAUUUUUAUGACAGCGACAACAAAUUCAAGAUGAUCCAAAAUCUAUAAUGAAUUACUUCAAGGACAAUGAACAAGUGACUAUAUAAAUUUGCUUGUCUAUGUAUUUGAGCUUAAGAGAUAUAUUAUUAUGGAAGAUAUAAAGAAAGGAGUUGUAUUUUAUUAUAUUGUUGCAUAUAUUUAUAAUAUUGAGUUUCAAAAGAGAGGUCUACCUCAUAUGCACAUUUUGAUUUUUUUGGUUAGAAAAAAUAUGAUUAGAUGUACUGGAGAUGUAGAUUGUAUAAUUUGUAUAGAAUUUUCAAAUAAAAACAAAAAUCGAGAGGUAUUUGAAGUUAUUCUAAAAUGUAUGGUAUAUGGUACAUGUGAAAUAUAAAAUCUUUAAGCACCAUGCAUAGAAAACAAUCAUUAUAUAAAAAAGUAUCUAAAGAUGUUUGUAGAAGAAAUAACAAUGGAUGCCUAAAGAUAUCCAAAUAUUGACAAAGAAAUGAUAGAAGAACGUUUGAAAUUCAAAGAAUGGUUGUUGAUAACAAGGAUGCUCUAUUUUAUCCAAAACUAUUUCAAAAGUAUAAUUGUCAUAUUAAUGUUGAGGUGUGUGUAUAUAUUUGUAUUGUCAAGUAUAUCUACAAAUUCAUCUAUAAAGGCUAUGAUUGCAUUACAAUGAAAUUUAAAAACCAAUAAGUUGAGAUUAAACAAUAUUUGGAUGUAAGAUACAUUGGAGCUUUGGAAGCUAUUUAGACACUUUUUGGCAUGCGGAUCCAUGAAAAAAUACCAAAUAUUGUUUGUUUGGCUAUUUGUCUUUUAUGAAUGUAUUAAACAGUAUAUGAUCCAAAUGACAAGGUAGUUGCAAUUUUAAAACGUAAUGAAAGAUAAAAGACAAUAAUAACUUCACUUUUUGAAAUAUGUACAAUAAUUGCAAUGAUAAGACAAUAUACAUAUCAAUAAUUUUUAUAACAUUUUAUUUUGCAUAAGACUAAAAAGACAUGGACAUUAAAAAAAUAUAAUUUUGAUAUUGAAAGAUUAUAUUUUAUAAAUCUUGCAAUGGAAAAAAGAUAUUAUUUGAGGUUUUUUUUAAUCCAUGUUAAAAGUACCUGAUCAUUUGAGCACUUAAAGACUACUCAUAGAAUUUUCCAUCCAACAUUUAAAAGUACAUGUGCAACUUUAAGAUUGCUUGAAGAUGAUGGAAAGUGACAAUAAUGGGUAGAUGUCAAGGAUAUGAAUCUCAAAGAAAGAGAAUCCUCAAAACACUCUUCUAUCACUGAAGAGAAGUAGAAAGUCAUUCAAAAGGUGAUGUAAUAUUAACUAAAAUGGCAAUUGCCAAAAACAAGAAGACUAAAAAGUCUUGAAACAAGACUAAGACUAAAAAGGUAUUGAUAAGAGUGAAGAAGGCUUCACUCUUGCCUCCAUAUAUACUAUUUAAUUAAGAGUUACAUGGCAAUGUCCUAUAAGACCUCCAACAUGUGUUGACUUUGUUAGCCACAUUUCUUAUCUUGCAAGACAAGUUAUCUAUGUAUGUGCUACAUAGUUGGCUUGUUCCACAAGCUACUAUACGGAGAUAACUUAUUCCACAAGCUACCAAUACAUGGUUAGCUUUUUAGCCAAGUUUCUAACCUAAAAACACAUCUAAAGUCAAAACCACAUCUAUGAAGCUUCUUUAGAAAACUUUAUGAAAUUAUUCUAUUUUUACUUAUUUUUACUUAAUCAUAUAAGUAACUAUUGAGGUAAAUAUAUAUAUAUAUAUAUAUAUAUAUAUAUAUAUAUAUAUGAUAUUAUGCCCCCUUCUAGGAACGAGUUCCACAAGGAGUGGUCUUCAUAUGUUGAAGAUGUCCAAGAUGCGGCAAAUUAUAUUUAUUAUAUACUCCAAUCUUUGCUAUCUUUGAAGAUGGUUAAUAGGUCCUCUCAACCAUCUAUAGUGUCUCAUAUCACGGCAAAAAGACCACCCUAUUAUUUGAUCAUUGUUGAGGCCUUUGUAACUUCCUUCAAAUAAAACAUUUGGAACAUUUUCAGGAGUUGUUCCUACCUCUAAUAAAAUCACUAAACAUUGGGAGUCUCUUCCAAGGUUGUGAUACCAAACACAUUGUAUCUCGCCAUUUAUUUAAAGAAGGACAUGUUGUUCUUCAAGAUCUUCAUCUUGAUUCCGUCAUCUUAAAGGUUGUGAAAAUCGCAAUAUCUCAUUUGAUAAGUCCGCAAAUGAAAGUUCUUGAGUUGAAUUUGGUGGUUGUUGGUACUCCAUCUCAUCACAAAUACACAGAAGCUACAAUGAAAGAUAGAAGGUAGAAUAUUAUUUUUCUUUAAUCUUGUUUCUUUUAUAGCAAAGGUUUGGUAUUCUUCAUCUUAGUUUUGAUGGAAAUCGUUGAUGAAAGACUUCAACUUUCUUUAUUACAUUUGCAAGAUUCUUUGAUGGCUCCCAUGUGCGUUCACUAAUAUCAUAUCUGUGCCAAUGAACAAGAAAUUCCAACCUAUUUUGGUGCCACCUUGAGUCUAAGUUUUCUUCUACUUCAAACUCUUAGUUAUUAUCCACUUUUAUAAGAGGAGGUGGCAUUUGUCUUCUUCCCAAGAUAUUCACUGUCUUAUACGGUUUGAAAAGAAACAUAUGAAAUAUAGGAUAGAUCUUCAUAGACUUUGGUAGAUAUAAUCGAUAGGCAACACGAUUGAUUUGUUCACAAAUAGUAAAAGGUCCUAGCUUACAAUAAUCUAAUUUAUCACAAAGAGGAGUAGUCUUGAUAUUAUGACGAAGUAAUCAUACCUUAUCACCCAUAUUAUAUUGUGGUUUCUCUUUGCGAUAAGCAUCCGCUGUCAUAAUGUGUGAAGUCUUGCUUGAGAAUGCUCCGGGCACCUGGCUGUAGAAGGAAGAAUAGAAAUUGCGAUAACAAAAUCCUAAAUAGAAUACUAACAAUACUCUAAGUAGACUAUAAUAAUGGUAAACAAAUGUAAUCAAAUUCAAAAUAACUCAAAGAAAUUUCAAACAAACAAUAAAAUUCUUAAAGAAAUAUUAGAAUGAUCACAAAUUUUACUCAAAUAUAUGUCAAUUCAACCUUAAUUUAAUUCUAGUUAAAACCCUAUUGAAUUUCACUCAAUAUUAGACCAAAUCUAAUUAAAUCAUAAACCCUAAUAAUUCCUAAAUCCUAAGUCAAAUCCUAAACAAAUCUUAAAUUAAAUCCUAUUUCAAACCCUAAACCCUAAACCAAACCCUAAAUCAAAUCCUAAACCAAACCCUAAUCCAAUCCUAAACCCUAAACCAAACCUUAAAUCAAAUCCUAACCAAACCCUAGUCCAAACUCUAAUCCAAACCCUAAAUCAAACCCUAACUAAAUCCUAAACCCUAAUCCAAAUCCUAAUCCAACCUAAUCCAAUCUUAAACUCUAAUCCAAAUCCUAAACCCUAAACCAAACCUUAAAUCAAACCCUAACCAAACCAUAAACCAAACCUUAAAUCAAACCCUAACCAAACCCUAAACCAAACCUUAAAUCAAAUCCUAACCAAAUCCUAAUCCAAACCCUAAAUCAAACCCUAACCAAAUCCUAAACCCUAAUCCAAACCCU